RNAcentral lists this long non-coding RNA (95933 nucleotides) under Vitis vinifera (wine grape). RNAcentral describes it as "long non-coding RNA (VVIN_LNC001392)". The record is from RNAcentral. Lineage: Eukaryota; Viridiplantae; Streptophyta; Magnoliopsida; Vitales; Vitaceae.
GGUGGCUUCUCUCCCUUAGGUGGUUUGCCAACUGGGGUUGGUGGCUUGUGUUCUGGGAGUGGCUUCUCCCCCUUGGGAGGUUUUUCCAAUGGGGUUGGUUUGUGUUCAGGAGGUGGCUUCUCCACUGGAGGCUUGUGUUCAGGAGGUGGCUUCUCCACCGGAGGCUUGUGUUCAGGUGGUGGCUUCUCCACCGGAGGCUUAUGCUCUGGUGGUGGCUUCUCGAAUGGGGGAUGCUUAGGAUAAUCAGCAAGUGAGGGGGCGGUGAGAACCACCAGGCCAAGCAACACCACUAGCAAAUAUGUAGGAGACAUCUUUGGGUUUGGGCUCAGAUGGUGCAAAACUAGGAGAAUUGGCUAGCCUUUUAUAGCGGAUCGUACCCAAUAAUGAAAUGACACGUGUCAUUAUGACCCAUGUGUAAUGGGGUCGAUUUGGGUCCUACAGUGUUGAAAACUUCGACAUCCACUUUUGGCCUUUUGCUUUCUCUACAGCCGCCUUGCUUUUUCCCUCUUUCCUUUUGUUUUCCUCCUGCCCCAUUCUAUCAACUAAACACAAUUAUGUAGUUGUUUAAUUCUUAAAUGAGAUAUUAUCCGUCAAUCGUAUUAUAUUUUAUCAAGAGAGAACGGAGUGCAAUGUGGCUGUAAUUUUAUCGUUUAGUUUUAUCUCUUGGACCACUGCAUUUUUGUUAAGAGGUGCAAUAAUACACGUCUUUAUCUGCCAUUCAAUAUUUACAGUAAAGAGAGGGCACAAAACUCUUCACUUCGCACCAUAAUUAUUUUGUUUUCUGGACACCCCGGGGCCCUUUGGUUGGUUUGGGGGUCAGAAAGUGAACAUCAUAGGGGGUUUUUCCCUUAUGUGCAUUUGUAUCUGAUGGCUUUAACUCGCCUUGUUACUACAAAGAAACUGUCACAGAUAGGAACUUAUUCCAGGCUGAGUAUCUCCUCAUAGACCCUAUAAAAGAAGACAAGUCAUAAUGAACAUCUAACCUUUGUUCAAUUUGAUUCAAUGCCCCCAUUGUGUCCAUCUCACAAAUCUGAAUUAUUAUAUCCAUUGAAUACAUAAAUUAAUGAAGAAAAUAUGAAACCCAAGAUACAUCUCUGCACAACCUCAACCCUGGUUGCUAUGUUUCCCUUCUAUUCACAUGAUUUGAUGCUAAUUGCCAAACUUGCAACAAGCCCUGAGUUUGACACCUAGUAUCGAUGGGCGAAUUUAAAGUCUCCUCCAAACAUAUAUUCCACAGCUUGAAGCUCACAGAAGAUGUUACAGGCAGGGAAAAACCUUCAGAGUUCGCUACCAAAGAUAAUUAUUAAGGAGAUAUCACAAAGAGAAUUCCAAGGGGUCUGAAUCAAAGACAAAUUGGUCGUUCGUGGGGGUUCUUACUUUCUUUUGGGUAUAACUCACUGAGGGCACUGUCUUUGUUAUUUGCAUUUCACAUUUAGAGUUCUGUUCUGGAAACAUAUAAAAGGAGCAUCAUUUUGUUCUUGGGUAACCCAUAGUCGUGAGUGGGUCCAUUUGCAUGCUACUUAGUUGAAAAGUUGGACCAUUUGCUCCGACGCCUACCUCCCGGAUUCCAUGCUCGGAUAAAACAAGAAUAAAAAAAAUAUUUAUAAUUUACAAAUGGGGGAAAGAAAAAAAUGUCAACAACAAACCAGGAAAAAAGAGUAGUAAAAUUCAUGUCACAUGCUAGUGAGAGAAGGGGUUGUUACACUCACUCGAAGUUCUUUCCAAAAUAUCGCAUGGUAUUUUAUUUUAUGUGUCAGCGCAGUUGUGAAUGGAACGUGCAAAAGUCCAAAUUGGCGUUUUUCCUUUUCCCGUGUAGGAUGGCGACCUUUAAUAAAUAUUUAAAACAAAAAACGAAAAAAAGGAGGGAAAAGGGAUCAGAAAAGAUAAAACAAUGUGUACAAGAGCUCAAUUAGUUUGCAAAUUACUGUUUGGAUUUUGAUAGUAUUUUAUUUGUCCAUCUAUAUUUGAUGGAAAAGAGAAUUUAAGAUAUUUCUGAAACAAAAGCAUUAGUGUAAAACUAAAUUAAGGUAUAAUUAAGUUAGUUCAAUGCAUUAAUUUAAGAAACUUGAUCUAUCCAAAGUACAAAAUUAGAUGAAAUCCAUUUCAAUGGUUAAAAUGAUCAAAAUCAAACUUUUUCUAAGUAUUUUUUAAAAGCAUCAAUAUUAAAAGACAAUUUUAUAUUUAGUCGGAGUUUGGACAAAACCAAAAAGCACACAAAAUCCAAGCGACCAUCUCUAGCUUGGAUAGUCACUUGAUCCCACCUAGAGAUGUGCAUGAGUAAAAGGAUUUGAAAAUGGAAAUUGACUAAAUAUUUAGUUGAUCAAUUAAAUUUGCAAUGUCAUAUGCAAUCCUAAUAGCUAGUCAUCUAAUCAAUUAGGUAGUCAAUCAAGUGUUUGUAAUGACUAUUUUGUACAAAAAACCACAUGUAUAGUUAAAUAUAAUGCAUUUCAUUUAUAAAUCUUCUAAUUCUUGAAUAACGAUCCUAUCAUCCUUUGAAAAUUUUUAUUACACCUUUUUUACUUUUGUUCUAAAACUUACAUAUCACCCUUAAUUGUACCAUGAGAACCUAGCUAUUUUUUUUUUUUUUGUAAUUCAUCAAAGUUAGCUUUUGUAUUCAUUGUUGUAUUAUUUUUAGUAUAACUUAGAAAGCUAGUGUUUUCAAGUGAGUAAAAUUAACUUGUAAAUAUUGUAAAGAUUCAUUGAUAUGUAUCUUAAACUAAGUGUACAAAUUAAAACAUUUGCUAGUAGAUUUUCUCAAAAUUUAGAAUAGAGCUUGAGGCUAUUGAAAUAGGUGGGGUUACACCAAACCACAUCACAUCGUUGUUUGCACCUUUUUUCACUCUCUUUUACUUAGUUUCUCUAUAUUUGUUGUCUAGUAAUAUCCUAUAGGCUUGAUGGGUUAGGGAGCAUCCCUUUGUGAAAAAAUUUCAUUCAAUUCUUAGUUGUAUUACGCAUAUAUAAAAUGCCUCAUUGUUUUAAUGGUAUUCAGUCGUGGCAUCACAGAUAUGGGCAUCUAAAUUUUAAAAGUUUGAAACUUUUGUAAAGCAUGUUGAUAAAAUCCAUGAGAGUUGUGUACUUGGGAAGCAACAUCGAGGUGACUUUAUUUUUUUUUCCUUUUAUAAUGCCACACCUAAGUCCGGUUUCUAAAUGCUAAAGUGAAAGGGUAGGUAUGGACCAUUGAAAUGUGAUCACAACUUUUGGCCUUUUCCUUUCUCUGCAGCCAUGUUGUCUCUUUUUUCUUUUGCAUGAUUUUCUUACCAAAACAGAAUCAUAGACUUGUUUAGUCUCUAAGCUACUAUAUUAUAUCUCGGUGGACUUUUAAGAGUGCAACCGACAUAGAGCACAUGCAAGUGGGCAUAUGGGACAUGAAAUUUCUUCUUACAAAGAUUGCAUGAUUUUUAUAUUAGAGUUGUUCACGUGCAAUGUAUUUAGCUUGUUUUGCAGUUAAAUUAAUUGGAUAAGUAAACAUUGGCAUUUCUAAAUCGACUGUGAAGUGCUUCAUGUACGUGUAAAGUAUUAGAAAUUUCUUUCUUGGCAACUUGUUUUUUCCUUGCCAUCUACUGGUAGGUUUGACUAAAAUUAUAUUCCCUGUCAUGCUAAUUAAUUUUCAUGUGCAUGCUCAAAAGAAGAGUAUGACCUUAGUGCACCAAAAUCACUUUGAUUAAUUUGUGAUAGGUUUUUUUGCAUCAUUUAGAUAAUGUUUAGUUCUAAGAAAAAUUUAUAUAAAAAUGGUUUAUUUAUCUUACAUAUAUAUAUAUAUAUAUAUAUUUUUUUUUUUUUCAUUUUUUUUUCUUCUAUUUUAUUUAUUUAUUUUAUUUUCCUUAUGUUUUCCUCACAUUUUCCGGAACUAAACAUAGUCUUACGAAAUCAACAAUUGCCUUCAACUGAGUAGAUUCUGUUGUUUUAGCAAUGUUAGGCUGCUAACUUGUGGUGGUACGAACCAAAUGACCCAUGUUAAUCUUGGCUUGGUUUGAUUUGGCUCUAUCUCAGAGAGCUAAAGGAUCACGUCAACUCUGGUUUCUACUAUUCAGGUCCAUUCCCAGAUGAACUGGUUCAAAUUUGAGAAAAUGGUAACAGACCUUUAGUGAUGUUGGUUUGGAGCCAGUUGCCAAACCCGCCCUGAGCUUUACCACUAAUGUCAAGGGAGAAAGCCAUUUGAACAAAAACAAUAGCUUCAAGAGACUGAAUCGUGGAUGAAAUCUGAUCCACAUUUCUUCUCAUUUUGGGAAAAAAUGAGAACUUAACUACAAAGAUUCUACUGCCUCAUUCAUAGUGCUUUUCCUGAUCCAAGGUUGGUUCGUUUCCCAAAUUGUGAGGUGCACGUGCCACUCUCACGCUCAGGAGUGUAUCCACGUGGUGGACAUCAGAUGGUGGCUUAAUAUCUGGUGUCGGUGGCUUUACUUUACUAGGAGAGUAGUGUGUCUUCAUCUCAUUCACUGCCGGAGGGUGGCGUAAGCAGUGACGCUAAGGUGGGGCACAGUCAAUAUCAUUUGCAUUUGACCAUUAUAGUUUUCUCCCGGCUUGAAAGUAACCUUAUCGUGAUAAAGGAUUACUAGCACUAGUUCAGAUGACCGUCAUGUUAAUUCGGACCAUGUUUGUGUCACAUUAUCAGCAACCAUGUGUUUAUGGUUCAUGCUAUCUGCAACUAAACUUGAUAUAUAACCAGGUGAACUUCAAUCAAAAUUCUGGAAGUACUCUUGUGAUAGAUGGUGCCUGUCUGCAGAGUCCAUCAAUUGAAAAAUGGAGUGAGUGUAUCUAUAAGAGGGAAGGCUUGGCAAAUGUUCAGUUUUCUGGGAAUUCAACAAGGAUCUAAAAUAGAUUGUUUUCUUUGCCGACUUCAAUGGUUGAAAUUUGAGAAGAUUGUGUCCACAUAUCACAACUAUUACUGGUCCUUCUGUUGCAAUUUAUCCUGUAAGGCUCUAACAUGUCUUCCAAUUCCCACUUCCCUGUUACUCCAGGAAAGCUAUUUCUGUCAUUGUGAAGAAGAAAAGAGAAUGUACAUAUCGAUGCUUUUAAGUGACUGGAGCAUUCAUAUCAGGUGGUCUGCAGCCAUAUAUGCCACUUUGUGAAGGUUGGAACAGUCAAUCACUAGGCUAUAUAUUGGUGUGGCCCAGCCACUUCAAUCAAGGACAAGUCUUCAUACUUAAAGUCAAAUUCUGCCUUUAGUCUCAUUAUAAAUUGCUGUUUAAAUAUUAAGCAAACUUUUGUUUAAUGCGAUUAAGACAGUACUAACUCAAUACUUGUUCUAUUUUUGGAUGCAAAUGCUUGAUGGUUUCAUCAUUGGAUGGGAUAAAGGUGCAUUCAUGAUUAUGAAUACUUGUAGUUAUAUUUUCAUUCUCUUUUUUCUCAAUGAGACUUGUUGGCACAAUGUUGCUGUUCAGAAACCUACCUCUCCAUGGAAAAUAAGUUGCGAUUGAUAGUACUGGAUAUGUUCAAGAAAGCUAAAUAUAGAUAGCACAAAAUAUUAUCGAUAUAAAUAGCAUUAACAGCGUACGUAUGUCUCAAUGCUCAUCAGCUAUAAGCAUGGGACAAACACUUACUAUGAGCAACUUACGUCAAAAUUCCAGAAUAGGACAUAGAAGUGACAGAUCUAUAUAUAUAGAACACUGCAUAUGAGUCACAAGAAAGGAAAUUACGGGUGCAUAGCAGCUCUUAUUUUACAUACUACUACUCAUACUGAUCAAAGUCACUCAGUUGGGAUGGGUGGGAGUAGGAGGUUUGUGGGGUGGCUUGUGCGGAGGAGUUGGCAGCUUCUUUCCAGGACCUGGUUGCUUCUCUGCUGGAGUUGAAGGAGGCUUAAUCUUCCGAGGUGGCUUGUAUGAGUCUUCAGCAUUCUCAGCUGGAGGGUGACCAGGGUUGUGACCAUAAUGUGGUGGCUUCUCUCCCUUAGGUGGUUUGCCAACUGGGGUUGGUGGCUUGUAUGAGUCUUCAGCAUUCUCAGCAGGAGGGUGACCAGGGUUGUGACCAUAAUGUGGUGGCUUCUCUCCCUUAGGUGGUUUGCCAACUGGGGUUGGUGGCUUGUGUUCUGGGAGUGGCUUCUCCCCCUUGGGAGGUUUUUCCAAUGGGGUUGGUUUGUGUUCAGGAGGUGGCUUCUCCACUGGAGGCUUGUGUUCAGGAGGUGGCUUCUCCACCGGUGGCUUGUGUUCAGGAGGUGGCUUCUCCACCGGAGGCUUAUGCUCUGGUGGUGGCUUCUCCACCGGAGGCUUAUGCUCUGGUGGUGGCUUCUUGAAUGGGGGAUGCUGAGGGUAAUCAGCAAGUGAGGGGGCGGUGAGAACCACCAGGCCAAGCAACACCACUAGCAAAUAUGUAGGAGACAUCUUUGGGUUUGGGCUCAGAUGGUGCAAAACUAGGAGAAUUGGCUAGCCUUUUAUAGCGGAUCGUACUCAAUAAUGAAAUGACACGUGUCAUUAUGACCCAUGUGUAAUGGGGUCGAUUUGGGUCCUACAGUGUUGAAAACUUCGACAUCCAGUUUUGGCCUUUUGCUUUCUCUACAGCCGCCUUGCUUUUUCCCUCUUUCCUUUUGUUUUCCUCCUGCCCCAUUCUAUCAACUAAACACAAUUAUGUAGUUGUUUAAUUCUUAAAUGAGAUAUUAUCGGUCAAUCGUAUUAUAUUUUAUCAAGAGAGAACGGAGUGCAAUGCAGCUGUAAUUUUAUCGUUUACUUUUAUCUCUUGGACCACUGCAUUUUUGUUAAGAGGUGCAAUAAUACACGUCUUUAUCUGCCAUUCAAUGUUUACAGUAAAGAGAGGGCACAAAACUCUUCACUGCUCUGCAUGUGUCCCAAAAAUGCGAUUGGACAAAUUAUGAUUUGCAUGCUAAAAAGAGGCAAAUGAGGUUAAUUCGCACCAUAAUUAUUUGGUUUUCUGGACACCAUAAAAAGAUGUUAUACAGGCAGGGAAAAACCUUCAGAGUUAGCUACCAAAGAUAAUUAUCAAGCAGAUAUCACCAAGAGAAUUCCAUAGAGUCUGAAUCAAAGACAGAUUGCUCGCUCGUGGGGGUUCUUACUUUCUUUUGGGUAUAACUCACUGAGGUCACUGUCUUUUUUAUUUGCAUUUCACAGUUAGAGUUCUGCUCUGGAAGGUUUGUUCUGGAAACAUAUAAAAGGAGCAUCAUUUUGUUCUUGGGUAACCCAUAGUCGUGAGUGGGUCCAUUUGCAUGCUACUUAGUUGAAAAGUUGGACAAUUUGCUCCGACGCCUACCUCCUGGAUUCCAUGCUCGGUAAAACAAGAAUAAAAAAAAAUAUAUAAUUUACAAAUGGGGGAAAGAAAAAAUGUCGGAAAAAAUAGUAAAAUUCAUGUCACAUGCUAGUGAGAGAAGGGGUUGUUACACUCACUCGAAGUUCUUUUCAAAAUAUCGAAUGGUAUUUUACUUUAUGUGUCAGCGCAGUUGUGAAUGGAACGUGCAAAAGUCCAAAUUGGCGUUUUUAUUUUUCCCAUGUAGGAUGGUGACCUUUAAUAAAUAUUUAAAACAAAAGACGAAAAAAAAAAGGAGGGAAAAGGGAUCACAAAAGAUAAAAUAAUGUUUACAAAAGCUCAAUUAGUUUGCAAAUUACUGUUUGGAUUUUGAUAGUAUUUUAUUUGUCGUUCUAUAUUUGAUGUAAAAGAGAAUUUAAGAUAUUUCCGAAGCAAAAGCAUUAGUUUGCUCUGUGAUGUCCCACAUCGAAUAGGGGAGAAAGUUUCUGGCGCUAUAUAUGUAGAGGCUCCUCUUAACCAAGUAGAUGCGUUUUAAAACCAUGAGGGCCCCCUUAGGUCCAAAGCGGACAAUAUCUACAUGAUUGGGUGUAAGUCAUUACAAAUGGUAUCAGAGCCGAUCCCCGACCCCGGUGUGGGGGUUUGUUUGGCCCUGUAAGGGGUGUUUGUCUGUUUGACCCCACAAUCCCAUGGGACACAACGAGGACGUUGUGUCUGCAUGGGGGGGCGUUUGUGAUGUCCCACAUCGGAUAGGGGAGAAAGUUCCUAGUGCUAUAUAUGUAGAUGUUUCUCUUAACCAAGUAGAUGCAUUUUAAAAUUGUGAGGGCCUCUUUGGGCCCAAAGCGGACAAUAUCUACAUGGUUGAGUGUAAGUCAUUACAUGCUCCAUGUCAAUUUCAGCAUUUCUCAUAUGUUUCACACAUACACAGAAGAGCAUCGUUUUUUAAAGCAUGCAUUUAUGUUGGAUUAAUUUGGAUUUUGUGGGAACUGGGGCAAGGAUCACAUGGAAGAGAGGUUGACUUUUUUCAGUACUUCAAUGGUUGAAAUAUGUGAAGGCUUGAUUGAUACUAAAGCUUGAAAUUGCGACUCUGUCAUUUGUAAAAAAAUAUGACAGCUUCCAUGCUCUCGUUUGGUUGCAUUGUCCGGUCGAGAGGUGCAAAAAGCAUUCUCUCUCUUCUAAUAGUCUUUUCGUUUAAAUCAAGGGAUUUGCCUUCCCGGUCGAGGUCCAAUAGAGGGUAACGGUCACCUACUAAACAUUAAAUGCUCCAACAACUAGUGAACUGAUCGACCCCAGCUCGACUAGUUGAGGUUACUUUUUGGUUUUCUUGUCUCCCGAGGUUAGAAACCUAUAAAUAGAGAGCUUCACUUCAUUUAUGAGUAAGAGAACACCUAAAUUUAUUUGUUUACCUACUUGUUUUUGCCAUAAAAGCUCUCAUUUCUUUUCUUGGUGUAUUAAAUCUCCAUUUGCAUAUCCUUUAGUGCACCUUUGUGAUUCAUUCUAGCCUUGAGUUGUAUUUAAGCCUUUGUUGAGCUAGGUUGAGAGUUUCAUACUUGUUUAUUGAGUGUUAAAGCCUUCAAGUGAGUUAAAACUUGAAGAGAUUGUGUAAGAGCCCAUUGGAGUCGGAAUCCAAGUGUAAAGGUGAUUAAAAGCUUGGUUGAAGCUUCAAGUUAGUGGAACUCUCACUCGGUUAUGAGCUUGAGAAGAGUGGACAUAGACAAGGCAGUGUCGAACCACUAUAAAAUCUGAGUUUGAUUUCUCUAACCUUAUCUCUUUAUAUUUGCUUCUCUUGUGCUUAAAUUUUUUGUGUUUAAAAAGAAUUUUUAAAAACUCAAUUCACCCCCUUCUUGGGAGUUUUUCUCUUUUAAGAUCAGCUUUUAUUUUCUCAAUUGGUAUCAGAACUAUGCCUCUUGUUUAAGACUUAAUCGUCUAAGAGGAAAUGGCUAAUCCAUCAAGUUCAUCUCACAUUGAAAGUUUUGCAACCAAUAGACUUCUUUUUUUUUUUUUGCGGGAACUGAUUAUCCCUAUUGGAAAACUAAAAUGACUUGGUUUUUACAAUCAAUUGAUUUAGAUGUAUGAGAUGCCAUUGAAGAUGACCUAACUUUUCCUUCAAAACUAGUUGAUGGAGUCAUGGUUCCAAAACCUAAGCAAGAAUGGGAUGAGCGUGAUUGAAGAAAUUUUCAAUUAAAUGCUAAAGUCGUUUAUACUUUGCAAUGCUCUAUGGACAGAAAUGAAUAUAAUAGAAUAUGUCAAUGCAAAUCGGUUAAAGAAAUUUGGAGAUUGCUUGAAAUAACUCAUAAAGGAACAAAUCAAGUUAAAGAGUCAAAAAUCAAUUUACUUGUUCAUAGAUAUGAAUUGUUUUUUAUGAAAGAUAAUGAAACUAUUGUUAAGAUGAUCACUAGGUUCACCAACAUUGUUAAUGGUCUUAAAGCCUUGGGAAAGACCUACAAGGAAUCCGAAAACGUGAUGAAGAUCUUGAGGUCACUUCCAUCAAAGUGGCAUACCAAGGUCACCGCAAUUUAAGAAGCAAAAGACUUGAUCAAGCUACCUUUGGAGGAGUUCAUAGGGUCAUUGAUGACAUAUGAAAUCAAUUUGGCAAAGAAGUAACAAAAAGGUGAAGACAAAAAGAAGAAGAACAUAACUCUCAAAGCUACAACUAAGGAAGAAGAAGUUGAAGAAGAAAAACAAAUUGAAGAAGAUGAAGAUUUAGCCCUCAUCACAAGAAAGUUCAACAAAUUCAUGAGGGGUGAAAGGUUUAGAAGAAGAAGGUUCACUUCUAGAAGAGACUUUUCUAAAAAGGAAUCUUCAUCUAAUGGUGACAAAAAGAGAUGGGAAGAGAAAAGAGACUUGGUGUGUUUCAAGUGCAAGAAACCGGGACACAUUAAAUAUGAUUGUCCUCUCUACAAAAGUGAAGUCAAGAGGAAAAAGAAUAAGGCAAUGAUGGCCACUUAGAGUGAAAGUGAAGAUGAAUCAUCCGAAGAAGAAAAUGAGAAAGAAGUGGCAAACAUGUGUUUCAUGGCAAUAGAUGAACUUGAUGAGGUAAAAUCUAACCUUAGUGAUUAAGAUAUACAUGAUGCAUUUGAAGAAUUGUAUGAGGAUUUUUAAAAACUUAGUUUGAAAAAUAUUUCUCUUAAAAAGAAAGUUCAACAACUUGACAAAGAACUUAGAGAAGUAAAAGAAAAAUUUUCAAAUGUUAAAGUUUCUAAAACUCAUCUUGAAAAAGAAAAUGAGAUUCUAAGAAAGAAAAAUGAAUAGUUGAACUCCUCUCUUUCAAUCUUUUCUUCUAGACAAAAAUCUUUUGAAAUGAUUCUAACUAGCUAAAAAUGUGUUUUUGACAAACAAGGGUUAAGAUUUAAAUCUUCAAAAAAUCAAAAGUAUUUUAAAAACUAUUUUGUAAAGGAAUCCACAAGUGCAAGUCCUUCCACUACUUGCAACUUUUGUGGAAGAGAAUGGCACAUUAGUAGUACGCCCUUUAAGAAAUGGUUCUCAAAAGAAUUUAAAUGCAAAAACUAAAAAAGAUUUGGAUUGAGAAAUCCAAGGUCACUAACCCUCAAGGACCCAAAAAGAUAUAGGUACCUAAAUCAACUUGAGUUUUAUGUUGUAAGGUUCAAAGAAUGAUAAGUGGUUCUUAGAUAAUGGUUGCUCAAGACACAUGACCGGAGAUGAAUCCAAGUUUGCUUUUCUUAAAAAGAAAAAUGGAGGAUAUGUUACCUUUGGAGACAAUGCAAAAGAAAGGAUGAUUGGUCAAGGCAACAUUGGUAAUGGCACAUCCUCUCUCAUUGAAAGUGUUUUAUUAGUAGAUGGUUUCAAACAUAACCUUUUAAGCAUUAGUCAAUUUUGCGACAAAGGUUUUUAAGUGAUUUUUUAAGCAUCUCAUUGCAUCAUCAAGGAUAUUCAAAAUGAUAAAACCAUUUUCAUGGGCCAUAGAUGUGAUAAUGUUUAUGCUAUAAAUAUUUCAAAAUAUGAUGGCCAUGAUAGAUGUUUUUCAAGCAUGCAUGAUCAAAGUUGGUUGUGCCAUAGGAGAUUGAGACAUGCUAACAUAGACCUCAUUUCCCAACUCAACAAAGAUGAACUUGUUAGAGGCCUUCCCAAAAUAAUUUUUUAAAAAGAUAAAGUUUGUGAAGCUUGUCAAGUGGGAAAGUAAAUCAAAAACUCUUUUAAAAACAAAAACUUCAUUUCCACAUCUAGGCCACUUGAGUUGUUGCAUAUGGAUUUAUUUGGUCCCUCUAGGACACCAAGUCUUAGAGGAAAUUCUUAUGCAUAUGCUAUUGUGGACGACUUCUCUAGAUACACAUGAGUCUUGUUUUUUAGUCAAAAGAAUAAAGUUUUUUAUGAGUUUUCAAAGUUUUGCAAUAAGAUUCAAAAUGAAAAAGGUUUUUCAAUUACUUAUAUAAGAAGUGAUCAUGGGAGAGAAUUCGAAAAUAUUGAUUUUGAAGAGUAUUGCAAUGAGCAUGGAAUUGACCACAAUUUUUUGGCUCUUAGAACUCCUCAACAAAAUGGGGUAGUUGAAAGGAAAAAUAGAACUCUUCAAAAAAUGACAAGAACCAUACUAAAUGAAAACAACUUACCAAAAUAUUUUUAGGCCAAAACGGUUAACACUUCUUGUUAUGUUUUAAAUAGAGUAUUAUUGAGGCUCAUACUUAAGAAAACUCCCUAUGAGCUUUGGAAAAACAAAAAACCCAACAUUAGUUAUUCCAAAGUCUUUGGAUGCAAUAUUUUAUAAUAAACACCAAAGACAAUCUUGGAAAAUUUGAUGCAAAAUUGGAUGUUGGAAUUUUCCUUGGUUACUCAACUUCAAGUAAAGCUUUUCGAGUUUUAACAAAAGAACCAUGGUUGUAGAGGAGUCCAUCCAUGUUAUUUUUUAUGAAUCUCCAAGAAAGAGAGAGGAUUGAUGAUGAUUUAGGUUUGAAGACCUCUAUAGGAAGAUUGCAAAUCGAAGAUAGAAGACAACAAGAAGAAAAUGGAGAGAAUCCAAAGAAAGAAGGAUCACCAUUGGCACUACCCCCUCAUCAACAAGCGCAAGGUGAAUCAAGUCAAGAGCUUCCUAAAGAAUGGAAGUUUGUCAUCAAUCACCCACAAGAUCAAAUUAUAGGCAAUCCAUCUAGUGGGGUAAGAACUAGAUCCUCUCUUAGAAAUAUUUGCAAUAAUCUAGCUUUUAUCUCUCAAAUUGAGCCUAAAAAUAUAAAUGAUGUUUUAGAUGAUGAAAAUUGGAUAAUUGCAAUGCAAGAAGAGUUAAAUCCAUUUGAAAGAAGUGGAGUAUGGGAAUUAGUACCAAGACCUUCAAAUCAAAGUGUUAUUGGAACUAGAUGGAUCUUUAGAAAUAAAAUGGAUGAAAAUAGCAUAAUUGUUAGAAAUAAAGCAAGAUUGGUAGCCCAAGGUUUUAAUCAAGAAGAAAUGAUAGAUUAUGAAGAAACCUUUGCCCCCGUAGCUAGGUUGGAAGCCAUUAGGAUGCUACUUGCCUUUGCAUGUUUUAAAGACUUUGUUUUAUAUCAAAUGGAUGUGAAAAGUGCUUUUUUAAAUGGUUUUAUAAAUGAAGAAGUAUAUGUUGAACAACCACCCGGUUUUCAAAGUUUCAACUUUCCUAACCAUGUUUUUAAACUUAAAAAGACACUUUAUGGUUUGAAACAAGCACCUAGAUCAUGGUAUGAAAAAUUGAGUAAAUUUCUUUUGAAAAAAAUGUUUUAAAAUGGGAAAAAUUGACACAACUCUUUUUAUAAAAACCAAAGAAAAUGAUAUGCUCUUAGUUCAAAUAUAUAUUGAUGAUAUCAUUUUUGGUGCUACUAAUGUCUCUCUUUAUGAAGAAUUUUCUAAGUGCAUGCAUAGUGAGUUUGAAAUGAGCAUGAUAGGAGAACUCAACUUCUUCCUUGGACUUCAAAUCAAGCAACUAAAGGAAUGAACCUUCAUCAAUCAAGCAAAGUAUAUAAGAGAUCUUCUCAAAAGGUUCAACAUGGAAGAAGCCAAAACAAUGAAGACUCUAAUGAGCUCAUCCAUUAAGCUUGAUAAGGAUGAGAAAGGUAAAUCCAUUGACUCUAUUAUGUAUAGAGGCAUGAUAGGUUCUUUGCUCUAUUUGACCACUAGUAGACCUUACAUUAUGUAUAGUGUGUGUUUGUGUACUAGAUUUCAAUCUUGUCUUAAAAAAUCUCACUUAAGUGUCGUGAAAAGAAUCCUCAAAUAUUUGAAAGGGACAAUGGACAUAGGCUUAUGGUAUCCUAAGAGUGAUAACUUUGAAUUAAUUGGUUUUUUGGAUGCUGAUUUUGUCAGUUGUAGGGUUGAAAAAUAAAACACUAGUGGCACUUUUCAUUUCUUAAGACACUUACUUGUCUCAUGGCAUAAUAAGAAGCAAAAUUUGGUAGCUUUGUCAACAGCAGAAGCUAAAUACAUAGCAACUGGUUUAUGUUGUGCACAAAUCCUUUGGAUGAAAUAAACACUUAGUGAUUUUGAUUUAUCUUUUGAGCAUAUUCCUAUUAAAUGUGAUAAUAGUAGUGCCAUAAGUAUAUCAAAAAAUCUCGUGCAACACUCUAGGACUAAGCAUAUAGAGAUUAGACAUAAUUUUCUUAGAUAUCAUACACAAAAGGAUGAUAUAACACUUGAAUUUGUAAGCAUAAAAGACCAACUUGCCGAUAUCUUUACAAAACCUCUAAGAACAUUUUGUUGAUAUUAGAGGACAAUUAGGAGUGAUUUCUUUAUGAUCUAAUGUGAUGAAUUCUUGAUGAAUAUACUUUUUGAUUGCAUGAAUUUCAUGUCAUAUAUGCAUCAUAUAGAAAUAUACUUAGAUAAUGGUCAAAUUUCGACCAAAAAUCAAAAUUCCCAUGGCAUUAGGCAUAAAAAUUUUGGAAUUUCAACUGAAAAUGGUAGGAGGAGGAUCACAAAAUGAGAAAGUAUGCAAAAAUUGAAAAAUCAAAACGUUGACCAAGCGGUCAAUCGGACUAGACCGAUCGACUAGUUUGUCGAGAUUUAGGAUUUUUAAGAGACUCCAACGCUUCAAUUUUUGCACCGUUCUCCUCUAUUUCUUCACGGUUUCUCUGAUUUUGUCUUUUAGAGACUAAUUUGAGUGCGUUUUGGAUCAAUUGAAGCAUUUUGGAUUGGAUUUUAGGAAGAUUGAAAGUUAAGGUUUCGGAUUUGGGUCGCCUUCUCUUCCUCUCGCGUGUCACAAUCAGCUUUAGCAUUGUUCUCUUUCCAUUUUCACACACCUAGGGUUUCAGUUGUGAGCAUCUCUCUCUCUUUACCAACCACUACUCCCUUGCUUCUUCCAUAUGGCUCCUAGGCGAGAGUCCGCUACUUCUAGGGCACAAGGCAAGCACCCAACUGAGUCGUCUCAGUCAAAGGCACGUCGAAAAGUGAGAUUUGACAUUGCCUUGUUCAGUUCCAUGGAGGACUACCAACUAUACAAGCAACACUUUGCUUAGAGACGAGUAGUUCCCAAGAGAAAUAUUAAUUUUCCUCAACUUCAGCAUUUCGAAUUUAAGGGUCUAUUUACUAGGAUGGUUGGUUGUCUAUUGUCACAAUUUCGGAGCCGGUUUUCCUGACCUUAGUGCGAGUUUUUUACUCGAGGGCGACUUAUGGCAUGGGUGGCAUGAUCAUUUCUACUGUUGGAGGAGUUGAGAUCUGUCUGGACCCAGAGAGCAUCUGCCAUAUUUUCGAUAUUGCUCUGGUUGGACUCAAAGUAUACAAGUCCAAAAUGUGGCCCAUUGUGCCAGGAUUUGAGCUUAGAGAGGUCAUUCAGAGGAUUUGUGAACUUCCAGACGCCCAGGAGAUGGGCAAACCAUUGCCACACAGUUUGACGGUCAUCAACAGGGUGCUACACCAUAUAUUGUGCUCUAUCUUUCUACCACGAAGUGGACAUUGAGAUGAGGUCUCUUAUUAUGAGGCAUUCCUUAUUGACUCCAUUCUAACGGAGAGACGAAUUCAUCUACUAUGUCAUCAUUCACUAAGCCUCCUCACAGUGACAUACCACCUCAUCAGGCACCUCUUGCUCCUGACCAUGCUCCAUUGAUGGAUUUAUUUACUCAUAUUAGCUCUCUAGGCACUCGCAUGAAGGAGUUUGUUGUAGUUAGUGAUACAUGGUUCUACUCCAUAGAGGAUCGCAUGGAUCAGUAUCAGACUGGCUUCACGUCACAGUUUGAGUAUCUCCAAUAGAGGAUUGAGCAUAUUGAGGAUCACUUGAGCAUGAGAAGAUGAUGGCUUUUCUAUGCUCUGUGUUUCCACCUCCACCUCGUCAACCUUGAUUUCUUAGAGACCCAUUGUUUUCAUUUUGUAAUGUUGCCAAAAGGGGGAGAUAUUUAGGAUCUAGGACUCUAUAGGAGACUUACAUGCAUAUCAUUUUCAUAUCAUUGUUUGGAUCGUACAUAUUGGAUAGUGAUACUUUUUACUUAUAUAUGAUAUGCCUAUAUGUUUCAUGUCUUACAUUGUUUCUUAUUGCAAAUUAUCUCUAACAUGUCUUGAUUAUCUUUUUUUUAACUUCAUAAAUUUUGAUUGUUAACCCAUGAUUGGUUUGAGGGGAAGAUUCUUCUUCUCCUAGAUAACCAAGGUUUGUCAUCAUAAAAAAAUUGGAGAUUGUUAGCCCAAGGGUUCUCCUAAUCAUGUUUUGAUGAUAACAAACCAUGCUUAAGUUACUAAUUGGUUUGAAUUAUAAAGAAUUUCAAGUGUUAAUUUGAAAAUUCAUCAAAGAACCUAAUGGAUGCAAGAUCAAGAUUUUUGGAAGACCUUUAAUCAUAAGAAACAUAUGUAAGAUGAAUGCAUGGGUGCACUUAAGAUUUGCAUAUCAUUUCAUGCAUAUUUGGAAAACACGGUUUAUGCUUUAAAGUUACAUUUCCAUCAAAAUUUGAGAUCCAUCAAAUGAACCUUAGGAAAAAUGUUUUAAAAUUGGCAUAUAAUUUUACCUAAAGACCUUGCCUAAGUGUUAGAAGCAAAAGGACAAAAAAAAUAUAGGUUUUCUGGUCAAAAAUGGUGAACCAGUCAAGGCAUUGUCUAAAUCAGCUCAAUCGGCCAAGGUACCGGUCGAUCGGUUUCCCUUUCCCUGUCGAGAUCUAGUCAAGAGGUACAAAAAUCACAAUCUCUGUCUCUUUCUCUCUUUGUCUAUCUUCCAGUAGUCUUUCCUUCCCGGUCGAGGGAUUUGCCUUCCCGAUUGAGGUCCGAUUGAGAGUAAUAGUCACUUGCCAAAUAUUAAAUGCUCCAACAGUUAGUGAACUGGUCGACCCCCACCUUGCCCAGUUGAGGUUACUUUUUGGUUUUCUUGGCUCCCGAUGUUAGAAACCUAUAAAUAGAGAGUUCCACUUCAUUUAUGAGCAAGAGAACACUUGCAUUUAUUUGUUUACCUACUUGUUCUUGCCUUAAAAGCUCUCAUUUCUUUUCUUGGUGCAUUAAAUCUCCAUUUUGAUAUCCUUUAGUGCACCUUUGUGAUUCAUCUUAGCCUUGAGUUGUAUUUGAGCCCUUUUUUUAGCUAGGUUGAGAGUUUCAUACUUGUUAAUUGAGUGUUAAAGCCUUCAAGUGAGUUGAAACUUGUAGAGAUUAUGUGAGAGUCGAUUGGAGCCGAAAUCCAAGUGUAAAGGUGAUUAGAAGCUUGGUUGAAGCUUCAAGUUAGUGGAAUCCUCACUCAAUUAGGAGCUUGAGGAGAGUGGACGUAGCCAAGGAAGUGUCGAACCACUAUAAAAUUUGAGUUUGAUUUCUCUAACAUUGUCUCUUUAUAUUUGUUUAUCUUGUGCUUAAAUUUAUUGUGUUUAAAAAGAAUUUUUAAAUACCCAAUUCACCCCCCUCUUGGGUGUUUUUCUCUUUUAAAAUUAGCCUUUAUUUUCUCACAAACUAUUGUAGUAUAGUGGUUUUUAGGUGUCAUCCAUUAGGAUGAAUUGUUCUCGGUAAUUAAGGCGUGAAUGAGAGGAGAAUUAAUGAUUGUGAUUAAGUAAAAUUGAUUUGAAAAUUCAUGGUGAAAAAUCAAUUUAACAAUGGUUUCUAAUUGAGAAAAACAAUGAAAUGUGAAAUAAAAUAAAAUUAAUAGGAAAUGAAAUUCUCGAAGUUAGAAUUUUCUAAAAAACAAAUUCCAUGGUGAAUGGAUGUUGAGAUCUAAUUUUCAUCAAGUUAGAUUGAAAACCGAAAUUUUCAUAUAAACUGAUUUUUUAUUUAGUUUUAGGUCUAGAUUUAAUUUCCCUUAAAAUUAGGUUAUUUAAUCCAAGAAAUCAAUUCAAAUCAUAUAUUCAAUUCAUCUUAAAUUAUCUUCCAAUUAUUCACACAAUGCAACUAUUCAAUCUCAUCAAAUCUAGCUUUUAAGAAUUUAAUGAAUCUACCUAGUUUGCAUUGUAAUAGUCAUCCAUGACAAUUUGAAGAGAAAAAUAAUUCAAUUAAUCAAUCACUUGGAUCAAAUUACCUUUGCAAUUAAAGUUCAUUUCUCUAAUUCACCACAGAUUUUGUCUCUAGAUCCUCCUUUCUCAAAGAAAAAUGAGAUUUAGCCACACAUGAUUGGAGAUUUGGUCUCAUAAGGCAUGUUUAGCUAGUGAUAAAAUGAGAGAAAAUAAAGAAAAAUAGAGAAUUCGAUUAAGAAAGAAAAUCUAAAAAAUUCUACAAUUAGAAAUGUCCAAAAAGCUUUUUCAUGAGAAAAUCAAGUUUCUAUUUAUAGGCCAAGGUCAAGUGGACACUUGACAUCAUCUAAGAGGUCUUCCGGAAGCUUCUUCAUCAAGAAAUCUGGAGUUUAAUAAUAAAAUGGUCAUUUCACAAGAGCUCAAACAAUUUCGCAUGAUUAUGUGAAAUAAAAAAUGCAACAACAGCAAUUUACAUCUUCUUGGAGCAUUUCGCAUGACUGUGUGAAAUUUUCACAUGAUCAUGUGGAAUCGACUUGACAACUCUCAUUUAGCCUACAACAUAAUUCCACCUUUUGGUCCAUUUUUCAUAGUCAUGCGAAAUGGAAAUAUUUGAUUUUUAAGUUUUCUUUUGUCAUUUCUUUCAUUUCCUUCUCUUGAUUCCACUUCAACUACCUCCGAAUCCUGGUCCAAACCAAUUGCAUUACUUCUUUCAUUAUGCAUUUGGAUCAUCAUCAACAUUAUUUGUUCUCUUCAAUUUGAUUCAUCUCUUUUGUCACCAAUUUAUCAAAAUCAUACCUUGAAAUGACUCCAAAACUUCAUAAAACUUGUUAGUAACUCUUGCAAGGGCAACAACAUAUUAAUUAAGUGUUUUAGGCAUAGUUACUACUCAAAAGAUGCGAAACUCAUGAUAAUUAUUAUAUAAAAUAUGCUCUUUUUGAGUAGUAAUCAACUUUCUUGCAUAAGCAGACCUUUUAGGGUGGAGUACUAAAGACCAAUAUGCUUGUCCUUGUUGUAAUAAAGAAACUUGCUCUUAUUGAUUGCACCAUGGGAGAAAAUUUUGCUACAUGAGUUAUCAUCAAUUUCUUCCCACCAAUCAUAGAUUUAGACGUGACAAGAGGCCUCUUAAUGGCAAGGAGGAACUGACACUCACACUUAUACAAUUAUCGGGCAUUGAUGUGUUGCAACAAUUAGAAUAACUUACACCAAUUAUGUUGGGGAAGUCACAAAAGGCAAACAUGAAAACUAAAAGGAAAAAAGAAAAAUGUUACAUAUCACCACAACUGGAAAGAAAAAAGUAUUUACUUUCAUUUGCCAUAUUGGAAAGCACUUAUUUUACAUCAUAAUAAUUUAGACAUAAUGCAUAUUGAGAAAAAUGUGUGACAAUAUAAUUGAGACAUUGUUCAGUAUUGACGAAGAAACAAGGACAACCUAAAUAGUCAUCUCGAUUUACAAGCUCUAACUAUUAGAAAUGAGAUUCACCCAAUAGAAAGCAGGACCAAAUUUAUUUUGCUUGCAACAUGCUACUCACUCACCCCAAAUGAGAUUAAGGAAUUUUGCAAGUUUUUGAAAUCAAUAAAGGUCCCCAAUGGCUAUUCUUUCAAUAUCUCUCGUUAUGUGCAACUCAAUGAAAGGAAGAUAUAUGAGCUCAAAUUGUAUGAUUGUCAUGUCCUAAUGCAACAACUUCUCUCACUUGUAGUUCGUGGAGUUCUACAUAAGAAUGUUUGUGGAGUUAUCAUAGAAUUGCGUAAUUUUUUCAAGCAAUUGUGCUCAAAGGUGUUAGAAACAAAUCACUUACACCAACUUGAGAACAAUAUUAUUGUCAUACUAUGUAAAAUGGAGCAAAUAUUUCUUCCAUCAUUCUUUGAUAUUAUGGUGCAUUUACUUGUGCAUCUAGUAAGGCAAAGGUUGCAAGACUUGUGCAAUAUUGUUGGAUGUACCUAAUUGAACGAUAUUGUUAUAAUUUCAUAUGAAUCAUUUAAUUUUAUUUUAUAUUAUGUUCAGUUCAUUAACAUGUACAUUGGUCUACAUAUGGAUGAUGAUAGGUACCUAAGCACUUUAAAGUCAUAUGUGCGUAAUAGAACUUUUCUAGAAGGUUCUAUUGUAGAAAGGUACCUUGCAAAAGAAUGUACAACAUUUUAUUCUAGGUACUUGAAUGAUGUGGAAAUAAAGUAUAAUCACAAUGAUAGAAACUUUGUUGGUUUCAACACUAGAGGAGAUGAAAGGGGUUAUCUUUAAACAUAUUGGACAUGCAUUGGGAAAGCCCAUAUUUCAUUAACUUAGUUCAAAAGAGUGGUCACAAGCACAUUUAUAUGUGUUGACAAAUUGCGAAGAUGUCAUACCAUUCAUUGAGUAAAAAAUUUAUUUGAAUUUUAAUUAAAGCUCUAGUUUAUAUCCUUAAUCAAUGUUUUUUAAAUUCACAAGGAGCACAAGCAAACCAUCAAGGCUAGACCACAUAUACGUGUUUGAGACGUAGAUUUAAUUCAUAACAAGGAAUUUAUCAAGUGGUUUGAAAGACAUGUAAGUAUAUUCCUUAUUAUAAGGGAUUUAUUUCACAUUAUGUUUAUAUUGAAUCCAAACCUAUUAUUGAAUUGUAGGUUGAACAAUUACAUAAUGAAGGUCAUAUAUCUGAACACCUUCUCACAUUAUCAUGUGUUCCAAAUUCAUUAGUUACAUGCUUCAAAUGAUAUAUUGUCAAUGGAUUUAGAUCCCACAUUAAAGAACGUGAUAAAAAAGUUUUUAAAAAAAGACUCAGAAUAAUGGAAUUGUUGUAGUUGCAAAAACGUCAAGCUUUACAAGUGCAUGUGAUAUGAGUCCAAUUAUUAGUGAUGCUCUCUACUAUGGUGUUCUAACUAAAGUUGUUGAGUUACAUUAUCUUGGUGAAAAUAAGGUUGUUUUAUUCGAGUUUGAUUGGUGGGAUGUUACAAAUAUUGGAAAAUUGAUAAAAGAUGAUGAGUACAAUUACACAUUUGUUAACUUUGCAUGAAUUCUAACCACGAACGAACGAUUUGUACUUGCAUCUCCAGCAAAGUAAGUGUUCUAUGUGAAGAAUGCGAAUGAAUCAGAUUGGCAUACUAUCAUGGAGAUGCAACCUCAAGACCUCUAUAAGAUGAACGGGAUAGGAUCCAAUGGUGAUUUUGAACCAUUUCAACAAAGUGAACUACAUGAUCACUAAUAUAUCUCAGAUUUAGUUGAUGAAGAUAUAAUCAAGUGGAACAAAAGUGAUGUUUUAGGACUAAUCAUCCUAAAAAAUAUUGUAGUUUCUUAAAAAAAAAAUGAAAAUGAAGAAGAUAAUUGAACCUUUGUCAUACUUUAAAAAGCAACUAUGCAUUGUUCAUUUUGUAUGUUUUGGUUUUCUUCAUUUAAUUUCCUGAUUUUUGUGAUUCAAUGUCAUAUUAUUGAUCUUGAAAUAUUUUUCUAAUUUUUCAUUCUACGAUGGUUUCAACAAGGAUGACAUCAAGUCAAAAAAGGAAAUGUGGUCCCACACACAAUAUUGCAUUACAGGGAUUAAGGUCAGGGAAGAAGGUAAAAGUUGCAUUUAAUGAGUACAAUCAAUUGGUUAAACAGAAAAAUGGAAAACACUUAUCGAGCUACAUAGGGACACUUGUAUCUAACCAACACAAUGUACCUCUCCAAGCUAGUGAUUGGAAAAAUGUUCCAAAUGAUGCAAAAGAGAAAGUAUGGCCUUUGUUUUGGUAUGUUGUAUUUCUCACUAUAUGAUGUCAUUUCACUGUUAUUCUAUUUUGUGACUAACGUUUGAAUCAUAUGUAAGAAAAAUUUGAAGUAGAUAAAGACUGAAAAGAUUACAUGUUGGGUAUAGCCUCAAAUAAAUAUAGAAGCUAUAAAAAUAUGAUGAAUGCAAAAUACUAUGACCCUUGGCAUAAGGAUGCAUGAGGAGAGGUUAAUACAUAAAUCACCAUUUGUCUCUGAUGUUGAUUGGAAGUGGCUUGUCUCUGAUGCAUAAACCAAAUCCCCCACUGAAUGUUUGAUAUUUGAUAGCAGGAAAAACACACCCGCAGCUAUACACCUCCAUCAUUCAGAUAAUUAUAGUGGGGGAGAUGAUUCAUGGUUGCCCUUAUACCCUUUAUUUGCACCAUCUAUUGAGAUUCUUUAUCAUGGCCAGGUUUUACUGCAGCAAUAAGAUAUGGUGGCAACAAUUUUAUCUAUAGGUGCGGUUCCAGACCGCCUCCAUAGGUGCGGUUCCUGACUGCCUCCAUAGGUGCCUCUUCUUGUAAUGUUUGUUCUGGGAAUUACACUUGAAAGCCUUAUCGUGAUAAGGGAUUACAAACACUAGUUCAGAGGACAGCCAUGUUAAACUUCCACUAUGUUUGUGUCACAUUAUCAGCAGCCUAGUGUUUAUUGGUCAUGCUAUCUGCAACUAAUAUAACCCGGUGAACUUCAAUCUAAAUUCUGAAAGUACUCAUGUGACAGAUGGUGCCUUUCAGCAGAUAUCAUCAAUUUAAAAGUAGUGUGUGUGCCUAUAGGUGGGAAGGCCUUGGCAAAUGUUCAGUAUUCCGGUAAUUCAAGAAGGAUAUAUCUAAAAUAGAUUUUCUUCUUGCCCAUUUCAAUAGUUAAAAUUUGAGAAGAUUGUGUCCACAUCACACAAAUAUUAUUGGUCCUUCUGUUGCAAUUUACCUCUGAACAUGUCUUCCAAUUCCCACGGUCCUGUUACUCCAGGAAAACUAUUUCGGUCAUAUUGAAAAAAAAAAUAUUAAAGAAGGUACACAUGCUUUUAAGUGGACUGGGGCAUUCAUAUCAGGUGGUCUGUAUCCACAUAUGCCACUUCGUGAAAGGUGGAACAGCCUAAUCACUAGGCUAUUUAGUGUGGCCCAGCCACGUUAAUCAAGCACAAGUCUUCAUACUUAAAGUCAAAUGGUGUCUUUAGUCUCAUUACACAUCGCUAUUUGAAGAUUAACUCAUCACUAGUGUAAUGCGAUUAAGACAGUCCUAACUCAAUAUUUGUUCUAGUUUUGGAUGCAAAUGCUUGCUGGUUUCAUCAUUGGAUGGGAUAAAGGUGCAAUCAGGACUAUGAAUACGUGCAGUAAUACUUCAUUCUCUUUUUUCUCAAUGAGACUUCUUGGCACAAUUUUGCUGCUCAGCAACCUACCUUUCCAUGGAAAAUCAGUUGUGACUGAUAGUAAUGGAUAUAUUCUAGAAAGCUAAACAUAGAUAGCAUUCAAUAUUAUCGAUAUAACAUUAACAGCGUAUGUCUCAAUGCUCAUCAGCUACAAGCAAUGGACAAACACUUUGAGUAACUCACAGCAGUCAAAAUUCCUAAACAGGACAGACGUGACAGAUCUAUAUAUAGAACACUGCAUAUGAGUCACAGGAAAAGAUAAUACGGGUACAUAGAAGCUCUUAUUUUACAUAUUACUCAUACUGAUCAAAGUCGCUCAGUUGGGAUGGAUGGGAGAAGGAGGUUUGAGGGGUGGCUUGUGCGGGGAAGUUGGCAGCUUCUUUCCGGGAGCUGGUUGCUUCUUUGCUGGAGUUGAAGGAGGCUUAAUCUUCCGAGGUGGCUUGUAUGAGUCUUCAGCAUUCUCAGCAGGAGGGUGACCAGGGUUGUGACCAUAAUGUGGUGGCUUCUCUCCCUUAGGUGGUUUGCCAACUGGGGUUGGUGGCUUGUUUUCUGGGAGUGGCUUCUCUCCCUUGGGUGGUUUGCCAACUGGGGUUGGUGGCUUGUGUUCUGGGAGUGGCUUCUCCCCCUUGGGAGGUUUUUCGAAUGGGGUGGGUUUGUGUCCUGGUGGUGGCUUCUCUCCCUUGGGAGGUUUACCAAUUGGGGUCGGUGGCUUGUGUUCUGGGAGGGGCUUCUCUCCCUGGGGAGGUUUAGUGGGUGGCUUGUGUUCUGGAGGUGGCUUCUCCACCGGAGGCUUAUGCUCUGGUGGUGGCUUCUCGAAGGGGGGAUGCUCAGGGUAAUCACCAAGUGAGGGGGUGGUGAGAACCACCAUGCCAAGCAACAACACUAGCAAGUAUGUAGUAGACAUCUUUGGGUUUGGACUCAGACAGUGCAAAACUACGAGAAAUCGCUAGCCCUUUAUAGCGGCUCGGACCUAAUACUGACAUAAUAUAAAAUAAAUAUUAUAUUUUAUCAAGAGAGAACAGAGUGUAAUUUUAUCAUUAAUACCGAUCGAGGCCAAAGAAAGAAGACCCAUAAUCCAUUUCCCACAAGCAUACACAAUGCAGCUGUAAUUUUAUCAUUUACUUUUAUCCCUUGGACCACUGCAUUUUUGUUGAGAGACACAAUAACACAUUUUUAUCUGUCAUUCAACAUUUACAGUAAAGAGAGGGCACAAAACGCAAUUAGAUAAAUUAUGUUUUGCCUGCUAAAAAGAGGCAAAUAACUUUAUUUGCAACAUAAUUAUUUUGGUUUCUAGUGACCCCGGGGCCUUUCGGUUGGUUUGGGAUCGGAAAAUGAACAUCAUAGGGGGGGUUGUGCCCUUAUGGGCAUAUAUAUCUGAUAGCUUCAACUGGCCUUGUUCCUAGAAAGAAAUUGCCAAAGAUAUAAACUUAUUCCAGGCUGAAAGUAGAUGAGAGUCAUAAUGAACAUCAACCUUUGUUCAGUUUGAUUCAAUGCCCCCAUAGUGUUCAUUUCACAGAUCUGAAUGAUUAUAUCCGUUGAAUACAUAAAUUAAUGAAGACAAAUAUGAAACCCAAGAUACAUCUCUGCAUAACAACCCCAACCCUGGUUGCUAUGUUUCCCUUCUUCUAUUCACAUGAGGAUACUGGUUAUAAUUGUCAAACUUGCAACAAGCCCUUUGACACCUAACGUCAAUGGACGAAUUAAAAGUCUCCUUCAAACGUCUAUUUCACAGCAUGAAGCUUAUAAAGGAUGCUGACAACCUUCAGAGUUAGCGACAAAAGAUAAUUAUCAAGGAGAGAUAGUUCCAUGAGAAUUCCAAGGAGUCUGAAUCAAAGACAAAUUGCUCACUCAAGGGUUCUUAUUUUCUUUUAGGUACAAAUCUCUUGAGUGUUGUUAAAGAAACACGUCACUGUCAUUUUGAUUUGCAUUUAACAUUUCACUUUUGUUCUGGAAGGUUUGUUCCGGAAACAUAUCAAAUGAGCAUCAUUUUCUUCUUCGGUGACACAUGGUCGCGAGUACGUGGGUCCAUUUUCAUGCCACUUAGUUGAAAAGUUGGAAAGAAAAAACAUGCCAACAAGAAGAUAGUGAGAGAAGGGGCACUUCAAGCCUUUAACAUGAACAAACAGUAAAUAAAAGAUGUUUCUCCACUCAUAAAAGUGUGUUAGAUAGCAAUAUAACGAAUCACAUCCAAAAUCUUUACUAGGCUCAAACAUAAAGAAGACUCAUUUUUAAGAAAAGAUAAAAAUGGCAUUGUCUGAUAGUAUCCAAUACACGAGAUGGCACUUAAUUUGUACAAGAUCUGUCAAUGCUGACGCACAUUUUCUGAUUAAAAAAAAACUGAUCAGUCAAAAGCAAUGAAGAGAAGUGAUGACAAUGAAUGAUGCUUCCAAUAUUUUCACCCCUUAUAGUGUUCUUCAUGAUUCAGAUAUAUAAUUGGAAAUAGAACAACCCUAUGCCAUACAUUCGUCUAAGUAUGGUGUCUAAUUUUUUGUGUCAGCGGUUGCGAAUGGAGCGUGCAAAAGUCCAAAUUGGCGUCUCUCCAUUUCCACAUAGGAAGGUGACCUUUAUUGACAAAUACCCAAUAUUUGUAGACAUUCCUUAAAUAUCAUAACUUCUUGUUGAUUUGAAAAUCAUUUUUCAACUACCAUGUUUUAAUAAAUAUUUUUUAAAAUGUAUUUUUAUCAAAGUCCACCAUGAUGGAUAAUAUUCACCAUGCAAUAAUUAAUAAAGUACAAACUAAGCGAAAUGAAAAGCAUUUUCUUUGCUUUGAGUUGAUUUUGGUUGCAUUGAGUUGAUUUUGGUUUCAUGGUUUUUUCAACUCUUAUUUUGAUUGGAAGAUGUCAAGAAAAGAAAACAUAAAGAAAAAUUAAAAGGGAAAAAAGAAGAAAAAUAAAAAAAAAUAGAUUUAAAAGUUAAUAAAUUAUUUUUUAUAUUUAUUUUAAUUCAUUUCACUUAUUUUUCUUUUACUAUAUAAAAUUUAAAUAAUUUAAAUUUUAUAAUUAAUUUAAUUACAUUUCAUUUUCUUCUAUAUUUAAAUAUUGGAAAAAUAUUUUACUUAAUAUUUUUUUCUUUAAUUUCUUUGGCAUUUUGGGAACCAAACUUAGCCUUUAAAAUAAAAAACAAAAAAAAAAUGAAAAUAAGGAGGGAAAAGUGAGAAAAGAUAAAAACAAUAUGUAAAGGAUUUGAAAAGUAUUAGUUUGUAAUUACUAUUUGGAUUUCAAUAGUAUUUUAUUUGUCUUUCUAUAUUUCAUGUAAGAGAGAAUUUAAGAUAUUCCCCAAGGCAAAGCAUUAGUUACCUGCAAUCAGUGGUGAUAAGGCUCCAAGCCAAUUUUGGGCCCCAUAUCUUAAGACAGUACAAUUUCCAUUUCAACAUUUCUGAUUUCUCAGAUGUUUCACAUACCACAGAAGAACAUUGUUUGUGAAAAUAUGCAUUUAUGUUGGAUUUUGUAUGCUGUGGGGACUGGGGCAAGGAUCAUAUGGAAGAGUGGUUGACUUUUUCUGUACUUUAACGGUUGAAAUAGGAUAAGCACGGGCAUUUGUGAGGCUUAAUUGAUUUUGAAGCCUGAAAUUGCGUUUCUGUCAUUUUGUCAAAAAAAUGGCAGAUUCCAUACUCAUAUGUUUGGCCUGUGGCCAUGUACAGAUGCCAUUUAGUGACCAGUUUGUAACUGUCAAUCGUUGCGUUUUGACUCUGCCUCAACAACAUCUGCCAUUGACGGGUUUUCAUACUUGCAAAUCAAAUAGUCUUUCGUCCCAUCAGGAAUUUCGGUUUAAAUAUUAUUAAGCAUACGUUUGGCUGACAAUCAUUAUCCAGUUCAUGAUUUGGUUUCUUACCCUUAAUCAAUGGUUUCUAAGUGAAUAUAUGUAGAAGGAAAUCCGAAGUGUAGACAGUAGUAUCGAUAACUCUCAAUAUUCUCUAUAUAAUAGAAUAAACAGCGUCAUAGUGAUCGUCGCCUACAAGCAAGGUACAAAUACCAAAACGAGUGACUCACAUAGACAUCUCCCAACAAGAUGUAGUAGUGACUGACACAUGGACACAAUUAACUCGUAGAAAAGGAUAAGACCAUUGCACAGCAGCUCUUAUUUUACAUACUACUUAUGCUAACCAAAGUCAAUUAGUUGGGAUGGGUGGGAGAUGGAGGUUUGUGCGGUGGCUUGUGGGGCGGAGUUGAUGGCUUCUUUCCAGGAGCUUCUGGCUUUUUCAUCGGAGCUGAAGGAGGCUCAAUCUUAUGAGGCGGCUUGUAUGAGUCUUCUUUACUCUCGACAGGAGGGUGGCCAGGGUUGUGAUCAUAAUGUGGUGGCUUCUCUCCCUUAGGUGGCUUGCCAACUGGGGUUGGUGGCUUGUGUUCAGGAAGUGGUUUCUCUCCCAUGGGAGGUUUAGCAAUUGGGGUUGGUGGCUUGUGUUCUGGGAGUGGCUUCUCUCCCUUGGGAGGUUUAGUAGGUGACUUGUGUUCUGGAGGUGGCUUCUCCACCGGAGGCUUGUGCUCCGGUGGUGGCUUCUUGGUUGGAGGGGGCUUGGGGUAAUCAGCAAGAGAUGGGGUGGUGAGAACCACCAGUCCAAGGAACAACACUAGCAAGUAUGUGGGAGACAUUUUUGAGUUUGGGCUGAUCAGAUGAUGCAAAACUAAAGCAUUACGUGACCUUUUAUAGCAUGUAGCUCCCAAUACCCACUAAGUAUUGUGGGGUCCAUUUGUGCCCUACGGGGUUGAAAACUUAGACAAUUGGGCAAGGACCCACCUGACUAUGGAGGACUAGUGAGGUGUGAUCAUAGCUUUAGGAUUUUUCUUCCUCUGCAGCCGUCGUGCCGUUGGCAUGAUUUUCUUAAUCUUAAAUAAAGGCAUAGUUAUAGAGUUGUUUAAUCUCUAAAUGGGAUUUUAUAUAUAUCUUCAGAUAGCCAUUAAUAUAUUUGAUGAAGAAAGAAAGACAAGUGCAUACAACAUGUAUACGACUAGCUUUCAUGGAGUUCAUUUAUGAUCAGUUUUCCUGUACAUGUAAACCAGGAUCAUAUAUAUGUUUCUGUUCCACAACUAUUUUGGAAUCUUGUUUAUCAGUUUUUAUCAUUAUAAUGUCACAUAGGCUGCCAACUUGGGCGCUAAAAGAACCAGUUGGGCUAGUUCGUUUCAGAAUUUCAAUGUGGAUUCAGGAAUUGUUUUGUAAGAUAUGCGAAAUAGUAGAGGGAUGAAUAGUGUUUCAUUAAUAAAAGUGUCCUGUAAAUUAGAAGGUGUCAUAGAAACUAUAAUCAAUAAAUAACUUUUUUUCCCCACGGGUGGUGUUUCUUGUGGGGAUCAGUGACUGGUUUAGGUUCACCCAAAAUGAGUUCAGACUAAAAUUGGUUUGAGUCAAUGCCGUGUCUCUUUUUUCCAGAAAUCAACUAUUUUAUGCAUUGAAUAAAUCAUACAAAGAAAAUAUGAACGCCCGCAAAACCUAAACCCUGGUUGCUAACUUUCUAUGUUUCAGUUCUAUUCACGCAAGAAUAUUAGUUUAAGUUUGGGAAAAAUGGCAACUUACCUAGUGAUUACUUGGUUUUGGUUUGCGACUAUUUACGCAACCAACCAUGAGUUUGACUUUAACGUCAUGGGUUGAAGCCUCCUACAGGAAGGGAGAAAGCUCCACAGCUAGCUCCAAAAGAGAAUUAUCACAUUGAUAGCUCCAGAGAUUCCCAAGGGGACUGAAUCAAAGACAAGUUCCUCACUUUUUCUUCUUUUGAGGCCAAAUAUGAACCAAGGAUCACACAACCUCAUUCAACUUCAUAAGUUUGAUUUCAUGCAGUUGAACACUGGGUGAAGGCCAUGACAAGAAUUGAUUCAAAAAUUCUAUCACUCUUUUAAGUAAUGGAAGAUUAUUAUCUCUGAUUGGCAUCACAACAGCACAUGCUCCUAGAUCUUUCUAGACACUCCAUGCAAUGAAAGCACAAUGGAUCUUGUAACGAUAGAAACUAAGCCAUGCUACAGUACUAGAUGAUGAGGUAAAACUAGUAGACACGGGUGGCAGCCUAUAUGGGAGGGACACAAGUCUAAUUGAUUUGCAUUUCAGCAUUAUAGAUAGGUAUGUUUUGGAAGAUUUGUUCUGGAAAUACCGCACCAAGUAGGAUUCUUUUUCUCUUUAGUGGGUCCACUUGCAUGCCAAUUAACGAGUUGAAAAGUAUGAGCACCUACCUCGUGCUCGUGGAACCGAAGGUCAGUGAAGUGGGGCUCCUUUUGGCCUCGUGUAAACUUGAUUCAGAAGUGAAGUUAAUAGUCUUCCAUUCAGAUGGAUACAUGGGAAUUUUUCUCUUUUAUUUAUUUAUUUAUUUUUUUUUUGUGUGUGUAUGUCAAAGGAUAAUGAAUGAAGCGCGUUAGCUUGUUUUCUGACUGGAACCGCAGAUGUCCAAAUUGGAGUUCCUUCAUUUCUUACUUAGGAUUGUUACAUGUAUAAACAAGGUAUAAGAAAUAUGCCAACGUGUCUUGAGGAGUUAUUGAUUAGAAAUAACAAGUCACCCGACUGUAGAGUUCCAAGAUUUGAAUCUUCAGACCCUAUAGCAGCCUCUGGGGUACGUGGCAUCCUAUAGCAUAUUAAUGAAGGCUUUUUCGAUUUAGACUUCACAAUACCAAUUAAUAUGUAUGCACAAAAUGGAGAUGACCCCAAAAAAAACAGAAUCGCCAUAGUUUAUGAGGUUAAGGUGAUUCUCCACUUAAUAUCUACAUUAGCUAAUUAUGUAAAUCAAAUGAACUUCUAUUUUUCCUUUUUUUUUUUGGUUUAUGUCAAAUAGUAGCCCAUAAUUAACCCAACCAUUAGCCUGUUUGAAUUGAUUUCACAUGCACAAUGUUGUAGUAGUUCAUAUUUUGAAUUUUAUUUUUACAAAGGUAGUUAAGGAAAAUGAAGUAUAAUAAUUAUAAAAGCAGACUAUAUACACUACAAUAAUUGUUAGAAUGGUAUCUCAAAUUCUAAUUUAAAAUAUUAUUUUUUGUAAAAGAAAUAUUAUAUAGAAUAUUUCCUAAUUUUAUAAAUGAUUAUAAUUAGAUCUUUAUAAAAUAAGGAAAGUUGGUAAGAAUAUCUUUAUAAAUAUUUUAGGUCAUGAGAGAAAGAAAUGGGAUAAAAAUGUGAUGAAGAGGUGAAAUAAGAGAGUUGAUUAGGAUAUAGAUGUGAAGAAGAAAGGGAUUCAAUAUAUAUAUAUCUUUCAAUUACCACAUUAAAACCCUGUGAACCUUUUAUAUGGUUUACUUUAUUUUUAUAUUCCUCCUUUAAUAUAUUUACAUUAAUGCUUCCAUUGGCACAACAAUAACGAAUUACAAAUACAAGCAACAAGUCCCAUGUUUUAUUACCAAAAGCAGGUAAAAUCCACCUAAUAUAUUACAAUAUAUUCAUCCAAUAUUUUAGACCAAUUCUUCACCAUAAAUAUCAUAAUGUGGCUUUUGUUCUUUCUUAAAUUUAAAUUGAAUUGUCUUAUAUCAAUUUGUUUGUGAUUUUUUCAUUAACUUCACUUUCAUUUGGUUAUCUUUGGUUUUUGAAAAGUAUUAAGGAAUUAAUUAACAAAAUAAUGUUAAGAAAAAUAAUUUUCUCUCUUUUGAUUUUGAUUUUGUAGUAGAAAAAUAUAAUUAAAAUUAUUUAAAAAGUAUGUAAUUUUAAAUUAUUUAAUAUUUAGAUAAAAAAAAUAAGUCUAAUGAGUUUAAAAUAACAUAUAAAAAUAAUUUAUUUAUUUUAAAUUUAUUUUUUAUUUUCCAUUAUGUUCUCUUUCUCUUUUACUUUUUCAUAUUUUUUCUUACGAAGAAUCAAACACAACCUCAUAUUAUAUGUCAAGUGUUUGUCUAUAUUUGAGCAAUGUUAGAUACGGCCAUGGAUUCAUCAAACUAAACUGAUUUUAAUAGAUACUUCACAAAUUGAUUUAUACACUAAAUCAUUGGAUAGCAAUGAUGCAUUGGAAUUAAACGUAGGAUGAAGCUCGAAGAACACUGUUUGUGUAACAACAUAUUUAUGAAAUUAUGCAAAGGAUGAGCUUCGGGGUAGUAGUACAAGGUCAUUAAUGGAGAGCCGUGUUAAACCUUGAUUGUGAUUGGAUUCCGUUAUCAGCAACAGCAACCUUGUUUGUAACCUUGAAAGUCAUUCUGUCCACAUCGAAACUCCAAUUUGACGUUUGUAAUUACCAUUCCUGGAGUGUUCCUUGAUUGAAAUUUAAAUAAUAAUUGCGGCCCACAAGGAAUAUUUUCGAUUCUGUGGGAAUUUGACAAGGUUUGUUAGAGAAGACUGGUGACAUGUUGACUUCAAUGGUUCAAAUAGGAGACGUAUGUGGAUUUGGGGGGUUUAAUUGAAACUGAGUCCCUAUGGCUUUUUAAUAUUUGCAUUGAGCAGUCUCCAUGUGACUUCCUAAUUCCCACCAACCCUCCUGUCCAUGCUGUGAAACUAAAUUGUAAUUUAUCAGCCUUUGUCAAUGGUUUCUAAAUUAAAGAUAUAGACCAUGCAUGUACUUUAAUAAAAGCAAAUCUAAAGUGUAGAUAGCAGCAAUGGUGACACCCAAUAUUCUCCAUAAAAUAGAAUUAGAAUAAGCAGUGUUACAUUGUUCAUGAUCACCUACAAGCAUACAAGAACUUCCAUGAAUAACUCAUAGCAAUUGCCAACAGGGCGUCGUAGAGACUCAUACAUAGAACACUAUCCACCCAGAGGAAAGGACAAGACCAGUGCGCUGCAGCUCUUAUUUUUCACAUGUAUACCACCACUCGUAAUAACCAAAUUCACUCAGUUGGGAUAGGUGGGAGAUGGUGGUUUGUGGGGUGGCUUGUGGGGAGGAGUUGGAGGAGGCUUUAUUUUCUGAGGCGGCUUGUAUGAGUGUGCAGGAGGAUGCCCGGGAGUGUGACCAUAAUGUGGUGGCUUCUCUCCCGUAGGUGGUUUGCCAAAUGGGCUUGGUGGCUUCUCUCCCUUAGGAGGUUUACCAAUUGGGGUUGGUGGCUUGUGUUCUGGGAGUGGUUUCUCUCCCUUGGUAGGUUUGCCAAUUGGGGUUGGCGGCUUAUGUUCUGGGAGUGGCUUCUCUCCCUUGGGAGGUUUGCUAAUUGGGGUUGGCGGCUUAUGUUCUGGGGGCGGCUUCUCUCCCUUGGGAGGUUUGCCAAUUGGAGUUGGCGGCUUAUGUUCUGGGAGUGGCUUUUCUCCCUUGGGAGGCUUGCCAAUUGGGGUUGGCGGCUUAUGUUCUGGGGGUGGCUUCUCUCCUUUAGGAGGUUUGCCAAUUGGAGUCGGCGGCUUAUGUUCUGGAAGUGGCUUUUUUCCCUUGGGAGGUUUGCCAAUUGGGGUUGGCGGCUUAUGUUCUGGGGGUGGCUUCUCUCCCUUGGGAGGUUUGCCAAUUGGAGUCGGCGGCUUAUGUUCUGGGAGUGGCUUCUCUCCCUUGGGAGGUUUUGUUGGUGGCUUGUGUUCUGGAGAUGGCUUCUCCCCUGGAGGCUUGUGCUCCGGAGGUGGCUUCUGAAAUGGCGGGGGCUUGGGGUAAUGAGCAAGAGAUGGAGUACUGGUGAGAACCACCAUUCCAAGCAACAAUACUAGCAAGCAUGUGGGAGACAUCUUUGAGUAGUUGUAGCUAAGAUGGCGCAACACUGUAGGCAUUGGGUGGCCUUUUAUAAAGGGCUGGACCCAACAGCCAUAUGACACGUGUCAUGAUGACAAAUGAAGUUGAGGGGAUCCAGAUGGGUCCUACUGAGUCGAAAACUUGCACUAAUUGAUCUGGUGAGAUGACUAUUUCUGUCCUUUUGCCCUUCUCGGCCACCCUGUGCUGUUUUCCUUUUGCACGAUUUUCGUUGCCAAACAAGCAAAUAAUAUUUCGCCAAGAAAGAGGAGAGUGAAUGUGGAAUGCAUCAAGUCCCAUCAAGGAUGGCAGAGAAGAAAUAGAAGAUUGCCCAACUGUGAUAAACAUAGCAUACACGUAGCACCAGGAACUUCAUUUACUUCCAUCUAAUGGAACAUAACAAUCUUCUAAAGUUUUUGCAUGAUUUUGUUAUAUGUCUCUUAGCCUAAAGUUGGAAAUGCGCAACAAAUUUUGUCACUUCUCUAUUUCCCACUGAUGAUGUUAAUUAGCCUUCAUAGAUAUCAUCCUUUCUACAAAGUGCUUCAUUUGUGUGUUAUUGUAAAGUGUAAGAAAAGUAAUUGAACAUGUUCUUUUUCCUUUCAUAGAUGACUUUUGAUGUGCAUUUUAAAAGCAGCGCUGUGAGUCGGUGACCUUGAUUCACACGGAAACUAAGGCUCCUAUAGGACCCACUUUUAGCUGGUUAGGGGUGAAGAAAAUAUCAACUUUUCAGAGUGAUUUAAGUCAAGGCCAAGCCUCACUGUGUCAUUACUCGUGUGAAUUUUAUAUGCACAUACAUACAUAAAUAAAGUAUGAGACCCAAAUAACACCUUCCCUUUACAAACUUAACCCCAGCCGCUCUCUUUCAAUUCUUUUCACACAAGGGUAUUGACUCUAUAAAGGUCAAGAAAAUCAUAAUUUCCUAGGGUUUACAAGGUAAUUGGCUUAAUGCUAAUGUGAAAACAUAAAAGAUAAUAGUAUAUUGUAAGCUAACGAAUAUUCUAUAGUUAUAAUUAUUUGUGAUGUGCAUAAAUAAAUCUUCAUAUAUAUAAUGGAACAAUGAAUAAAGAACCAAUGAAAAAAUACUAUAUAUCAUUGCUUGGCAUUUAAACCGUAUAUGCUGCUCUUUCUAGCUACUCCAUCCACUGAAAGACAACAAGGUAAUCCAUGUUAUAAUGAUAGAAGAUACUGUCUCUAGGCUUUUUGUGAUGAAAAAUAUAAGAUAUGGGUAGGGUUGACCCUUGUAUGUUUGUCCUAUAAACACUUCAAAGUAACAUAUUUUUCUUCUUUAGCAACUCAUAAUGAUGGGGUUCAUUUGCAUGUCACUGAGUUGAAAAGUUGGACAAUUGCCCAUGUCGCCUUCCUCCUAGAUUCCGUAGUUCACGGGAAGGUAACUCAAGUUUGACAUAUUUUGAAUUCUUUUCACUCGGACGUCUUCAUAACCUGACAAAACAAAAAUGAAAAACAGAGGAUUGGUAUAUUAUUCAUGGUAAGCCUCAAAUUAUAGUAGUAUGAGAAAGGAGAAAAAGAUUUUGGGAACUCCAAUCUGGAUAAUUCUCGUUUCUUCUCUUGAAUAAAAAUUUCACUUACCUAACUUCGUUUGGAGAAAUGGCAUAUUUUAAUUUUGUACGUCAUUGCUAAUAAAUGGAGCAAUUUAGCAUGUUUUGUGACUGAAACUGCAAAUGUCCAAUUGGCAUUUCUUCAUUUCCCACUUAGGAUCUGAUCUUGUAGACCAUAUAACGAUAUGUAUCUGUGCAAGCAUUGAAAACUAAUGUGAACUAUGAGGAGUUACAAGCCACUGGACUGUAGAGCGAGUGCCAAGAUUUAAAUCUUCAGGCUCUAUCUGGGUAAGGGGAGGAUAGCGACCUAACCUUUUACCAAAGGCUUAGAAUUUAGACUUUUGGAAAAAAAUUUCUCAUGUUUUGGCUGGAUUUCUUGUGCUUGGCGCAAAAAGGAGAUGGCCUCAAGAAAUAGCAGACUCACUUUUGUUUUCAGCCCUUAAUAAUUCUCCACUGCUUUCCAUAACUACAUGGGUUAUACAUGCAGUCUGCUGCAAUAUUCCAGUUAUAUUUAUUAUUUCAAAGAGGGUGAAUGACUUCACAUGCAAUAUGUUGCAGUAACAACCCAAAUUUUGGCACACCAUCUUAAGAAUAGAAAAGUAUAAUAAAAGAAAUCAAUCAGAGAAUCACUUUGCAUGCAGUUCAUAGAGUUCGCCCAAAAUGGAGCCACAUGUACGGACAACCCCACAAUAGACAAUCUUCUCUAUACAGUAAUAAAAUACAGAAAUGGUUAAUGAAGCUCUGUAUUUCCUUAUCAUAUAUGACCGGUUGAAAACUCAGCAAGUCUUCCUCAAUCACAGACAGUUGGAGUUGCUUCAUCAAAAUCAUGCCUUCAUUACUGGCUUCAUUUUGGUUUCAAUGUCUGUUCUACCCUUAAAUUGGGUCUCUGCUUACUACCGGGAUAUCCUUUAGCGUCCUGCAAUUCUACUAGAUUAAAGAGAAUGACUUAAUUCUGCAUUCUGCCGUCCCUAGUCCAAGUGGUACUAGAAUUGAUGUUUCCUUUAGUGUCCUUUCUUCAUACUUUCAGGUUCUUCCCUUGUUUCAAUAAUGCUGUUUUCCUUCAUGUUUAACCUCUGUUGAACCACUUAAAACAACACAAUUUGCACACCAAUGUUUCUUUACAGAAAAGACUGUUUGCAAAAAUGCACAUGUUAUAAGGUUAAUGGAAGAAUUAAUUUGGGGAUAAGGGACUAGGAUUGGGCCAAUGAAGUUUGGUGUUAAAUUUUGAUUAUGAUUGCUUUUCAUUAUCAGGUACCUUAUAUUUGCUGAUGCUAUCUGGAACUAAAUUCAAAUCAGACAUUAUCCGAUUACUAACAGGACAUAUCAUGUCCCUCUGCAGAGUUUCUAAACUAACAUGUAUCGAAAUGUGGCCCCAAAAGGAAGGCUAGGAAGAUGGAGGAUUUUGUAGGAAUCGACCAGAAUCAGAUGGAAGAGAGAUAGUCCUGUUGACUUUAAUGGUUGUGAUAGGAACAUGCAUCAUUAUAUGAGAAGUUGCAUGAAUUUAUGUAUCCUGUUAUCGUUCCUUGACGAUUUCCCAAUGCAAUUUCACUGUCCACAAGACUAACCUCUCCAUGCAGUCAAAUGAAUUGUAAUUUCUCUAUUGGUACCAGUAGUACAUUUCAUACCAAACAUAUAGUAAAUAUAAAAUAUAAAUAGAUCAAGGAAAUCUGAAUUGUAGAUAGCACUGCAAGUAACACUCAAUAUUCUCUAUAUAUAAUAAAAUAAACAGUGUCACAAUACUCAUCACCCAGUGGCAAGGGAGAAAAACCUACAAUGAGUACUCAAAUCACCAUUCUCAAACAGAAACAUAGCAGUGACUGAUACAUAGAACCUAUAUGCUCACAGGGAAAGAAUAAGAUGACCAGUGCACAGCGGGCAGCAGCUCUUAUUUUACGUACAACUCAAAUCCCAAACUAACCAAAGUCGCUCAGUUGGGAUGGGUGGGAGAUGGUGGUUUGUGGGAUGGCUUCUGGGUAGGAGCUGGUGGCUUCUGUCCCUUUGGUGGUUUGCCUAAUGAGCUUGGUGGCUUGUGCUCCGGGAGUUGUUUCUCUCCCUCGAGUAGGUUUCGAGUCUUGUCAGAUGGCUUGUGUUCUGGUGGUGGCUUCUCUCCCUGGGGUGGUUUGCCGAAUGGGCUUGGUGGCUUGUGUUCGGGGAGUGGCUUCUCUCCCUGGAGAAGGUUACGAGUUUUGUCAUAUGGCUUUUGUUCUGGUGGUGGCUUCUCUCCCUGGGGUGGUUUGCCGAAUGGGCUUGGUGGCUUGUGUUCGGGGAGUGGCUUCUCUCCCUGGAGAAGGUUACGAGUUUUGUCAGAUGGCUUGUGUUCUGGUGGUGGCUUCUCUCCCUGGGGUGGUUUGCCGAAUGGGCUUGGUGGCUUGUGUUCGGGGAGUGGCUUCUCUCCCUGGAGAAGGUUACGAGUUUUGUCAGAUGGCUUUUGUUCUGGUGGCGGCUUCUCUCCCUGGGGUGGUUUGCCAAAUGGGCUUGGUGGCUUGUGUUCGGGAACUGGCUUCUCUCCCUUGGGAGGUUCAGUUGGUGGCUGCUGUUCCGUAGGUGGUUUCUUCACCGGCGGCUUGUGCUCCGGAAGCGGCUUCUCUACCUGGAGAAGCUUACGAGUUUUGUCCGAUGGCUUGUGUUGUGGUGGUGGCUUCUCUCCCUGGGGUGGUUUGCCAAAUGGAGUUGGUGGCUUGUGUUCGGGGAGUGGCUUCUCUCCAUUGGGAGGUUUAGUUGGUGAUUGGUGUUCCGUAGGUGGUUUCUGAAGUGGGGGAUGCUUGGGGUAGUCAGCAAGAGACGAGGUAGUGAGAACCACCAGUCCCAGCAGCAACACUAGCAAGCAUGUGGAAGACAUCUUUGAGUUCAGGCUGAGAUCUGUGCAAGGAUAACAGAAUUAGGUGGCCUUUUAUAGAGGCCUGGACCCAACACCCAUAUGACACGUGUCAUGCACUCAUGGUGACACAUAAUUCUAUGGGACCAUUUGGGUCCUACAGAAGUUGCAAAGUUGGACUACUGAGGUGUGAUCACAACUUUUGUCCUUAUUGCUUUCUCUGCGGCCAUUGCACGAUUUCCUUUAGCAUCAUUUUCUUGGCUAAAUAAGCGUAUUAUAUUUGUGGCAGACCGUCCACGUGUCAUAAACAGAUAUAUUAUAAUAAUGUAGUAUGCUUUUCUCCAAUGGAACAUGACACUCUUCUAAGUCUUGUUUUAAAUAUUGUGCAGGAUUACUUUAUACGUUGCAGUUCCAAGUCAAAAUUGGUGGGCAAACGUUGGCCUUUUUUCAUUUCACCUAAGAUUAAUGCUCACCUGGGAUAGGCACUACAUGACUUAUCUGCUCUUUUACUGUAAAGUUGCUUUGUGUAUGAGAUACACCUCCCCUGCACACCCUCAACAUUCGUUGCUCUGUUUUCCUUGUGUCCAGACGAGGAUAUUAAUUGGAGGCUGACAAAACGACUGCUAGCCCAGGAUUUACAAGGUCCUGGUUUGAGGCUUCGGUGAAAGUAUUUUUGAAAAGACACACAUAGAGAUAGUGCGUUUGGUGCAAUGCAGCACUGUGAGCCAUUCUGACGCGUUCUUAAUUUCAAAACUAAUGAAUGCUUCAAAAUUUUAAGAAGUGACAUUUCCAAAUAUUUGAGUUCGUUUAAUUGAACAUUGGAUAACUAGUGAUCAUAGAUUAUUAUCUGUGCUUGGCACUAUAAGAGGGUAUAUGCUUCUUUUUCUGGCCCCUCCUUCAAGGGAGGAGGGACAAUGUGAUCUGUAACGUUAGAAGCUAUUCCAUGUCAUCUUUGGGCUCAGUUCAAAACUAAAAGAUAAUGGGGGGGGGGGGGGGGGGCAUAUCAUUUUAUAUUUCUUCUAGAAGGUUUGUUCUGGAAAUAUUUCACAGGAGCAUAUCUUUUUCUUCUAUUACGUCAUCCGCAGCCUCCAAUAGGUCGGUUAACAAGCCACCGAGUUGAAAAGUUGGAAAAAUGGGAACACAGCCCGCCUCUUGUAUUCAGUAGUUAAAUAAAAGGUCACUAGAAGUGAGAUCCCUUUUGGCGUCUUGAUUUUCAAUCCAGCACCUCUGUGACCUGACAAACCAAAAAAACUAAAAAAUAAAAAACAGUACGUGGGUUGGUGUUAAGCAUCAAGACAUGUUAAUGAAAGAAGGUAGAGAAUAGGAUAUUGAAAUCCCAAUCCUGAUAACAUGAUUUUCUUUGCUAACAACCAUAUUAUAUUUUAUCAAGAAAGAGUAAUGCAUGUGGCGUCCAUCAAGACCCAUUAGAGUUCCGCUAAAGCUAUAGUUCUGUCAACGUUAUCAUUUACGUUUCCUCUAGAUAAUGGCAUUUUCCUCUAAAGCUCUUGCACCAUUAGGCUUCAAGUCAAAAUUUCACAUGUGAACUUUGGAAAUUUUCUCCAUUUGCCCCUAAGGAUACAGUUAGAAUUGACUUAAAAUCCUGAUUGAUAUGUACUAUUAACCAAAGAAUAUUGUAUAUAAUAAUUGAAAUAUUGUUGAUUCAUCGUGGAAAUACAUUUUGUAAGGAAAGUUGUUGAGAAUUUAGUAUGCUAUAUGGAGAAAAAAGUCAUGACUUAAGGUUGUGUAUGUAUAUUCUAUAUCAAAUAUUAGGUAGGAAUGUGGGAAAGAGCAGAGUGUAAUGAUAAGAAACAAAGAAAUAUAAGAUAUUCUUGAAAGUGGAAAAUAUAAAAUGGCUAACGAGUCAAAUUUAUGAUGCGUAAGGGGGAUCAUGUCACAUAAGAAAACCAUGGCAUACUAAAGACGUACGUGUGGUAUGGAGUAAUAAUUUUGUUAAAAUAAGUUUCUUGUUGGAGUACAUUAGGUGACUAUUCAUAACGUAUCAAAUUAAAGAGUCAAGUGCAUCAAUGAAGGCAUAUGUAGAAAAUUUGUUUGUGACAUGUACCAUAAAGAUAAGAUUGACUUGAUAGAAUUUAGUCUAAGUAGGAGUUGUUAAAGGUGUCUUAAAUUUCUAAUUGAUGUAUAUUUUUUUCUAAAAAAAUAUUAUAUAGAUAUUUUAAUAAAUGAUUAAUUCUUUGUAAAAAUACUUACAUAAUAAAAAACAUCAUUAAAAAUAUCUUUAUAAAUAUUUUAAGUUACAAGAAGGAAAAAAACCACUGUGAGAUAAUGAUGAACAUGCAACACUGUACCAAGUAAAUAAAAAUGUGAUAAAAAAAAAAGAGAAACACUCGAUAAAGGAAGGCUCGUAUAUAAAGAGUAAUAUUUUUAAUCAUAUGAUAGAAUGAUUUUCUCUCAUUCAUGAAUAUAGGCAAGAUUGGGGAACCAUUAUAAAAUUUUGUACACCUCGUGUAAAUUGAUGUUUGUCUUCAUAUUUUACACCAACAAAUGACAUUGAAGUUGUCAUUGAUAAAAGGGAAAAGGCAUGCCUCCACACCAUGUGCUUGAUUCGAAUGGUUCAAGUUUGAAGAAUUUUCUCCGGAAGAUCUAAAACAUUUUCGCCUUUAAAUUUCAUUUGAUUAUUAAUAUCCGAAAAAAUAGUUAAAUACUCUUUCUAUUUUUGAGUUGUUGAAUUUUUUGAAAGUUUUUAUAUUUGUUAUCAAGAAUUUCUAUUUUAUUAAGGGUGAAUAUUUAUAAAUAAGAUAUUAUAUAAUAUUUGGAUAAGAGAGAAUGGUGGAAUAUAAUAAAGUUUUAAUCCUUCCCAAUUUUGAACCUUUUUUUUUUUUUUUGAUAUAAUCGCCUUUCUCUUGCAAUCCUAUUAUCAGGUACCUUAUAUUUGCUGAUGCUAUCUGGAACUAAAUUCCAAUCAGGCAUUGUCCAAUUACUAAUAGGACAGAUCAUAUCUCUCUGUUUCUAAACUAACAUGUAUCGUAAUGUGACCUCAUAAGGAAGGCUAGGAAGAUGGAGGAUUUUGUGGGAAGCGACCAGAAUCAGAUGGAAGAGAGAUAGCCCUGUUGACCUAAUGGCUGUAAUAGGAGAAGCGUGUGGUUUUAUGGGACUUAACUGAUACUAAACCUGUAUGAUGCUUGGAGUGGUGUUUCUUUCAUUUUGUUAAGAAAAUAUGGCAGCAUACAUGCUUUCAACUGAGUGCAUCAGAGCAUCCAUAACAGAUGGUCUGCAACCCUAGGUGCAUGCCACUUUCUGACUGAUAAUGAAAUUGUCAGGUACCUGGCCUUGACUAAGCUCAACAGCAUCACAUAAAGAGAAGCUUUCAUACUUAGAUUACUGUUUAAAGUUUUUGCUUAUUUGAUUUCUUAAUGCCAUUAUGACAUUAUUGAUUCAAUUCUGCUUCCGAUUUUCGAAGUUCUGGGCAUCUACUGAUUGCAUCAUUAUAUGAGAAGUUGCAUGAGUUUAUGUAUCCUGUUAUUGUUCCUUUGCGAUUUCACUGCUCACGGGACUAACCUCUCCAUUCAGUCGAAAUGAAUUGUAAUUUCUUUACUGGUAGCAGUAGUACUUUUCAUAGCAAAGAUAAUAGAAAAUAUGAAAUAUAAAUAGAAGGAAAUCUGGAUUGUAGAUAGCACCAUAAGUAACACUCAAUAUUCACUACAUAAUAAAUAGACAGUGUUACAUAGGUAGAGAAACCUACAAUGAGUACUCAUCACCAUUCUCAAACAGAAACAUAGCAGCGACUUAUACAUAGAACCUAUAGGCUCGCAGGGAAAGAGUAACAUGAUAAGUUCACAGCGGGUAGCAGCUCUUAUUUUACGUAUUACUCAAAAUCUCAAACUAACCAAAGUCACUCAGUUGGGAUGGGUAGGAGAUGGUGGUUUGUGGGGUGGCUUCUGGGUAGGAGCUGGUGGCUUCUUUGUUGGAGUUGAAGGAGGCAUAUUCUUCUGAGGUGGCUUGUAUGACUCUUCGGCACUCUCUGCAGGAGGGUGCCCAGGGUUGUGACCAGAAGGAGGUGGCUUCUGUCCCUUUGGUGGUUUGCCUAAUGGGCUUGGUGGCUUGUGCUCCGGGAGUUGUUUCUCUCCCUCGAGUAGGUUUCGAGUUUUGUCAGAUGGCUUGUGUUCUGGUGGUGGCUUCUCUCCCUGGGGUGGUUUGCCGAAUGGGCUUGGUGGCUUGUGUUCGGGGAGUGGCUUCUCUCCCUGGAGAAGGUUACGAGUUUUGUCAGAUGGCUUUUGUUCUGGUGGCGGCUUCUCUCCCUGGGGUGGUUUGCCAAAUGGGCUUGGUGGCUUGUGUUCGGGAACUGGCUUCUCUCCCUUGGGAGGUUCAUUUGGUGGCUGGUGUUCCGUAGGUGGUUCCUUCACCGGCGGCUUGUGCUCCGGAAGCGGCUUCUCUACCUGGAGAAGCUUACGAGUUUUGUCAGAUGGCUUGUGUUGUGGUGGUGGCUUCUCUCCCGGGGGUGGUUUGCCAAAUGGACUUGGUGGCUUGUGUUCGGGGAGUGGCUUCUCUCCAUGGGGAGGUUUAGUUGGUGGUUGGUGUUGCGUAGGUGGUUUCUGAAGUGGGGGAUGCUUGGGGUAGUCAGCAAUAGACGAGGUAGUGAGAACCACCAGUCCCAACAGCAACACUAGCAAGGAUGUUGAAGACAUCUUUGAGUUCAGGCUGAGAUCUGUGCAAGGAUAAAAGAUUUAGGUGGCCUUUUAUAGAGGGCUGGACCCAACACCCAUAUGACACGUGUCAUGCACUCAUGGUGACACAUAAUUCUAUGGGACCAUUUGGGUCCUACAGAAGUUGCAAAGUUGGACUAUUGAGGUGUGAUCACAACUUUUGUCCUACUUGCUUUCUCUGCGGCCAUUGCACGAUUUCCUUUAGCAUCAUUUUCUUGUCUAAAUAAGCGUAUUAUAUUUGUGGCAGACCGUCCACGUGUCAUAAACAGAUAUAUUAUAAUAAUGUAGUAUGCUUUUCUUCAACGGAACUUGACACUCUUCUAAGUCUUGUUUUAAAUACUGUGCAGGAUUACGUCAUAAGUUGCUUGUUCCAAGUCAAAAUUGGUGGGCAAACGUUGGCCUUUUUUCAUUUUCCCUAAUAUUAAUGCUCACCUGGGAUAGGCACUACAUGAUUUAUCUGCUCUUUUACUGUGAAGUUGCUUUGUGCAUGAGUUACACCUCCCCUGCACACCCUCAACAUUUGUUGCUCUGUUUUUCUUGUGUCCAGACGAGGAUAUUAAUUGGAGGCUGACAAAACGACUGCUAGCCAAGGAUUUACAAGGUCCUGGUUUGAGGCUUUCACGAAAGUAUUUUUGAAAAGAUACACAUAGAGAUUGCGCGUUCGGUGCAAUGCAACAAUGUGAGCCAUUCUGAAGUCUUAAAUUUCAGAUUAAUGAAUGCUACAAAAUUCUAAGAAGGGCCGUUUCCAAAUAUUUGAGUUCAUUCAUCCGAACAUCGGGUAUAUGCUUCUUUCUCUAGCCCCUCCUUGAAGGGAGGAGGGACAAUGUGAUCUGUAUCGUUAGAAGCUAUUCCAUGUCGUCAUCUUUGGGCUCAGUUCAAUACUAAAAGAUAUGGGCGGGGCCCUUAUCAUUUUAUAUUUCUUCUAGAAGGUUUAUUCUGGAAAUCUUUCACAGAAACAUAUCUUUUUCUUCUCUACGUGAUCCGUGGUUUGAAAGUUGGAAAAAUGGGUCCGUUAACAAGCCACCGAGUUGAAAAGUUGGAAAAAUGGCAACACCGCCAACCUCUUGUAUUCGAUAGUUAAAUAAAAGGUCACUGGAAGUGAGAUCCCUUUUGGCCUCUUGAUUUUCAUUCCAGCAUCUCUAUGGCCUGAUAAAUUAAAAAACUAAAAAAAAAGACAGUACGUGGGUUGGUGUUAAGCAUCAAGAGUCAAGACAUGAUAAUGGAGAGAAAGGAUAUUCAAAUUCCAGUUCUGACAACAUGAUUUUCUUUGCUGAACUACCAUAUUAUAUUUGAUCAAGAAAGAGUAGUGCAUGUGGCCAGGAUCAAGACAUACAUUAAUUUCCACAUGAUGAAGACAGUUUCUGAGAGUUUCUUCUAAAGCUCUUGCGCGAGUAGGCUUCAAGUCAAAAUCUCCCAUGUAAACACUGGUUUUUCUUUCAUUGCCACUAAGGAUGCAGUUAAUAUUGACUUAAGAUCCUACGUGAUAUAUUUUUUUAAAAGAGCUAUAUUGUAGAUAAUAUUUGAAAUAAUGUUGAUUCGUUGUGGAAAUAUAUUUGUAAGGAAAGUUGUUGACAAUUUAAUAUAGUAUAAGAAGAAAAAAGUUAUCAACUAGCUAGAGAUGAGUAUGUAAAGUGAGGCUCACGAUUCAACGCGUAAAUAUAAGAUAUUUUAAGGCUCAAUAGUUAUGAUAUCUAUUUUAUUUUUUGUAUCUCAUAUAUUCAAAGAUAUAGUAAAAUGAUUUUACAUAUAUAUAUAUAUAUAUAUAUGAACAUAACUAUUUGUGCCAAUUGAUUUUUAUCUUUAUUUUGUAUAUUAGUAAUUAUAUUAAAGUUUUUACUAAUAUAAUAACUAAUAUAAAAGCUUUUUCUAAAAGAGUCAACAGAGCAAAACACUUAUUAUAAAAAAUAAUUUUGAUUGAAGGUGGAGUCAAUUAUUCUUUAUUUAACAUGUAAUGCAUACGGCGUGUACUUCAUAACUAAAGUAUAUAAGUGUAACAUCUCUUAUAUAUUCUCAUUCAAUCUCGAAAGUGGAAAUUUUAAAAAGAUUAAACGGUUCAAAUUUGUCGUGCAUAAAGGGGAUCAUGUCACAUAAGCAAACCAUGGCAUACCAAAGACAUAGGUAUGGACUAAGAAUUUUUUUCAAAUAAGUUUCUUAUUAGGGUACAUUAAUAGGUGACUUUUUAUGACAUAUCAAAGGAGUCAAGUGCACCAAUAAAAACAUAUAUAGAAAAUUCAUGCAUGACAUGUAUCACUAAGAGAAGAUUGACUUGAUAGAGUUUAAUCCAAAUAGGAGAUUGUUAAAAGGUGUCUCAAAUUCUUGAUUGAUAUAUAUUUUUUUUAUUAAAAAGGUUAUUAUAUAGAUAUUUCAAUAGACUAUUAAUUCUUUGUAAAAAUAGUUAUAUAAUGAGGAUGGUGAUUAAAAAUAUCUCUAUCAAUAUUUUGGAUUAUAAAAAGAAAAAAAAUGAGAUAAUGAUAAACAUAUAAAACUUGUACAAGUAGAUAAAGAUGUGAUGAAAGACACUUGAUGAAUGAAGGCUUUGUAUUUCAAGAUAUAAAUAUAUGGAGCAAAACUCUUAAUUAUAUGAUCAAAUGAUUCUCUCAUAUUCAUGAAUAUAAGCAGGAUUGGGGAACCAUGAUAGAAUCUUAUAUGCCUCUCCAUGUAGAGUGAUCGAUGUUUAUCUUCAUAUUUUACACCAGUGAAUGACAUUGAAACUCUUAUUGAUAAAAGGGAAAAGGCAUGGCCUCCACCCCAAGAAAAACAAGUAACCUCGGUUUAAAUCACUAGUCUACACCCCGAAGAGAGAACUAGCCAAACCUACUAAAAGAGAAACUUAACAAUUUAGAAAGAAACCGUCCAUGAUAAAGGGCCCCUAAAGGUCCAAUUCAGUGAGGUCGUGAACAAAAACACUUUCAUGUCAAAACAGAGAUAGGUACCACCAAAAUGUAAAGGGAAAGAUGUAAACCACGUCGAACUUUGGUAAUCAAUGGUAAAGAUAGCAUGAUAGCUAAAAGCACUAAAGCUGUGCUUGGUAUGCAAAAAUGAAAAGUGGAAAUCAGCGUCUUAUUCUUUUUCACCUUUAUUCACAUAUUAGGAUAACUAAUAUCUAAUGUUUUUUAUGUCUCAAAUUCUAUUCCAUGUUAUGGUAAACUUUCAUCUUGUUUAGAUCACUUUUGUCUGGUUUGGGCUCAAGACGAUAAGCCUAUAGAGACUUCAUAUUGGGUUGAAUCGAUGCCCUUGAUCUGAUCUGUUCGUUAGAAAAAUCUGAAUUAUUAUAAGCAUUUAGAUAAAAAAUAAAUAAAUGUGAAACACAAACUACUCCCUGCACAACCUUGACCCUAGUUACUCAGUUUCACUGCUCACAGGACUAACCUCUCCAUUCAGUCGAAAUGAAUUGUAACAAGAAGAUUUUUGACAGGAGGACGGUAGUUUAAAAUAAUAAUUUCUAAAGUACUUUUGUGAAAAAAAAUAAUUCCAAACGUGGAUUUUAUCAAGUAAAAAGAAAAAAAAAAGUUAUUUUCUUUUAAAAUCUGUUCUUCUAAAGAUGAUAUAUAUACCAAAAAAAAAAAUUGUUUUCUGAAGGUAAAAUUUUUAAAAUUCAUUUUUAAAAAAAUUUACACACUAAAAUUAUCUUUUCAAGAGAAGAUUUUUUUAAUUUUAAAUAAUUAUUAAUUUAUAAUUAAUUUGUUAUUAAUUAUUUAUUAAUUUUUUUAUUUGAAAAAUGCAUUUAUAAAAAACAAAUUUGUUAUUAAUUUAUUAAAUAAUUUUUACAAAAUAAAUAAUUUUUUUUUAUUUUAAUUUUAAAAUUAAUUUUAUUAUAUAAAUUUUAAAAUUAAAAAUAUUAAUAUUUAAUUUAAAAUUUAACUAUAAAAGGAAUAAAAUAUAGAAAAAUAAAUUAAUUUAUUAUUCAAUAAAUUAAUUUUCAAUAAAAUUUUCAGCAUUAAGAGAUAAAUUUUUAAGUAUUAAUCAAUUUAAAAAGAAAUAAUGAUCAUUUGUAUAUUAAGAUAUUUUAUUUAGUAAUUAUGAAUGAUAAACAACUAAAGUAAUUUGAAAAAAUAAUAAAAUAUUUAAAAAAUAAUAAUUUAAUACACGUAAAAUUAGAAAUGAUUAACUAUUUUUUAUUAAGAAAAAAUUGAGGAAAUAUUUUGUUAUUUAAAAUUUUUUAUUUGUUUUCAAUUUUUAAUGUUAUAGGUUUCAAGAAAAUUGAUCAAAUAAAAAUUAAGAAGUCAUUUUUUCAAAAACUAUAUAUCUAAAUAAAAGCCUUGAAAUUCAAAUACACAAUAUCAUAAAUAUAAACACCAAGUCAAUCCUUAAUUAUCAAAUGUUUUUAAUAUUAAAGAAUCAAAAUCACCUACUAUCAUGAUAAUAAGAAAACCAAUAAUAUUGUUCAUAUAAAUACUAAAAAGCUAACAAAUAUCCCAAACAAUUAAUAAAGUAUCAAACAUGAUAAAAAGUCAAUUAUUAUCAUGAAUGCAAAAAAUCAAUAAUUUUGUUUAUAUGAACCAUCAACAAAGAAAAAAAAAAUCAAUAUCUAAAUAUUAAACAUAAUUUAUAUUUUUAUAAAUAUUAUUGUUGAUAAAUAUCUUAACAAUUAUAAUUUUAGUAAAUAAAAUUAAUUAAUUUUAGUUUAAGAAUUAUUUUUUUAUACUUUCGUAUUCUUAUCAAAAAUCCCCAUUUUGCAUGUCUCCUUUGGCAUGACUUUCUUACCUAAACAAGCAUAUAUAUAUAUAUAUAUAUAUAAAAUAUUUGGUUAAGAAAGAGUACUAAAGUUUAUAUGGCACACAUCAAGAUAGAAACAGAAGUGGAAGAUAAUCCAAAUGUAUGAACAGAUAUAUUAUAUCCAUGUAGUGGUAGUGACUUCAUUAUUUACUUUUAUCUAAUGGAGCAUGACACACUUCUUCUGAAUAUUUUGCACGAUUAUGUUAUGUGUCAGCUUGUUCUAAGUCAAAACUAGUGAUAAAAAUCGGUUUUUUUUGCAUUUCCUUCAUGAAGAUGGCACCUGGAUGGGGCACUACAUGAGUGGCAUAGCACGAAGUGAUUUAUCUGCUCCCUUUACUAUAAAGUGCUUUGUGUAUAAGUUACACCUCCCCUGCACUGCCUCAACAUUUGUUGUUCUGUCUUCCGUCUGUCCAAACGAGGACAAACGUAUGUUGUAGGUUGACAAAACCACAGCUAGCCUAGGAUUUGCAAGGAUCUAGUUUGAUUCGUAUGCAAAAGGAUUGGUGAAAAGAUUCACAAAGAUAAUGCUUUUUGCAAUGCAAUCUUGUUCUAAUUCAACAGUGUGGACCAUUUUCAUGUAAUGCUUCAACUAGAUGUCAGUUUCAUGAAUUUUUGUUCAUCUAAUUGAUCACUGGAUAGGCCAUAACCCGAAGAAAUUCAAAAUUCCCUUCAGUACUGUAGCUAAGGAAAGAUCCCUAUCUACCACUGGGAUUUUAAGAGGGUAAAAAUGUAGGUGGGUGCCUAUAUCAUUUGCACUUCACUAUAGGCCUCUUUGGGAAGAUUUCUUCUGAAGACAUUUCAAAGAAACAUAUUUUUCUCUUCUCUCCGUAAACGGCAGCUGCAAGUCAGUCCAUUCACAGGCCACCGAGUUGAAAAGGCUGGAAAAUUGGCCAAAGCACCCGCCUCCUGGAUUCCAUGGGUAAGGAAAAGGUCACUGGAGGUGUGAUCCCUGUUGGCCUCUUGAUUUCCAUUCCGCCAUCUAUAUGACCUGAUAACCCAAAAACACAGAAGGAAAACGUCACCUGGGUUCAUAGUAAGCAUCAAGUCAUGAUAGAGACCAGACAACAUGACCAACAAAGAGUAGCGAAUGGGGCCAACAUCAAGCCCCAUUACGGUUAGAAGAUGGAAGAAGUAGAAGACAAUCCAAUUCUGAUAGAUUCGGGCAAAUGUAGUGCUGUUCAAACUUAAUCAUUUACUAUUUCUUCAUGAAUCACGGCAUUUUUCUUCUGAAAAUUUUCCAAGAUUAGGCCUCUGAAGAAAAAUUUCAUAUGUAAAUUGGUAUAUUAAGGAAAAGGCGUUACAAAGGUGAAAAAAAACCAAUCAAAUCUUAUAUAUGACAUCUCAAAAAUAUGAACUUGCUAUAAAUAUUUAAAAUCAAAAUCUUGCACAUCACCUCGUAGUACGAACUUGCUAUAAAACUUGAAAAUCAAGAAGAAAGGGGCAGUAUUGGACGAGACUACUUAGCACAUAUUAUUAUGAUGUUUUUUCAUUUUCUUAAUGUUGUUUUUAUGUCUUAAAUUCUAUUAUUCUAUGUUACGGUAAACAUUCAUCUUGUUUGUGUGGAAUAGGAUCACUUUUCUCUGGGUUGAGUCGAUGCCCUUAGUUAAUUUGUUCAUUUGAAUAAACUAAAUUAUUAUAAGUAUUUAGAUAAGAAAAACGUGAUACAUAAAUUACGCCUCUCGGCACAACUUCAACACUGGUUACUCUGUUUCAGUUUCCUCACACAAGAUUAUUGGUUCUAGGGUUUAUUUGGUUUUGGUUUGAUUCUAAUUGCUAAACUUUCUCAAGGAAGAUGUUAUAUAGGGAGUGAGAAACCUUCACUCUUGGCUACCUCCAAGAGAAGAGCAAGUGGUCUGAAUCAAAGAUAUACUGCUCACUUUUUCUUCUUCUAAGGACAGCUAUGACCUUGCUUUAAGGUUCGAAUAGCCUAAUGCAACCUCCCAUUUCUCAAGUCAGCUGAUGAUGUAAGUCACCUUGGCUUUCCACAUUCAUACGGUGAGGACGUUUGUGGGUGUAAUUCUCUUAACAGUUUUCAUUUUAUAUGGAAAAAUUCAUAAUUAAGGGUAAUUACUGAUUCCAUUUGACAGUGACCAAGUUUAAAAUAUUAAUUCAUAUAUUAAAUGCACAUUAAAAAAUCAUGGAAUAAAUAUAUUUACUAAUAUAUAGUUCUUUUGCCAUGUUCUGUCACAGAAGCAUCGAACUUUCCCUAGAAAUUUUUGCAUGGUAUUCUACUUAUGAUUUUGAAAACUCUAGGCACCUGAGGCCACUAAUUGCAUGGUUGGAUGAGGAGCUGCAUGAGAUUAUGUAUCGUGUUGUUCCUUAACUACAAAUAUCAGUUUUAAGUAGCAUCUCCAUGUGACAUUUUCCUGAUGCAAUUUCGCUGUCCACCAACAAAUUUCACCAUGCAGCAAGAUGAAUUGUAAUUUCUUUAUUGUUAUCAACAGCUUUAAUUAAUCUUGAUAUAUAUAUAUAACUUAGUAGAAGUAUAUUAAUCUAGAUUGUAGUUGCACUAAGAUAAUAGGCAAUAUUAUAACAGUGCCACAAUGCUCAUCGCCAAAUAGAAAGGUAGAAAAACUACAAUGAGUAACUCACAACAUUCUCAAACAGGACAUAGCGGCGACUGAUACAUAGAACACUAUUGGCACUCAGGAAAUGAUAAGAUCAGUGCCCAGCAGGCAGCACGUCUUAUUUUACAUACUACUUAAAACUAACCAAAGUCAUUCAGUUGGGAUGGGUGGGAGAUGGUGGUUUGUGCGGUGGCUUUUGGGUAGUUGGUGGCUUCUUUCCUGGAACUGAUGGUUUUUUUGUUGGAGUUGAAGGAGGCUUAAUCGUCUGAGGUGGCUUGUAUGAGUCUUCAGCACUCUCUGCGGGAGGGUGCCCAGGGUUGUGACCAUAAUGGGGUGGCUUCUCUCCCUUAGUUGGUUUGCCAAGUGGGCUGGCUGGCUUGUGCUCCGGGAGCGGCUUCUCUCCCUUAGGUGGUUUGCCAAAUGGGCUUGCUGGCUUGUGCUCUGGGAGCGGCUUCUCUCCCUCAAGAAGUUUACGGGUUUUGUCAGAUGGCUUGUGUUCUGGUGGUGGCUUCUCUCCUUGGGGUGGUUUGCCAAAUGGACUUGGUGGCUUGUGUUCGGGGAGUGGCUCCUCUCCCUUGGGAGGUUUAGUUGGUGGCUGGUGUUCCAUAGGUGGUUUCUCAACCGGGGGCUUGUUCUCCGUUGGUGGUUUAUGAACUGGGGGAUGCUUGGGGUAGUCAGCAAGAGACGGGGUGGUGAGAACCACCAGUCCCAGCAGCAACACUAGCAAGUAUGUGGAAGAGUACAUCUUUGAGUUCAGGCUGAGAUUUGUGCGAGACUUGAAGAAUUAGGUGGCCUUUUAUAGCUGGCUGCACCCAACACUCACAUGACACGUAUCAUGGUGACACAUGUGCUAUGGGUCCAUUUGGGUCCUACAGAAGCUGAAAACUUUUGACUAUUGAGGUGUGGUCACAACUUUUGUCCCUAUUGCUUUCUCCGCAACCGUUUUACAUGUUUCCUUUGGCAUAAUUUUCUAAGCUAAACAAGCAUAUAUCAUAUUUGGUUAAGAAAGAGUAAAGUGUAUAUGGCACACAUCAAGGAAGAGAAACAGAAAAAGUGGGAGACAAUCAAUUGUGAUAAACAGAUAUAUUAUAUUCAUGUAGUACUAGUGACUUUAUCAUUUACUUUUAUCCAAUAGAUCAUCACUCUUUCUUCUAAAUAUUUUGGAGGAUAAUGGUACAUGUUGCUUGUUUCCAAGUCAAAAUUGGUGGCAAAAAUCGGCAUGAUACGAAAGGAUUGGUGAAAAGAUUCACAUAGAUGGUGCUUUGUGCAAUGCAGUCUUGCUCUAAUUCAACAGAGUGGACCAUGGUGAUGUAUUUUAAAUUUUAAAUUUUAAAUUAAUGCAUGCUUCAAAGUUUUAACUAGAUGUCACUUCCAUGGAUUUUUGUUCAUUUAAUUGAGCACAGGAUAGGCUAUCAAACUUGAAGUAAUAUAAAAAUCCCUUCAUUACUGUAACUAAUGAAAGAUCAUUAUCUGCGCUUGGUAUUUUGCCAAGGUAUUUGCUGCUCUUUCUAGCCCUGUCUUACAGUUAAGGACAAUGUGAUCUAGUUAACCUUAGAAGCUAUUCCAUGUCAGAUACAAGAGAUCAAGCACAUUAUCUUUGGGCUCAGUUCAAAACUAUAAUAUAUGGGUGGGGUGGAGGCCCAUAUCAUUUGCAUAUCACCACUAUUGGUUUAGUUUGGAAGGUUUCUUCUGGAAGAUUGCUGCUUUCUGGAAUCAUUUCAAAGAAAUAUAUCUUUUUGUUCUCUUGGUGACGAGCAGCGGCAAUCAAGUCUGUUGACAAACAACCGAGUUGAAAAGUUUGAAAAUUGGUCACAGCCCACGUCCAUGGUUAAGGAAAAGGUCACUGGAAGUGAUCCCUUCUGGGCCUCUUGAUUUCCAUUCUGACAUCUAUAUGACCUGAUAAAUAGAAAGAAAAAAAAACAGAAGAAAAGCGGCACCCGGGUUCAUAGUAAGCAUCAAGACAGGAUACUGAAAGAAGGGAGAAAGGAGAUUGCAAGUCCAAUCCUGAUAAAAUGAUCAACAAAGAGUAUCAAAAUGGGGCCAACAUAAAGACCCAUUGAGGUUAGCAGAUGGCAUGGCAUUUUUCUCCUUAAGUUUUCCAUGAUUAGACUUGAAGUCAAAAUUUCACAUGUAAAUUUGUAUUUCUACAUUUCCCACUGACGACACCCAACUUCAACUUGAGUUAGAAUAACAUUGUGUGAACUUAUCUGGCCCUCAAAAUUUACUGUGAAGUGCUUUCUGCGUGUGAAGAUUCAGAAAAGCACCAAGGGAACAUGUAUGGUCUGCCUUUUUCUGAUGUUAUGUUUGUCUCUAAUUCUGUUCCAUGUCAUGGUAAAUGUUCACAUUGCUUGUAUGGAACACACCAGGAUCACUUUUUCGGGUUUAUUUUGAGGCUUCAUAUUGGGUUCAUAUUGGGUUCAAUGCUUUUAAUGUGUUCAUUAGACAAAUCUGAAUUAUCAUAUGCAUUUAGAUAAGAACAAUAAUGUGAAACCCUAGUUACACCUCCCCUGCAUAACCCCAACCCUGCUUACUCUAUUUCAGUUUACUCACACAAGUUUUACCGGUUCUUAUAAGUCAAGAAAAGGCAACUGAUGUUGGAUUGACUCUCUUCCAUGUAUAAAAAGCAACUUUUAUAUAUACAUAAAAUAACUUCUUCCCCUCACCAAUGUGGGAUAUCAUGGAUUUAUUCUGGAAACACAUCAAAGGAACAUCUUUUCUCUUGGGUGACCCUAAGUGGUGAGUCAGACCAUUUGCAUGCCAUUGAGUUGCACAGUUGGAUAAAUGCACCUACCUCCUGGGCUCCAGAGUUAAAAGGGUGGAUCCCUGGAUCGCAACCCUCUUGGCAUCUUGGUUUCCAUUCCAACAUCCACAUGACUUGACAAAACAAAAAACAGAAUAAAAUCAUCACUAUUUUCAUGCUAAGCACCAAUACAUGAUGGAAAUCAUUGCUUAAAGAUUUGGGGUCAUUUAGGUUUUGACUGCCUCCUAACACCUCACCUAAUCACAAGUUUUUAUGCUUACAAAUCAAAUAUCGUUCUUCAUUAUAUUAAAAUCAUUUUAAGAUUUCAGAUCCAUCUGCUAAUUAUGAUUAUGAUAACAUUAAUUCACCUGUGCUUCUCAUUUUCGACACACAAGGCAUCUAGGUUUGCAGGAUUUCCUUAUUAGAUGAGAUAAAUGAGUACGCAUGGUUAUGUAUGCAGCAUUCAUUAACCAUGGUAUGUGACAUUUAGAAUUAAGAUAGCAAGCAAACUUUCCCUGCAGCUUGAGUAAAUUGUGAUUUCUUAGCCUCUAUGAGUGGUUCCCAAAUCAAAUUAACAUAGUGAAAUAUACGUAGUCCAGUGAAAGGAAAUGUAAAUUAUAAACUAACAGCACUACACUACUGGUAACACUCGAUACUCUCUAUAUAAUGCAAUGAAAUAUACGUUAUACGUUGCUUGUUCCAAGUCAAAAUUUGUGGCCAAACGUUGGCCUUUUUUCAUUUUCCCUAAGAUUAAUGCUCACCUGGGAUAGGCACUACAUGAUUUAUCUGCUCUUUUACUGUAAAGUUGCUUUGUGUAUGAGUUACACCUCCCCUGCACACCCUCAACAUUUGUUGCUCUGUUUUCCUUGUGUCCAGACGAGGAUAUUAAGUGGGGGCUGACAAAACGACUGCUAGCCAAGGAUUUACAAGGUCCUGGUUUGACGCUUCCGCGAAAGUAUUUUUGAAAAUAUACACAUAGAGAUUGCGCGUUCGGUGCAAUGCAACAAUGUGAGCCAUUCUGAAGUUUUUAAUUUCAGAUUAAUGAAUGCUACAAAAUUCUAAGAAGGGCCGUUUCCAAAUAUUUGAGUUCAUUUAUCCGAACAUCGGAUAAGUAAUGAUCAUAGAUUAUUAUUAUUAUCUGACGUUCUUAUAAUGGUUGGCAUUAUAAGAGGGUAUAUGCUUCUUUCUCUAGCCCCUCCUUCAAGGGAGGGACAAUGUGAUCUGUAUCGUUAGAAGCUAUUCCAUGUCGUCAUCUUUUGGCUUAAGUCAAUACUAAAAUAUAUGGGCGGGGCCCCUGUCAUUUUAUAUUUCUUCUAGAAGGUUUGUUCUGGAAAUCUUUCACCGAAACAUAUCUUUUUCUUCUCUACGUGAUCCGUGGUUGGAAAGUUAGAAAAAUGGGUCCGUUCACAAGCCACCGAGUUGAAAAGUUGGAAAAAUGGCAACACCGCCAACCUCUUGUAUUCGAUAGUUAAAUAAAAGGUCACUGGAAGUGAGAUCCCUUUUGGCCUCUUGAUUUUCAUCCCAGCAUCUCUAUGUCCUGAUAAACUAAAAAACUAAAAAAAAAACAGUACGUGGGUUGGUGUUAAGCAUCAAGAGUCAAGACAUGAUAAUGGAGAGAAAGGAUAUUCAAAUUCCAGUUCUGACAACAUGAUUUUCUUUCCUGAACAACCAUGUUAUAUUUGAUCAAGAAAGAGUAGUGCAUGUGGCCAGGAUCAAGACAUACAUUAAUUUCCACAUGAUGAAGACAGUUUCUGAGAGUUUCUUCUAAAGCUCUUGCGCUAGUAGGCUUCAAGUCAAAAUUUCCCAUGUAAACACUGGAUUUUCUUUAAUUGCCACUAAGGAUACAGUUAAAAUUGACUUAAAAUCCUACGUGAUAUAUAUCUUUAACAAAAGUAUAUUGUAUAUAAUAUUUGAAAUAAUGUUGAUUCGUUGUGGAAAUAUGUUUGUAAGGAAAGUUGUUGACAAUUUAAUAUAGUAUAAGAAGAAAAAAGUUAUCAACUAGAGAUGAGUAUGUAAAGUGAGGCUCACGAUUCAACGCGUAAAUAUAAGAUAUUUUAAGGCUCAAUAGUUAUGAUAUCUAUUUUAUUUUUUGUAUCCCAUAUAUUCAAAGAUACAGUAAAAUGAUUUUAUAUAUAUGAACAUAGCCGAUAGUAUCAUGUUAAAACCUUAUAUGACUCUUUGUGCCAAUUGAUUUUUAUCUUUAUUUUGUGUAUUAGUAAUUAGUAUUAAAGUUUUUACUAACAUAAUAAUUGAUAUAAAAGCUUUUUCCAAAAGAGUCAAACAGAGCAAAACACUUAUUAUAAAAAGAAUUUUGAUUGAAGGUGGAGUCAAUUAUUCUUUAUUCAACAUGUGAUGCAUACAGCGGGUACUUCAUAACUAAAGUAUAUAAGUGCAACAUCUCUUAUACAUUCUCAUUCAAUCUCGAAAGUGGAAAAUUUUAAAAGAUUAAAUGGUUCAAAUUUUCCGUGCAUAAAGGGGAUCAUGUCACAUAACCAAACCAUGGCAUACCAAAGCCAUGAUAUGGACUAAGAAUUUUGUUAAAAUAAGUUUCUUAUUAGGGCACAUUAUGUGACUAUUUAUGACAUAUCAAAGGAGUCAAGUGCAUCAAUAAAGACAUAGAAAAUUCAUGCAUCACAUGUACCACUAAGAGAAAAUUGACUUGAUAGAGUUUAGUCCAAAUAGGAGAUUGUUAAAAGGUGCAUCAAAUUCUUGAUUGAUAUAUAUUUUUUUUAUUAGAAAGGUUAUUAUAUAGAUAUUUCAAUAGACUAUUAAUCCUUUGUAAAAAUAGUUAUAUAAUGAGGAUGGUGAUUAAAAAUAUCUCUAUCAAUAUUUUGGAUUAUAAAAAGAAAAAAAAUAUGAGAAAAUGAUAAACAUAUAAAACUUGUACAAGUAGAUAGAGAUGUGAUGAAAGACACUUGAUGAAUGGAGGCCUUGUAUUUCAAGAUGUAAAUAUAUGGAGCAAAACUCUUAAUUAUAUGAUCAAAUGAUUCUCUCAUAUUCAUGAACAUAAGCAGGAUUGGGGAACCAUGAUAGAAUCUUAUAUGCCUCUCCAUGUAGAUUGAUCGAUGUUUAUCUUCAUAUUUUACACCAAUGAAUGACAUUGAAACUCUGAUUGAUAAAAGGGAAAAAGCAUGGCCUCCACCACAAGAAAAACAAGUAACCUCGGUCUAAAUCACUAGUCUACACCCCGAAGAGAGAACUAGCCAAACCUACUAAAAGAGAAACUUACCAAUUUAGAAAGAAAUCUUCCAUGAUAAAGGGCCCCUAAAAGUCCAAUUCAGUCAGGUUGUGAACAAAAACACCUUCAUGUCAAAACAGGAAUAGGUACCACCAAAAUGUAAAGGGAAAGAUGUAAACCAAGUCGAACUUUGGUAAACAAUGGUAAAGAUAGCAUGAUAGCUAAAAGCACUAAAGCUGUGCUUGGUAUGCAAAAAUGAAAAGUGGAAAUCAGCGUCUUAUUCUUUUUCUCCUUUAUUCACAUAUUAGGAUAACUAAUAUCUAAUGUUUUUUUUAUGUCUCAAAUUCUAUUCCAUGUUAUGGUAAACUUUCAUCUUGUUUAAGUGGAAGAGUAGGAUCACUUUUGUCUGGUUUGGGCUCAAGACGAUAAGCCUAUAGAGACUUCAUAUUGGGUUGAAUUGAUGCCCUUGAUCCGAUCAGUUCGUUAGAAAAAUCUGAAUUAUUAUAAGCAUUUAGAUAAAAUAAAUAAAUAAAUGUGAAACAGAGACUAUUCUCUGCACAACCUUGACCCUAGUUACUCAGUUUCACUGCUCACGGGACUAACCUCUCCAUUCAGUCGAAAUGAAUUGUAAUUUCUUUACUGGUAGCAGUAGUACUUUUCAUAGCAAAGAUAAUAGUAAAUAUGAAAUAUAAAUAUAUAGAAGGAAAUCUGGAUUGUAGAUAGCACCAUAAGUAACACUCAAUAUUUACUACAUAAUAAAAGAGAUAGUGUUACAAAGGUAGAGAAACCUACAAUGAGUACUCAUCACCAUUCUCAAACAGAAACAUAGCAGUGACUUAUACAUAGAACCUAUAGGCUCGCAGGGAAAGAGUAACAUGAUAAGUGCACAGCGGGUAGCAGCUCUUAUUUUACGUAUUACUCAAAAUCUCAAACUAACCAAAGUCACUCAGUUGGGAUGGGUAGGAGAUGGUGGUUUGUGGGGUGGCUUCUGGGUAGGAGCUGGUGGCUUCUUUGUUGGAGUUGAAGGAGGCGUAAUCUUCUGAGGUGGCUUGUAUGAGUCUUUGGCACUCUCUGCAGGAGGGUGCCCAGGGUUGUGACCGGAAGGAGGUGGCUUCUGUCCCUUUGGUGGUUUGCCUAAUGGGCUUGGUGGCUUGUGCUCCGGGAGUUGUUUCUCUCCCUCGAGUAGGUUUCGAGUUUUGUCAGAUGGCUUGUGUUCUGGUGGUGGCUUCUCUCCCUGGGGUGGUUUGCCGAAUGGGCUUGGUGGCUUGUGUUCGGGGAGUGGCUUCUCUCCCUUGGCAGGUUCAGUUGGUGGCUGGUGCUCCGUAGGUGGUUUCUUCACCGCCGGCUUCUCUCCCUGGAGAAGGUUACGAGUUUUGUCAGAUGGCUUCUGUUCUGGUGGCGGCUUCUCUCCCUGGGGUGGUUUGCCAAAUGGGCUUGGUGGCUUGUGUUCGGGAACUGGCUUCUCUCCCUUGGCAGGUUCAGUUAGUGGCUGGUGUUCCGUAGGUGGUUUCUUCACCGGCGGCUUGUGCUCCGGAAGCGGCUUCUCUACCUGGAGAAGCUUACGAGUUUUGUCAGAUGGCUUGUGUUGUGGUGGUGGCUUCUCUCCCUGGGGUGGUUUGCCAAAUGGACUUGGUGGCUUGUGUUCGGGGAGUGGCUUCUCUCCAUUGGGAGGUUUAGUUGGUGGUUGGUGUUCCGUAGGUGGUUUCUGAAGUGGGGGAUGCUUGGGGUAGUCAGCAAGAGACGAGGUAGUGAGAACCACCAGUCCCAGCAGCAAUACUAGCAAGGAUGUGGAAGACAUCUUUGAGUUCAGGCUGAGAUUUGUGCAAGGCUAGAAGAAUUAGGUGGCCUUUUAUAGCGGGCUGGACCCAACAACCAAAUGACACGUAUCAUGAUACACAUAUGUGUUAUAAGAUCCUUGUGGGUCCUACAGAAGUUGAAAACUUUGACAAUUGAGGUGUGAUUACAACUUUUGUCCCUAUUGCUUUCUCGUCAGCCGUUUUGCAAGAUUUUUGACAGGAGGACGGUAGUUUAAAAUAAUAAUUUCUAAAGUACUUUUGUGAAAAAAAAUAAUUCCAAACGUGGAUUUUAUCAAGUAAAAAAAACAAAAAAAAGUUAUUUUCUUUUAAAAUCUUUUCUUCAUGAUUCAUAUACCAAAAAAAGAAUUGUUUUCUGUAGGUAAAAUUUUUAAAAUUCAUUUUUAAAAAAAAAAAAUUACACACUAAAAUUAUCUCUUCAAGAAAAUAUUUUUUAAAUUUUAAAUAAUUAUUAAUUUAUAAUUAAUUUUUUAUUAAUUAUUUAUUAAAUUUAUAUGUGAAAAAUGCAUUUAUAAAAAACAAAUUUUUUAUUAAUUUAUUAAAUAAUUAUUUACAAAAUAAAUAAUUUUGCUUUAUUUUAAUUUUAAAAUUAAUUUUAUUAUAUAAAUUUUAAAAUUAAAAAUAUUAAUAUUUAAUUUAAAAUUUAACUAUAAAAGGAAUAAAAUAUAGAAAAAUAAAUUAAUUUAUUAUUCAAUAAAUUAAUUUUCAAUAAAAUUUUCAGCAUUAAGAGAUAAAUUUUUAAGUAUUAAUCAAUUUAAAAAAUAAUAAUAAUCAUUUGUAUACUAAGAUAUUUUAUUUAGUAAUUAUGAAUGAUAAACAACUAAAGUAAUUUGAAAAAAUAAUAAAAUAUUUAAAAAUAAUAAUUUAAUACACUUAAAAUUAGAAAUGAUUAACUAUUUUUUAUUAAGAAAAAAUUGAAGAAAUAUUUUGUUAUUUAAAAUUUUUUAUUUGUUUUCAAUUUUAAAUGUUAUAGGUUUCAAGAAAAUUGAUCAAAUAAAAAUUAAGAAGUCAUUUUUUCAAAAACUAUAUAUCUAAAUAAAAGCCUUGAAAUUCAAAUACACAAUAUCAUAAAUAUAAACACCAAGUCAAUCCUUAAUUAUCAAAUGUUUUUAAUAUUAAAGAAUCAAAAUCACCUACUAUCAUGAUAAUAAGAAAACCAAUAAUAUUGUUCAUAUAAAUACUAAAAAGCUAACAAAUAUCCCAAACAAUUAAUAAAGUAUCAAACAUGAUAAAAAGUCAAUUAUUAUCAUGAAUGCAAAAAAUCAAUAAUUUUGUUUAUAUGAACCAUCAACAAAGAAAAAAAAAAUCAAUAUCUAAAUAUUAAACAUAAUUUAUAUUUUUAUAAAUAUUAUUGUUGAUAAAUAUCUUAAUAAUUAUAAUUUUUUAUAUAUUAAAUUUAGUAAAUAAAAUUAAUUAAUUUUAUAAUAUAAGAUAUAUAUAAUAAUUAAGAGACUAUUUGUCCCAAACAAUUUAUUUAUUUUUUUUUUAGGAAAUUGUCUCUUCAAGAGACGACUUCUCCCAACAUUUUUAAAAAAAAAAAAAAAAACAUCUAUUCAAAAGACGAUUUCUCCUCAUUUUUUAAAAAUGAAUUUUAGAAAUCAUAUUUUCAAAAAUGAAUUUUAGAAAUCAUAUUUUCAAAAGACGAUUUUUUUUUAUAUAAAUUAUUUUUUAAAAUGACGAUUUUAAAAGGAAAUAACGAUCUCUCUCCUACUUGGCAAAAACUAUGGUAAAUUUGGAAUUAUUUCUUCCACAACCAUAGUUUAAGAAUUAUUUUUUUAUACUUUCGUAGACUUAUCAAAAAUCCCUAUUUUGCAUGUCUCAUUUGGCAUGACUUUCUUACCUAAACAAGCAUAUAUAUAUAUAUAUAUAUAUAUAUCACUUUUGUCUGGGUUGAGUCAAUGCCCUUAACUAAUUUGUUCAUUUGAAUAGUCUAAAUUAUUAUAAGCUUUUAGUUAAGAAAAAUGUGAAACAUAAAUUACACCUCUCGGCACAACUUCGACACUGGUUACUCUGUUUCAGUUUAUUCACACAAGAUUAUUGGUUCUAGGGUUUAUUUGGUUUUGGUUUGAUUCUAAUUGCUAAACUUUCUCAAGGAAGAUGUUAUAUAGGGAGUGAGAAACCUUCACUCCUGGCUACCUCCAAGAGAAGAGCAAGUGGUCUGAAUCAAAGAUAUACUGCUCACUUUUUCUUCUUCUAAGGACAGCUAUGACCUUGCUUUAAAAUGUUCGAAUAGCCUAAUGCAACCUCCCAUUUCUCAAGUCAGCUGAUGAUGUAAGUCACCUUGGCUUUCCACAUUCAUACGGUGAGGACGUUUGUGGGUGUAAUUCUCUUAACAGUUUUCAUUUUAUAUGGAAAAAUUCAUAAUUAAGGGUAAUUACUGAUUCCAUUUGACAGUGACCAAGUUUAAAAUAUUAACUCAUGUAUUAAAUGCACAUUAAAAAAUCAUGGAAUAAAUAUAUUUACUAAUAUAUAGUUCUUUUGUCAUGUUCUGUCACAGAAGCAUCGAACUUUCCCUAGAAAUUUUUGCAUGGUAUUCUGCUUAUGAUUUUGAAAACUCUAGGCACCUAAGGCCACUGAUUGCAUGGUUGGAUGAGGAGCUGCAUGAGAUUAUGUAUCCUGUUGCUCCUUAACUACAAAUAUCAGUUUUAAGUAGCAUCUCCAUGUGACAUUUUCCUGAUGCAAUUUCGCUGUCCACCAACAAAUGUCUCCAUGCAGCUAGAUGAAUUGUAAUUUCUUUGUUGUUAUCAACAGCUUUAAUUAAUCUUGAUAUAUAUAUAACUUAGUAGAAGUAAUUAAUCUAGAUUGUAGUUGCACUAAGAUAAUAGGCAAUAUUAUAACAGUGCCACAAUGCUCAUCGCCAAAUAGAAAGGUAGAAAAACUACAAUGAGUAACUCACACAACAUUCUCAAACAGGACAUAGCGGCGACUGAUACAUAGAACACUAUUGGCACUCAGGAAAUGAUAAGAUCAGUGCCCAGCAGGCAGCACGUCUUAUUUUACAUACUACUUAAAACUAACCAAAGUCAUUCAGUUGGGAUGGGUGGGAGAUGGUGGUUUGUGCGGUGGCUUCUUUCCUGGAACUGGUGGUUUUUUUGUUGGAGUUGAAGGAGGCUUAAUCGUCUGAGGUGGCUUGUAUGAGUCUUCAGCACUCUCUGCAAGAGGGUGCCCAGGGUUGUGACCAUAAUGAGGUGGCUUCUCUCCCUUAGGUGGUUUGCCAAGUGGGCUGGCUGGCUUGUGCUCCGGGAGCGGCUUCUCUCCCUUAGGUGGUUUGCCAAAUGGGCUUGCUGGCUUGUGCUCUGGGAGCGGCUUCUCUCCCCCAAGAAGUUUGCGGGUUUUGUCAGAUGGCUUGUGUUCUGGUGGUGGCUUCUCUCCUUGGGGUGGUUUGCCAAAUGGACUUGGUGGCUUGUGUUCGGGGAGUGGCUCCUCUCCCUUGGGAGGUUUAGUUGGUGGCUGGUGUUCCGUAGGUGGUUUCUCAACCGGGGGCUGGUGCUCCGUAGGUGGUUUAUGAACUGGGGGAUGCUUGGGGUAGUCAGCAAGAGACGGGGUGGUGAGAACCACCAGUCCCAGCAGCAACACUAGCAAGUAUGUGGAUGACAUCUUUGAGUUCAGGCUGAGAUUUGUGCAAGACUAGAAGAAUUAGGUGGCCUUUUAUAGCUGGCUGCACCCAACACUCACAUGACACGUAUCACGGUGACACAUGUGCUAUGGGAUCCAUUUGGGUCCUACAGAAGUUGAAAACUUUUGACUAUUGAGGUGUGAUCACAACUUUUGUCCCUAUUGCUUUCUCCGCAACCGUUUUACAUGUUUCCUUUGUGGUGUUUAAUAGUGUUUUUUUCCUUAAUUCUAAAUAAACCUUAAUACUUAAUAAUGUUAAAUAUUAGGUUAUUUAUUUUUAUAAUAUUUUAUUUAUAUUAAGUAUUAAAAAGUAAAGAAAAAUCAAUAUAUUUAUUUUUCUAUUUAGAAAAAACUAUAUAUUUUUAAUUUUUUUAUUUAAUAAAAAAUUUAUAAUAAAUCAUGAAAAAAUAGAAAAACAAACAACCUAAAUUUUAAAAAUAAAUUGUUUUUAGUAAAAACCCAAAAAAACAAACACCACCUUAACUAAACAAAUAUAUAUUAUAUUUAGUUAAGAAAGAGUAAAGUGUAUAUGGCUCAAAUCAAGGAAGAGAAACAGAAUAAGUGGAAGACAAUCAAUUGUGAUAAACAGAUAUAUUACAUGCAUGUAGUACUAGUGACUUUAUCAUUUACUUUUAUACAAUAGAUCAUCACACUCUUUCUUCUAAAUAUUUUGGAGGAUAAUGGUACAUGUUGCUUGUUGCCAAGUCAAAAUUGGUGGCAAAAAUCGGCAUGAUACGAAAGGAUUGGUGAAAAGAUUCACAUAGAUGGUGCUUUGUGCAAUGCAGUCUUGCUCUAAUUCAACAGAGUGGACCAUGGUGAUGUAUUUUAAAUUUUAAAUUUUAAAUUAAUGCAUGCUUCAAAGUUUUAACUAGAUGUCACUUCCAUGGAUUUUUGUUCAUUUAAUUGAGAACAGGAUAGGCUAUCAAACUUGAAGUAAUAUAAAAAUCCCUUCAUUACUGUAACUAAUGAAAGAUCAUUAUCUGCGCUUGGUAUUUUGCCAAGGUAUUUGCUGCUCUUUCUAGCCCUAUCUUACAGUUAAGGACAAUGUGAUCUAGUUAACCUUAGAAGCUAUUCCAUGUCAUAUACAAGAGAUCAAGCACAUUAUCUUUGGGCUCAGUUCAAAACUAUAAUAUAUGGGUGGGGUGGGGGCCUAUACCAUUUGCAUAUCACCACUAUUGGUUUAGUUUGGAAGGUUUCUUCUGGAAGAUUGCUUUCUGGAAACAUUUCAAAGAAAUAUAUCUUUUUGUUCUCUUGGUGACGAGCAGCGGCAAUCAAGUCUGUUGACAAACAACCGAGUUGAAAAGUUUGAAAAUUGGUCACAGCCCACGUCCAUGGUUAAGGAAAAGGUCACUGGAAGUGAUCCCUUCUGGGCCUGUUGGAAGCAGGGGAGGUUAACACACCAAGCAACAAAGAACAGAGAUAUGCUGCUACUGAUCUAUAUUUUUUAUUUGAUCAUAAGGCUAAAUUUAUACAGAUUGUGUAACAGAUAUGACCUCAAAAAAAAGCAUCAAAUCAAGCUACUUGUUGAACAAACAACUACCUUCUACAAAAUAACAUCAAAAUUUAACUUAAAAGCAAAAACAUAAAAAUAGCAACAGCAAAAAUAGAAACAUAAAAAUAGCUUCAGCAUUCUAGUAAUCUCGUUGACUUCAAUUGCAUGUGGUUGACGAUUUCAGCCUUUUCCUCAGCAGCUACUAAGGCAUAACUCUCAACACUCCUCCUUGACUUAGGAGGUGCAAACUCCAAGUCUUUCUCAUAGAAACUCAAAUCUUAUUUUAGGAAGAGCUUUAGUCAGAAUAUCUACAUUUUGACUGUCUGUAUUGCAGUAGACUAGUUGUAUAUCUCCUUCUUUCUGUACUUCCCUCAAAAAUUACAAUUUAAUCUUGAAGUGCUUUGUUUUACCAUGAAAAACUGGAUCAUUUGCAAUAGAUAUAGUGGCCUGGUUGUCUACAAACACCUUUGUACUCACUUCUUGCUUCAUAUCCAAAUCUGUCAGCAACUUUCCAAGCCAUAAGGCUUGAUUUACAGCUGUAACAGCAGCAAUAUACUCUGCCUCAGCUGUGGAUUGAGCCACGACUUCUUGCUUCCUUGAACUCCAUGAAAAAACACCAGAACCAAAACUAAAACAAUAGCCUGAAGUACUUCUCAUAUCGUCAACACAACCAGCCCAAUCACUAUCAGAAAAUCCAUGAAAAUUGAAACUUUGAACUUGACUGAACUUAAUGCCAUAAUCCACAGUGCCUUUAACAUUUCUUAUCACACGCUUUGCUGCCUGGAAAUGAAUUUCACUAGCACAAUGCAUGUAUCUCGAAAGUAGACUUACAGCAUGCAUUAUAUCGAGUCUUGUUGCAGUCAAGUACAUUAAGCAUCCAAUCAUGCUUCGAUAAAGUCCUUCAUCUACCUUUUUAGCACCGUCCUCCUUACAGAACUUCUCUUUCUGGUUCAUAGGGGUAGAUGUAGGUUUGCAUUCCUCCAUUUUGAAUUUCUUCAUAAUUUCUUUGGCAUAUUUUUGUUGGCAGAUGAAAAUCUCAUUCUGCUUCUGGUGUACUUCCAUUCCCAAGAAGUAAGACAUCUCAUCUAGGUCUGUCAUCUCAAAAACCUGCUCCAUUUCAGCCUUGAAUUUGUUCACAAACCCUGCAUUACUUCCUGUUACAAGCAAAUCAUCAACAUAUAGAGAAACAAUUAAUAUAUCUUCUUCAAUCUUCUUAAUGUAGAGUGUAAAUUCACUCAAGCUCUUGUGAAAGCCUAAAGUUAGCAGGUGAGUGUCAAUCCUGCUGUACCAAGCUCUAGGGGCUUGUCUUAACCCAUACAAGGCCUUCUUAAGAAGGUAUACUUUUUCUUCUUUUCCUUUGAUAGCAAAACCUUCUGGUUGUUCGACAAAAAUCUCUUCCUCUAAGUAGCCAUUCAAAAAUGCUGACUUCACAUCUAGUUGAUAAAUCUUCCAUUUUCUUUGAGCUACAAGAGCCAACAACAUCCUGAUUGUAUCCAAACGAGCUACUGGUGCAAAGGUUUCCGAAAAGUCAACACCAAACAUUUGUGCAUACCCUUUGACAACCAGCCUUGCUUUAUGUUUGUUUAUAGAACCAUCAGAGUUGAGUUUGGUUCUGUAAACCCACUUAACCCCAAUAGGUUUUUUGUGUGAAGGUCUAUCUACUAGCUCCCAAGUGUUGUUCUUGUCAAUCAUAUCUAGCUCCUCCUGCAUUGCAACCCUCCAUCUUUUAUUUUCAGCAGCUUCAACAAACCCUGCAAGUUCAAGAACAGCUAUAUUACACCUUUGAUAAAUAUCAAAAAGUGUCAUGAAACCUCUAACUGGAAGUUCAUCAACAUCUUCAUCAAUAUAUUGCUGAUUCUGCUCAUCCCAACUCCAUUUCUCCGUUUCCAAAAACUUAACAUCUCUACUUACCACAAUUUUACUAUUUUGUGGCAAGUAGAUUCUGUAAGCUUUUGAGGUGCUGUUGUAUCCAAUGAAAAUUCCUGGUUCUGACUUUUUAUCUAGCUUGUCUCUUUUCACCUGAGGAACAUAAGAGAAACACAAGCAACCAAAGGUCUUUAAAUUCAUUAGCAUAGGCUUAUAAGCAAACCAGGCCUCAAAAGGUGUCUGUUUCUGCAAUGCUUUUGUUGGUAGUCUAUUUAGCAAAAAUACUACUGUAUUUGCAGCUUCAACCCAAAAACUUUUUGGCAGCUCUUUCUCAUGCAAAAGACAUCUUGUCAUUGAUUACUACUCAAAAAGUGCUAUUUGAUAGCCUUUAAUUAAUCCUUUUUAACACUUUUGAGUAGUAGUUUAGGCCUUUUAACUCAAUUGGCAUGUUAAGGAUCCUUUAAAGCAAUUUUGAUCACUUUGUGCAAGUUUUGGUGUUUUUGUUAGUAUUUCGAUCACCAAAGCAAGUCAAGAAUGAGGAGAGCUAUGAGGAAUCUUGGGCAAAGCUUAGAAUUCAAUUGCCAAGAGUGAAUCCGGAUUGCAAGGAGAAAAAGCAAAGAGGAUCAGUCAUGGAGCAUAUUCUUGAUGACAGUCGUAGCAGCCACUUUUGGAUCACUUUCUGAAGUCCAAAUGAUGCAAGCUAUAUACCAUUUCAAAGCUCAGGAAGUCAACAAUCCAAUGCUUCAAACGGUGUGCGAUUCGGAAUUGAAACGAAGAAGUUGCAGCCAUUACAAGCCAGACACUCUAAAGUGUUGCGGAAUCAGCCAUGUGUUGCGAGAAUUUCGCAGCACUUUUGUACAGUAAGGUGUUUCUCCUUCUAACGAUGCACGAACCAUGCCGCGAGAAGGGAGCUGGAAACUUCAAGAUGGAAGCCAACUUUGCAGCCUAGUGAAGAUAGCUCGGUCUUGCAAGAUAAUUUCGCAGCCCUCUUGGGUGUCUGCGAAAUUUCGCAGGCCUCAUUUUUCACCUGCGAAAUGGCUCUUGAAGCCUCCCGAAGCUUGCUACCGACAUUGGGAGAUAUUUUCCAUUAGAUUUUUGUUGUCUAAAUCCCAAAAUACUCCUUGUAAACCACCAAUUACAUGAUUCCUUAGUUUUUAAGUUAGUAAAAAGACCAAAUAUCUUUGUAACAAUUAGUUUUAUAUUUUGUUGUUAUAAAUACCUCUCGGGAGCCUGUUCUCAGGGAGGAGUUCCUUCUGUAAACGUUUGGUAAGCAAGUAAAGUCUAUUUUCUUUCUACUGCCUUACCUUCUCACUUUGUAUUUUCAUUUUAUUUCUAAGUUAUGAAUUCUCUGAGGAGUUUUCCCCAAAGAAUGAGUAACUAAACCUCCAAUUCCUUGGAGCUAAGGUUGCCGGGGAAGGUUCCAAGUGCAAGAAUGCAAAGCUCUGUGGUUUUAGCUAGUAAUGAAGAGGAAGUGAAAUCCUUUAGUGAUUUCAAUGUUUUUAGUUAACUUAAAACACUUUGGAGUCACCUGGGCCAACACUUGGUAAGGCAAGUGAUUUCCAACCAUGGAAAUGCACUAGUUUACCCCUUGCGAGCCUCUGGUAGGUGACUUCAAGGUAGGAUUUUCUGGAAUUACCAACACUUGGUAAGCUUUUGGACUCCUAGGAGACAUCCAUUAGUUAUCUCUUGCGAGUUUGUGAAGGGAAUCCAAGGUUAAAGAUCACCUUGAAUGGUAAGUGCUCGUGAGAGGCAUGAACCAUUGCAAGUUGUAUCAGUGAGAGAAUUAAAGUGAAAUCUAAUUGAAGGAGUCUUUGUACAUCACCGGUUAGAGAAUUGACUAUAAGUUGAAUCUCUAAUGCGAGGAAAUGAACCAACUGACCAGAGCCGUGUCUUUUGCAUGAGGAACCACCCCAGUGAACCUAAAUCUCCAAGGAAUGUUUUUUUCUUCCUAAAUUAUUCCAAACUUCUGUUAAGUUAGUUAGUUUAAAUCUCAACCUUUACAAAUCAAAGUUUGUGUUUUAUUCCUUAAGCUAACCGUGAAAUGAAACAAGACCAAUUCACUUGGAAUUGGUAUCAUUGAUUGCCUGCAAAUCAUUCCCAGUGAACGAUCCUAGAGCCACUAUACUAUAGUAGCUUUGUAUUUGCUACCCUAGUGUAUGGUGUUAUAGGUAUAAAUUUUGUUGAUCACUUCCUCAAUCAAGGAGCACCAGCUGAACACAAAUCAGCUGAGACACCAAUUAGGCAUGAGUCAAAUGGCGCCGUUGCCGGGGAAUGAAUGUCAAGUUCAUUGUGAUACCAUUGUUGAGCACUUGUGAUUUUCAUCACAAGUUGGUAAAGUUUCUUUCACUUUACUAAUUUUCAUUCUUUCUUUGUUUAUUUACAAUCUAAGUUUAUCUUUUUAAAUUUUAGUCUAGUUUAAUUUUGUUGUUGUAGCCCUGUUUUUCUUGUUGUCCUCUGUUUUCAUUUUUUUUUUCAGGUAGAUACUAGUUGUGUAUGCCCAAGUGGAUACGAGACAUAGGAGGUAGGCUUGUUAAGUGUGAUACACCUCAGAAAGGAGAAUUUGAAGUAAUCUUGAAUAUCAUGGAGGCUGCACCUGAAGAUCAGCAUAGUCACCAAGGUCGUCAAGACAAUCUCAAUGAAUUCAGAUCAAUGAGGGACCGUAUGCAUCCACCUCGUAUGAGUACACCAUCAUGUAUAGUGCCCCCUACAGAGCAGCUAGUGAUCAGACCAUAUCUUGUUCCACUUCUACCAACUUUCCAUGGGAUGGAAAGUGAGAAUCCGUAUGCACACAUCAAGGAAUUUGAAGAUGUUUGUAAUACAUUCCAAGAAGGAGGAGCUUCAAUUGACUUGAUGAGGCUUAAGUUAUUUCCUUUUACUUUAAAGGAUAAGGCCAAAAUUUGGCUUAAUUCUUUAAGGCCAAGGAGUAUCCGCUCUUGGACUGAUUUACAAGCUGAGUUCCUUAAGAAAUUUUUUCCUACUCAUAGAACAAAUGGCUUGAAAAGGCAAAUUUCAAACUUCUCAGCUAAAGAGAAUGAGAAAUUCUAUGAGUGUUGGGAAAGAUACAUGGAAGCUAUAAAUGCUUGUCCUCACCAUGGCUUUGAUACUUGGCUAUUGGUGAGCUAUUUUUAUGAUGGUAUGUCCUCCUCAAUGAAGCAACUCCUCGAGACAAUGUGUGGAGGAGAUUUCAUGAGCAAAAAUCCAGAGGAAGCUAUGGAUUUCUUGAGCUAUGUAGCUGAUGUUUCAAGGGGAUGGGAUGAACCAACUAAAGGAGAAGUGGGAAAGAUGAAGUCUCAGUUGAAUGCUUACAAUGCAAAGGCUGGGAUGUAUAAUUUGAAAGAAGAUGAUGACAUGAAAGCAAAGUUGGCAGCUAUGACAAGAAGAUUGGAGGAGCUGGAGCUGAAAAGAAUGCAUGAAGUGCAAGCUGUUGCUGAAGCACCAGUGCAAGUGAAGCUGUGUCCCAAUUGUCAAUCAUUUGAACAUUUGGUGGAGGAGUGCCCUGCAAUUUCAGUUGAAAGGGAAAUGUAUAGAGAUCAAGCAAAUGUUGUUGGACAAUUUAGGCCCAAUAACAAUGCUCCUUAUGGAAAUACCUACAAUUCAAGUUGGAGGAAUCAUCCAAAUUUCUCAUAGAAGGCCAGAGCAACUCAAUACCAACAGCCGGAUCCACCAUCUCAGCAAUCUUCAAGUAUUGAACAAAUAAUAGCCAAUCUCAGCAAGGUAGUGGGAGAUUUUGUGGGAAAGCAAGAAGCCACCAAUGCUCGAGUUGAUCAAAGAAUGGAUAGAAUGGAGAGUGUGUUGAACAAAAGAAUGGAUGGAAUGCAAAAUGAUAUGAACCAAAAGUUUGAUAACAUCCAAUAUUCAAUUUCAAGGCUUACAAAUUUGAAUACACUGCAAGAAAAAGGAAGAUUUCCUUCUCAACCUAACCAAAAUCCCAAAGGUGUCCAUGAAGUGGAAAGCCAUGAGGGAGAAUCAUCACAGGUGAAAGAUGUGAAAGCUUUGAUCACUCUAAGGAGUGGUAAGAAAAUUGAGCAGCCAACACCCAUGCCACAUGUUGAGAAAGAAGAAGGGAUAAAGAAAGGAAAGGAAAUAGAAGAUAAAGACAGUGAGAUCAGUGAAGAAAAGAAGGACUCUGAUUCAACAAUCAAAGCAAUUCCAGAGAAAGAGCUUCUGAAGGAAGAAAUGCUGAAGAAAUCAACUUUUCCACCUUUUCCUCAAGCAUUACAGGGGAAAAAGGGGGUUAGAAAUGCAGCUGAAAUCCUUGAAGUCUUAAGACAAGUAAAAGUUAAUAUUCCACUGCUGGAUAUGAUCAAACAAGUUCCAACGUAUGCAAAAUUCCUAAAGGACUUGUGUACUAUCAAAAGAGGGGUUGACUGUAAACAAGAAAGCCUUCUUGACUGAGCAAGUAAGUGCAAUCUUACAAUGCAAGUCUCCUUUGAAGUACAAAGACCCUGGAAGUCCUACCAUUUCAGUCAUGAUUGGAGGAAAGGUAGUGGAGAAAGCCUUGCUAGACUUGGGAGCAAGUGUGAAUUUGCUUCCAUACUCUGUCUACAAGCAACUGGGACUUGGAGAGUUGAAGCCAACAGCAAUCACUUUAUCUUUGGCAGAUAGAUCAGUGAAAAUUCCAAGAGGAGUAAUUGAGGAUGUAUUGGUUCAAGUGGAUAAUUUCUACUAUCCAGUAGAUUUUGUUGUUCUUGAUACUGAUCCAACUGUAAAGGAAGCUAAUUUAGUUCCUAUCAUCCUUGGAAGGCCAUUUCUUGCAACUUCAAAUGCAAUCAUCAACUGUAGAAAUGGGCUUAUGCAACUCACUUUUGGUAACAUGACACUGGAUCUCAAUAUUUUCUAUAUGUCUAAAAAGCAAAUCACUCCUGAGGAAGAAGAAGGUCCAGAAGAGCUAUGUAUUAUUGAUACUUUGGUGGAGGAGCACUGCAAUCAGCAUAUGCAAGAUAAGUUGAAUGAAAGUCUUGUGGAUAUUGAGGAAGGUUUUUCUGAAUCUCCUAUUGGGCUUGCUACUCUACAAAGUUGGAGAAAGAUAGAAGGAAUUCUACCUUUGUUCAAUGAAAAAGAGGAGGCAACUGUUGAAGAAGAAAUUCCAAAACUCAAUUUGAAGCCUUUACCUGUGGAGCUGAAAUAUACAUAUCUUGAAGCAAAUAAUCAAUGUCCUGUUGUGAUAUCCUCAUCUCUGACCAGUCAUCAAGAGAAUUGUUUAAUGGAAGUUCUCAUGAGGUGUAAGAAGGCAAUAGGAUGGCAAAUAUCUGACUUGAAAGGCAUUAGUCCUUUAGUUUGUACUCAUCAUAUAUAUAUGGAGGAGGAAGCAAAGCCAAUUCGUCAAUUUCAAAGAAGGUUGAAUCCUCAUCUACAAGAGGUGGUGCGAGCUGAGGUGCUGAAGCUACUUCAAGCAGGAAUCAUUUACCCUAUUUCUGAUAGCCCUUGGGUGAGUCCUACUCAAGUGGUACCAAAGAAGUCAGGGAUCACAGUGAUUCAAAAUGAAAAAGGGGAAGAAAUUACUACACGCCUCACUUCAGGUUGGAGGGUGUGUAUUGAUUAUAGAAAGCUGAAUGCUGUCACCAGGAAGGAUCAUUUUCCAUUGCCAUUUAUUGAUCAAGUGCUGGAGAGAGUCUCUGGACAUCCAUUUUAUUGUUUCUUGGAUGGGUAUUCAGGCUAUUUUCAAAUUGAAAUUGAUUUGGCAGAUCAGGAAAAGACCACUUUUACAUGUCCAUUUGGAACAUUUGCUUAUAGAAGAAUGCCUUUUGGUUUAUGCAAUGCACCUGCUACAUUUCAAAGAUGUAUGUUGAGUAUUUUCAGUGAUAUGGUGGAGAGAAUUAUGGAGGUUUUCAUGGAUGACAUCACCGUAUAUGGAGGUACAUUUGAGGAGUGCUUGGUUAAUUUGGAAGCAGUUCUUCAUAGAUGCAUUGAAAAAGAUUUGGUGCUGAACUGGGAGAAAUGCCAUUUUAUGGUACGUCAAGGAAUUGUCCUUGGCCAUAUCAUCUCUGAAAGAGGCAUUGAAGUUGAUAAAGCAAAGGUGGAGCUUAUUGCCAAAUUACCAUCUCCAACAACUGUGAAAGGAGUAAGACAGUUCCUUGGCCAUGCAGGGUUCUAUAGGAGGUUUAUAAAAGGUUUUUCAAGUCUUUCAAAACCUCUUUGUGAGCUGUUAGCUAAGGAUGCUAAGUUUAUAUGGGAUGAAAGGUGUCAGCAUAGCUUUGAUCAACUGAAGAAGUUUUUAACAACAACUCCAAUAGUGAGAGCCCCUAACUGGCAAUUACCUUUUGAACUGAUGUGUGAUGCCAGUGACUUUGCUAUAGGAGCUGUGCUUGGCCAAAGAGAAGAUGGGAAGCCCUAUGUGAUUUACUAUGCAAGUAAAACACUAAAUGAAGCUCAGAGGAACUACACAACUACAGAGAAAGAAUUGUUAGCUGUGGUAUUUGCUUUGGACAAAUUUCGAGCUUAUUUAGUGGGGUCUUUCAUCAUUGUCUUCACUGACCAUUCAGCCUUGAAGUAUUUAUUGACAAAGCAAGAUGCAAAAGCAAGGUUGAUUAGAUGGAUUCUAUUGUUACAAGAGUUCGAUCUUCAAAUCAAAGAUAAGAAAGGAGUGGAGAAUGUAGUAGCUGACCACUUGUCAAGGUUAGUUAUAGCACAUAAUUCCCAUCCCUUGCCUAUCAAUGAUGAUUUUCCUGAAGAAUCACUCAUGUUCCUAGUGAAAACUCCUUGGUAUGCUCAUAUUGCUAAUUAUUUAGUAACUGGGGAAAUUCCAAGUGAGUGGAAUGCACAGGACAGGAAGCACUUCUUUGCCAAAAUUCAUGCUUAUUAUUGGGAAGAGCCCUUUCUCUUUAAGUAUUGUGCAGAUCAGAUUAUUAGGAAGUGUGUCCCUGAAGAUGAGCAGCAAGGGAUUCUAUCUCAGUGUCAUGAGAAUGCAUGUGGAGGCCACUUUGCCUCUCAGAAAACAGCCAUGAAGGUAUUACAAUCAGGGUUUACUUGGCCAUCUCUUUUCAAAGAUGCCCACAUCAUGUGUAGAAAUUGUGAUAGAUGCCAAAGGCUUGGAAAGCUAACAAAAAGAAAUCAAAUGCCUAUGAACCCCAUUCUGAUAGUUGAGAUAUUUGAUGUUUAGGGCAUUGACUUCAUGGGACCUUUCCCAAUGUCUUUUGGUAAUUCUUACAUUUUGGUGGGGGUAAAUUAUGUUUCUAAAUGGGUUGAGGCAAUCCCCUGUAAGCAAAAUGAUCACAGGGUGGUUCUCAAGUUUCUUAAAGAGAACAUUUUCUCAAGAUUUGGGGUGCCCAAGGCCAUAAUCAGUGAUGGAGGAGCUCAUUUUUGCAACAAACCUUUUGAAGCUCUGUUAUCCAAGUAUGGAGUGAAGCAUAAGGUAGCCACACCUUAUCAUCCUCAGACAUCCGGGCAAGUUGAGCUAGCUAACAGGGAAAUAAAGAACAUUUUGAUGAAAGUGGUGAAUUCCAACAGAAAAGAUUGGUCUAUUAGGCUUCAUGAUUCAUUGUGGGCAUAUAGAACAGCUUAUAAAACUAUUCUUGGGAUGUCUCCCUAUCGUCUUGUCUAUGGCAAAGCAUGCCAUCUCCCUGUGGAAGUUGAAUACAAAGCUUGGUGGGCAAUAAAGAAGCUGAAUAUGGACUUGAUCAAGGCCGGAGAAAAGAGAUUUCUAGACCUUAAUGAGAUGGAGGAAUUAAGAAAUAAUGCUUAUAUCAAUUCCAAAGUUGCAAAACAGAGGAUGAAGAAGUGGCAUGAUCAACUCAUCUCCAACAAGGAAUUUCAGGAAGGGCAAAAAGUUUUGAUGUAUGACACAAGACUCCAUAUCUUUCCUGGGAAGCUCAAAUCAAGGUGGAUUGGUCCAUUUGUUAUUCACCGAGUAUAUUCCAAUGGAGUGGUGGACUUAUUGAAUUCCAAUGGCAAGGAUAGCUUUAAAGUCAAUGGAUAUCGUCUCAAGCCGUUCAUGGAGUCAUUCAAAUCAGAAAAGGAGGCAAUCAACCUCCUUGAACCUCAAAAAGCCUAAGUGAAAAGGGUUUGCUGGACGUGGCUUUACCACAGUCCAAAAUUUUUGUAAAUUUUGUAAAUUUUCAAGUUGUUUCUAUACUUUUGAUUUUAGUUUUUGAUCUUAAAUCAUGUUUUUAGGUGUGUUUUAAUCGUUUUAAAUGAUCCCAGGUGGAAGAAAUUUCAAGGGGAUUGAAAGAAAAAAAAUCGGGUCGAAAUUGGAGCCGAAACAGAGCAAAAACAGGGGAAAAACAGAGCUCUGCGAAAUUUCGCAGGGUGAAGGAAACCUCUGCGAAAUGAGCAUUUUGUUGCGAAACCAUUCCGCAGCACUGUAGAAGCCUCUGCGAGUGUAUUUCGCAGCUGCGAAAGUGAAUUUGGCACACGAGUGCCACUUCGCAGUACAGUAGCAUCCAUUUGGCAGCUGCGAAACUCAUUGCGAAAUGGAAAAGCGUGAUUUCGCACCAAAAGUCCCAUUCCGCAGGGUAUUUCGCAAUUGCGAAAGUGGUUUUGGCACACGAGUGCCACUCCGCAGCACAGUAACAUCAAUUUCGCAGCUGCGAAACUCACUGCGAAGUUGCUGCGAAAAUGGCAAGUUGCUGCGAAAUUGGCGUUUAGUUGCGAAACUUAAACUGACCCCUGAGCUUCCGUUUUUCCUAUUUAUACCGGUCAAAAGUGCUGCGAAAAGGGUUUCAAAAAUCAGAGCACCAUUCUCGCAGCCCCUUCAUCUUCUUCGCCAAGCCACGCCGUCCGAACCUCCGGUCGUCUUCUCCGUUUAGCAGCGCCGGCCAAAGAUCGAUAUUCCAAAAUGGCACGAACGCGAGGGGCAAAAUCUUCAUCCCCUUCGAAUCGCAAAAGGAGUCUGCGAAAGGAGCCAAGUCCAGGUUCUGCUCCAGAACCUGCUCCAAAGCCUUCGCCGUCGAGACCACAACCUUCUCCAGUGAAGCCGGCGCCACUAAAGCCGCCGGCAAGACGAUAUUUGACAAGGUCAGGCGGUUGGCCAUUGAAGAAGAAGCCCAGGGUUGAGAGCUCUGAACCAAUUGAUUUGACUGAGCAAUCCCCUGAGCAGUCCCCAAAUCCUUCACCAGUUCAAACUCCAGUGCCGUCACCGGUUCCCUCGCCAAUUCCCUCACCUGAAGCAACUCCAAUUCCAUCGUCGGUACCAUCUCCGGCACCCCAAGAAAAAGCUCAGGAGCCUCAAGCGCCAAUUCCAGAGCCCCAAAUUGCAGCUGAAGCACCUCUGGAAGAAGUGAUCCGAAGGCCAAUGCUGCCCCAGCCCCCAAUCGAAGGAAACUUGGAUUGUCGAACACGGGCAUUCCAUUCUGAGCUUUGCUUCGAUUUAACAGCAUUCAGAGUGAGGCCAGAGCUUGCCCAAUCCUUCCAGCUGCUGAGGAGAUAUCAUAUGGAGCAUCUGCUAGCUCCAAGGGAUUUUUUCUAUCCCCGGGUAGUCACGGACUUCUACCAGACCAUGACAACCAAAGAAGUAAGAAAUCCAACUCUGAUCCAUUUCAUAAUUGAUGGAAGGCAUGGUAUUUUGGGAGCAAGACACAUUGCUGAAGCUCUGCAAAUUCCUUUUGAGCCAACCCAAUUCGACAAUUUUAAAGCUUGGGUAAAUCCUACUGAGUUAGAGAUGGUUCGCACACUAACCAGAGGAGCUGCAAAUCGAUCACACCUGUUGAGGGGGGAGCUACCUCCAGUGAUGUUUUUGAUUGAUGCCUUUUUGAGGCAUAAUAUCUAUCCCCUGCAGCAUUGGACCCAAAGAAGGGGAAUUCUCCUGGAAGCUUUGUACAAGAUGUCAGAAGGAUUCUUCUUUGGGCCCCAUCAUCUUAUCAUGGCAGCCCUUCUAUACUUUGAGGAAAAGGUUCACAAGAAGAAACUUCAAAGAGCAGAUUGCAUUCCACUCCUCUUCCCAAGGCUGCUAUGCCAAGUUUUGGAGCAUCUCGGAUACCCCUCUGAGCCUCAGCAGGAAAGAAAGAGAAUAUGCCGUGAGCCAUUUACUCUUGAUAAAUGGAAUAAUAUGACGGCCUACAAAAUUGAUCAGCCUGGGCAGCCUCAGCCAGCAGCAAGGAGAGCCUCCCCAAGACAUGCACCUGAAGGUAUAACACUUGCUACUCCUGCCAUCCCUCGAGCUUCACCAGCUGCACCUGCUGCAUCACAGCCAUCCACAUCAGCUGAGCCGAGGAUGGCCAUCCCUAUAUCCGAAUAUCGAGAGCUGUGCCGAGCAUUGGAGACUCUUACAGCUUCCCAGAGCAAUCUUGCUCAAGAGUUGGCAGCCAUCAAAGCAUGCCAGGAGCAGAUGUUAGCCUCUCAGGCUCAACAAGCUGCCAUCCUAAGGCAGCUUCAAGUCCAUUUCGAUCUGCCACAAGCUGUAGAGCCCUCCACUGAGACUCCACCAGAGCCACACUCUCAGCCUUCAGAGUCUCUUCCUCCAGAGCCAGAAGCCCCAACUGAUCCACCUACAGAGGAGGCGGAUCCUUCUGCUUAGCACCAUCACCCCACUCAUCAGACAUUAUAUAUAUUUGCUGUUUAUGUUUUUAUGCAUGUUUGUUUUGUUUUAGUUGAAAUGAAAUCCCAGUAUUUUGGUACUAUAUAUGGGAUUCCUUGUGAUUACUUGUCCUUAGCAUUGUACUCGAAUGAAUUGAAAGUAAUACAAGUUGAAUUUUUCUUGUUAAAAGUUAGCAUUAAAAUUCUCCUUAUUUCCUUUUCUCACAUAUUCUAUUCUUUUUGAAACAUGUGGUUUUCCCCAAUCAAUAUUCGAAUUUGAUAUCAGCAUGGAGGUACCACUUCCUCCCUUUUAUUACAGUCACUCAAAUCACAUUGAGGACAAUGCUCAGUUCGGUUGGGGGGUAUGAGGAAGGAAGUAUUCUAAAUCUUUUUGGUAUUGCAAUUAUAUUGGUUAAUUAGUUGUAGAUUUUACGUUUUACUCUUGUUACUCUAUUCUCCAUGAAUUUUGAGGAAAAAUUUUCAAAUUAAACCAAGAGAAAUUGAACUGUUGUUUUUCACUUGACUUAGAGUAUGGAUUAUGCUUACUAAAGUGGUUCAAUUGUUGAAACUUCUACUGAAAUUGAAUUGAGUUCUUCCAUUUUAAGCUAUCCACACACUGUGCACAUUAGUUUCUGAUUAUAAGAUGAAAAGCUAUUUCCCUCUUGACUUAGGAUAAUUUUGGGACUUGGUAUAUUUGACCUCAUUUGAUAAAAAUUGAAACACCCUGCAAAAGGCCAAUGAGCCUUUGAAAUAAAGAAAGAUGUUUGCUUGCCUUGAAACCCGAGCAAGGUCUGAGGGGCAUAUGGUGAAAGCCUUUAAAGCCUGGUGCCCUAAGCCUUAAUUGGUUGGGAGUCACCGACCUCAAUGCUCGUUACAAGGGUGAAUAGGUAGAGCUAGCAUAUGGUAGAUGCUUGGGUAUUAGAAAUUCAUUCUUAAAAGUCCAGGGAAAAAUCCGAGGAGUUAGUGGUUGAAAGAUCCUUAAAACUUGGUGCCCUAAACCUUAAUUGGUUGGGAGUCAUCGAUGGACCCCCAUUACAUGGACAAGUCAGAAAGAGUACCCCAUAAAGCUACUUUAAAAAAAAAAAAAAAAAAAAAAAAAAGAUGAUGAAAGUGUGUUCUUUUCUUAUUGAUUUUGGUCAGAUUGCUAAAGUGUUGAAAAGAGAUAGGUUGGGGGGGGAGACUAGUUUAGCAUAUUAUUCUCGGAAUCUAAGGAACCAAUACACAUAGAUUUUUGUGGAAGAUUGAAGUUUAGUUCUUAGAAAGUGAAAUGAUUUUAAAACUUCAGUUUGCAUAAUGCACUCCCUUGAUUGACAGUGUUUAGCAUAGGUGUUAUGACUCUUGUUGAGAUUUGGGUUUGUAUUUCUUUAAUGAUUCAUGUGAGAAGUAAAUCAUCAUGCCACUUAAGAAUUAUUUUCCUUUCAGCAUGAUGUUGUAAAUUUUAGAUUAGUUUGCUAUUUAUUUUUAUUUUUCUCUCCUUUAUUGCUAAGGGACUAGCAAUAUGUCGGUUGGGGGGAGUGAUUACUACUCAAAAAGUGCUAUUUGAUAGCCUUUAAUUAAUCCUUUUUAACACUUUUGAGUAGUAGUUUAGGCCUUUUAACUCAAUUGGCAUGUUAAGGAUCCUUUAAAGCAAUUUUGAUCACUUUGUGCAAGUUUUGGUGUUUUUGUUAGUAUUUCGAUCACCAAAGCAAGUCAAGAAUGAGGAGAGCUAUGAGGAAUCUUGGGCAAAGCUUAGAAUUCAAUUGCCAAGAGUGAAUCCGGAUUGCAAGGAGAAAAAGCAAAGAGGAUCAGUCAUGGAGCAUAUUCUUGAUGACAGUCGUAGCAGCCACUUUUGGAGCACUUUCUGAAGUCCAAAUGAUGCAAGCUAUAUACCAUUUCAAAGCUCAGGAAGUCAACAAUCCAAUGCUUCAAACGGUGUGCGAUUCGGAAUUGAAACGAAGAAGUUGCAGCCAUUACAAGCCAGACACUCUAAAGUGUUGCGGAAUCAGCCAUGUGUUGCGAGAAUUUCGCAGCACUUUUGUACAGUAAGGUGUUUCUCCUUCUAACGAUGCACGAACCAUGCCGCGAGAAGGGAGCUGGAAACUUCAAGAUGGAAGCCAACUUGGCAGCCUAGUGAAGAUAGCUCGGUCUUGCAAGAUAAUUUCGCAGCCCUCUUGGGUGUCUGCGAAAUUUCGCAGGCCUCAUUUUUCACCUGCGAAAUGGCUCCUGAAGCCUCCCGAAGCUUGCUACCGACAUUGGGAGAUAUUUUCCAUUAGAUUUUUGUUGUCUAAAUCCCAAAAUACUCCUUGUAAACCACCAAUUACAUGAUUCCUUAGUUUUUAAGUUAGUAAAAAGACCAAAUAUCUUUGUAACAAUUAGUUUUAUAUUUUGUUGUUAUAAAUACCUCUCGGGAGCCUGUUCUCAGGGAGGAGUUCCUUCUGUAAACGUUUGGUAAGCAAGUAAAGUCUAUUUUCUUUCUACUGCCUUACCUUCUCACUUUGUAUUUUCAUUUUAUUUCUAAGUUAUGAAUUCUCUGAGGAGUUUUCCCCAAAGAAUGAGUAACUAAACCUCCAAUUCCUUGGAGCUAAGGUUGCCGGGGAAGGUUCCAAGUGCAAGAAUGCAAAGCUCUGUGGUUUUAGCUAGUAAUGAAGAGGAAGUGAAAUCCUUUAGUGAUUUCAAUGUUUUUAGUUAACUUAAAACACUUUGGAGUCACCUGGGCCAACACUUGGUAAGGCAAGUGAUUUCCAACCAUGGAAAUGCACUAGUUUACCCCUUGCGAGCCUCUGGUAGGUGACUUCAAGGUAGGAUUUUCUGGAAUUACCAACACUUGGUAAGCUUUUGGACUCCUAGGAGACAUCCAUUAGUUAUCUCUUGCGAGUUUGUGAAGGGAAUCCAAGGUUAAAGAUCACCUUGAAUGGUAAGUGCUCGUGAGAGGCAUGAACCAUUGCAAGUUGUAUCAGUGAGAGAAUUAAAGUGAAAUCUAAUUGAAGGAGUCUUUGUACAUCACCGGUUAGAGAAUUGACUAUAAGUUGAAUCUCUAAUGCGAGGAAAUGAACCAACUGACCAGAGCCGUGUCUUUUGCAUGAGGAACCACCCCAGUGAACCUAAAUCUCCAAGGAAUGUUUUUUUCUUCCUAAAUUAUUCCAAACUUCUGUUAAGUUAGUUAGUUUAAAUCUCAACCUUUACAAAUCAAAGUUUGUGUUUUAUUCCUUAAGCUAACCGUGAAAUGAAACAAGACCAAUUCACUUGGAAUUGGUAUCAUUGAUUGCCUGCAAAUCAUUCCCAAUGAACGAUCCUAGAGCCACUAUACUAUAGUAGCUUUGUAUUUACUACCCUAGUGUAUGGUGUUAUAGGUAUAAAUUUUGUUGAUCACUUCCUCAAUCAAGGAGCACCAGCUGAACACAAAUCAGCUGAGACACCAAUUAGGCAUGAGUCAGUCAUCUCCAUUAUUGUUUUAUUUUUUCUUUCCACCACCCCAUUUUGUUGUGGGGUGUAUGGUGCAAUGAGCUGGUGAUCUAUGCCUGCAUCUUCACAAAAUUUGUUGAAUUUUUCUGAAGUAUAUUCUGUACCAUUAUUCGACCUUAUAACCUUGAUUCUGUAUUCACUUUGAUUUUCAACCAUGGCCUUAUAUCUCAAAAACACAUCAGCAACCUCAGCUUUGUAAGUGAGAAAAUAAAUCCAACAAAAUCUUGUGAAGUCAUCAAUAAAUGCAAUAUAGUACUUACUCCCUUUCAAAGAUGGUGUCUUUUGAGGUCCACUCACAUCUGUGUGAACCAAUUGUAGUUUCUGUGUUGAUUUCCAUGCUGCUUUUUGAGGAAAAGGAAGUCUUGUUUGCUUCCCAUAUUGAUAGGCUGCACAUAUAGGAAGUUCUUCUUCCAAAUCAGGGAGUCCUUCUACAAUCUAAUUCUUCUUCAUGUAGAGCACGGUAUUGUGGUGGAAAUGCCCUAAUCUUUUAUGCCAAAGCAUUGUAUUGUUCUCGUGUUGUGCAGCAGUAAUUUGCUCAUCUUCUAACAUAUUUAAGGCAAAACUUUUGCCUUUCAUUUUUAUGUUGAACACCUCUUUGCCUUCAGCAUCCUUGAUUAUGCAAUUUUUGUCUUCAAAACAAACUUUAAACCCUUUCUCAACAAGCUGUCCAACACUUAGCAAAUUUUGGUCAAUGUCAGGCACAAACAAAACAUCAGAAAUGAGCUUUAAACCUGUUAGGCUUUCAAUAGCUAAUGUUCUUUUACCUUUUACUGGAAUAUACUCACCAUUUCCUAUUCUAACUUUGGAAAUAGUUGUCCUAUCAAUCUCCCUAAAGCGAUCUUGAUCAUGUCAUGUGGUUUGUGCAACCACUGUCCACGAGCCAGCUUUCAGAGGUGCUACCGUUUGCAAAACAUGUUGCUGAAAAUAGUUGUUCCUCCUGGUAUUGUUCAGCUGCUACAUUGGUUUCUCCCUGCUGCUGCUGAGUUCUACAGAUCCUUUCUAUGUGUCCAUGUCUACCACAUUUGUUGCAUUUCACAUCUGGUCUCCACCAACAUUUUUGUUGAGGAUGAUUUGUUUUCUUGCAAUGAGGACAGGGUGGAUAGGUUCCAGUUUUUUUAUUGUUGUUGUUGCUUGGCUUAUUGUUGUUCUUUUUGUUCUUCCUCCUUCUUGUGUUACCUUCAUUGGUCUGUGUCUUUGCUUGAAAAGCUCCUUCUACAGAACUUCCUUGCCUCAUGAGUCUUCUUUGUUCCAAAGCUUGUAAAGCAUUUAGUAGUUCUGCCAAGGUGAUACUUGACAAAUCUUUUGUGUUUUCCAAAGAAGAAAUUGUAGCUUCAUAUUUUUCAGGAAUUGUGACAAAAUUGUUUUGAACAACUCUUUCAUCAGAAAACUCUUUACCUAGCAACCUCACCUUGUUUGCUAUGGUAAGAAGUUGUUCUGCAUAAUCUUUUAUGGUUUGAGACUCUUUCAUCCUCACCAUUUCAAAUUCUCGAAUUAGAUUCAUUACCUGCACAUUUCUGACUCUUUCAUUGCCUUGAUAUUCUUCCCGUAGAUGCUUCCAGAUUUCUGCAACAGAUUCAAGUUGCAUGAUUCUGGUGAGAAUUAAUGGUGAGACUACAGAAAAUAAGCAAGCCUUGGCCUUAGCCUUCCUCGUCUUUUUCUCCUUAUGGUUUUUCAUCUGUGACACAGUUGGAUUGGCUCCAAGUGGAGAAAUUUCAUAAUCUUCCUCUAUUGCUUCCCAGACAUCAAGAGCCUGUAGAUGAACAGUCAUCCUGACAGCCUAAGUUUGGUAAUUUUCUCCAUUGAAGACUAGUGGUGCUGCUGUGAAGCUUGCUUCUUCCAUUUCUGCAAGGUUUUCAGAUUCAGGUUUGGUAUACGGUGUUUAGGCUCACACACCUCACUGGUCCCUCAAGACAAAAAUUGCUCUGAUACCAAACUGUUGGAAGCAGGCGAGGUUAACACACCAAGCAACAGAGAACAGAGAUAUGCUGCUACUGAUCUAUAUUUUUUAUUUGAUCAUAAGGCUGAAUUUAUACAGAUUGUGUAACAUAUAUGACCUCAAAAAAAGCAUCAAAUCAAGCUACUUGUUGAACAAAAAACUACCUCCUACAAAAUAGCAUCAGAAUUUAACUUAAAAGCAAAAACAUAAUAAUAGCAACAGCAAAAACAGAAACAUAAAAAUAGCUUCAACAUUCUAGUAAUCUCAUUGACUUCAAUUGCAUGUGGUUGACGAUUUCAGCCUUUUCCUCAGCAGCUACUAAGGCAUAACUCUCAACAGGGCCUCUUAAUUUCCAUUCUGGCAUCUAUAUGACCUGAUAAAUAGAAAGAAAAAAAAACAGAAGAAAAGCGGCACCUGGGUUCAUAGUAAGCAUCAAGACAGGAUGCUGAAAGAAGGGAGAGAGGAGAUUGCAAGUCCAAUCCUGAUAAAAUAUCAACAAAGAGUAUUAAAUGGGGCCAACAUAAAGACCCAUUAAGGUCAGCAGAUGGCAUGGCAUUUUUCUCCUUAAGUUUUCCAUGAUUAGGCUUGAAGUCAAAAUUUCACAUGUAAAUUUGUAUUUCUACAUUUCCCACUGACGACACCCAACUUCAACUUGAGUUAGAAUAACAUUGUGUGAACUUAUCUGGCCCUCAAAAUUUACUGUGAAGUGCUUUCUGCGUGUGAAGAUUCAGAAAAGCACCAAGGGAACAUGUAUGGUCUGCCUUUUUCUGAUGUUAUGUUUGUCUCUAAUUCUGUUCCAUGUCAUGGUAAAUGUUCACAUUGCUUGUAUGGAACACACCAGGAUCACUUUUUCAGGUUUAGGGGGAUACAAAAGGCUUCAUAUUGGGUUCAAUGCUUUUAAUGUGUUCAUUGGACAAAUCUGAAUUAUCAUACGCAUUUAGAUAAGAACAAUAAUGUGAAACCCUAGUUACACCUCCCCUGCAUAACCCCAACCCUGCUUGCUCUAUUUCAGUUUACUCACAAGUUUUACUGGUUCUUAUAAGUCAAGAAAAGGCAACUGAUGUUGGAUCGACUCUCUUCCAUGUAAAAAAUGCAACUUUUAUACAUAUAAAAGAACUUCUUCCCCUCACCAAUGUGGGAUUUCAUAGAUUUAUUCUGGAAACACAUCAAAGGAACAUCUUUUCUCUUGGGUGACCCUAAGUGGUGAGUCAGAUCAUUUGCAUGCCAUUGAGUUGCACAGUUGGAUAAAUGCACCUGCCUCCUGGGCUCCAGAGUUAAAAGGGUGGAUCCCUGGAUUGCAACCCUCUUGGCAUCUUGGUUUCUAUUCCAACAUCCACAUGACUUGACAAAACAAAAAACAGAAUAAAAUCAGCACUAUAUUCAUGCUAAGCACCAAUACAUGAUGGAAAUCAUUGCUUAAAGAUUUGGGGUCGUUUUAGGUUUUGACUGCCUCCUACCACCUCACCUAAUGACAAGUUUUUAUGCUUACAAAUCAAAUAUCGUUCUUCAUUAUAUUAAAAUCAUUUUAAGAUUUCAGAUCCAUCUGCUAAUUAUGAUUAUGAUAACAUUUAUUCACCUGUGCUUCUCAUUUUCGACACACAAGGCAUCUAGGUUUGCAGGAUUUCCUUAUUAGAUGAGAUAAAUGAGUACGUAUGGUUAUGUAUCCAGCAUUCAUUAACCAUGGUAUGUGACAUUUAGAAUUAAGAUAGCAAGCAAACUUUCCCUGCAGCUAGAGUAAAUUGUGAUUUCUUAGCCUCUAUGAGUGGUUCCCAAAUCAAAUUAACAUAGUGAAAUAUACGUAGUCCAGUGAAAGGAAAUGUAAAUUAUAAACUAACAGCACUACACUACUGGUAACAAUCGAUACUCUCUAUAUAAUGCAAUAAACAAUGUCACAAUUGCCUACAAGCAAGGCACAAACACUAGAACAAGUAAAGCACAAACCUUUCCCAACAGUUCCCAGUGACUGAUGCAUAUCAUACCCUCAACUCACAGAAGGGGAUGAUAUCAGUGCACUGCAGCACUUAUUUUACACAUACUACCACUACUACUACUACUACUACUACUCAUUAGCCAAAGUCACUCAGUUGGGAUGAGUGUGAGGUAGAGGUUUGUGGGGUGCUAUGUGGAAAGGAGUUUGGCUUCUUCUCAGGAGAUGGUAGCUUCUUUGCAGGAGUUGAAGGAGGCUUAAUCUUCUGUGGUGGAUUGAUUGUAUGAGUCUUUGGCACUCUCUUCUCUAGUACAGGUGAAUACCCAGGGGUGCAUCCAUAAUGCGGUGGCUUCUAUCCCUUAGGUGGUUUGCCAAAUUCAAAAUCGAAGGAUUUUUUUUUUUUAAGUAUACGUAUCUUUGAAAGCUUUUAUUUUGUAUGGCAAAUGGAAUGAGAGGAGCAGUCAUAUUCUAUUUGGCCAGAGCAACAUAUCACAAAUGAACAAGCUAUUUACUGCCACACUGGGCAAAACAUACAUAAUCCUUGUACUUCAAACAUCCAUGAAUUCUCAUCAUUUUCAGGACACGUUGCAUGGUCUAUCAUUCUAUAUGUCGGCAUAGUAAGUGCAGCUAAUAAGCCUAUUCAGAGCUGAAAUUCAAAAUCUAUUCACAGGAUAAUGACCUUAUUAUUGGAUUUUGCUCACUGUCAUACACACAUAUCAGAUAAAGCCCCACAUGCUCAUAAGCUACAAGCAACCUACAAGCACUAAAAUGAGUGUUAGACGUAUGAAACAUUCCCCAAUACUAGUAGUAUUACCUGUUCCAUAGAACACUAAAUUAGAAGAGAGAAGAUGUGAGACUCCAGCUUUUCUUUCUACAUAUUACUCAUAUCAAGUUGGAAUAGUUAGGCGGUAGAGGCUUGGGGUGGCUUGUGUAGGGGACUAGGCAGCUUCUCUCAGGAGUUGAUUUCGUCUUAUUCUGGAUGUCCAGGUUUCGUCCUUUCGAAUUUCCCAUGCAAAUCAGCAUUCUCCUUGGGAAACUUCACUCCGUUGGGAAACUUGUGUGAAUCUUUGGCAUUCUCUACCAGAGAAGGCCCAGGGCAGUGACCAUAAGGUGGUGGCCUUUUUUCAGGUGGUGGCUCCUCUCCCACUGGAGGCUUGUGGUAAUCAGCAAGAGAGGCAGUGGAGAGAAUCAUCACCCCAAGGAACAGCACUAGCAAGUAUUUGUGAGCCAUAUUUGGGAUCUGAUGAUGAAGACUAGAAGAUAGGAGUUGCCUCAUAUAAUGGGUUGGAGACUAUAUCUCAAGGGGACGUGUAUUUAUGCAUAUGAUCUAUAUAGGACCAUCCUCCUAAUAUUUUCAAAAUAAUGUUAUUGUCUCUCUUGGGUGACAGUUUGAUUUGGUCUAUUUCCAUGCCACUGAGUAGAAAAGUUUGACAAUUGGCUACACCACCUACCUGGAUUACAUGGUUGAAAGUGAAGAUCAGUACAGUGUGAUCACACUUGACCUCUUGUUCCCCAUUCCAGUAUCUAAUUAACCUGACAAAAGUAAAAGGAAAGGAAAAAGGGAAAAAAUAGAAUAAUGUUCAAAUAAAAACGAGAAAAAAUAGCAUAAUGUUGAUGAAUCAUGAUAAGCAUCAAGGCAUGAUAGUGAGAGAGAGGAAAGAAGACAGUGUAAUUUGCAAUCCUGAUAAUCAUUAUAUAGCAGUAACUUUAAUCAUUUUUCUAUCACAGGGAACAUGACACUCAUCUUCCUAUGGAGAUAUUGCAUAAGUUUUUUUCUUUGUAUGUCAACACUAACCAAUGAAGCAUGUUAGCUGGUUUGAAACUGAAACUGUAGCCCUCUGUUUGGUUCUUGAAAAACUUGAGAGAAAAUGGAAGUAAAGUUAAAAGGAAAGAAAAAGUGAAAAAAAAUAAAAAUAGAUUGAAAGUUAACAAAUUAUUUUUACAUGUUCCCUCAAAUUUCUUUCACUUAUUUUUCCUUUUCUAUAUAAAGAUUAAAUGAUUUAAAAAUCAUAAAUUUCUAACUAAUUAUAACUAUAUUUGAUUUUCUUUCAUAUUUUCCAAGAUAAAGUCAGACAUGAGAAAAUCAUUUUCCUUAAAAAAGAAAUUCUUUCCUUUACAGUUUCUUAGAACCAAACCUGGCACAAAAGUCCAAAUUGGGGUUUCUCCAUGUUCCAUUUUUUAUGGCUACCUUUAUGGACCAUAUAAUAUAGAAUGUACUUCUGCAUACCUUCAAGAUCAAGCUGAACUAUAAGAAAAAGACAAGCCAUGGCCCACGGAGCAGGGAUACCAAGCUGCCUUCUCCUAGAUUAAGUUCCAAGAUUUCAGUCUUCAAACCUGCUAAAAGCUAAAGGCAUGUUUCCAGCCUGCGGCAGAUAACAUGCACUGUCCAACAAUAAAUUGCAAACACAUUCGAUGCAGUUUAUUAGUACAAUAAGAUUAAAUCCACCAAAUCUUUUACAGUUCAACCAACACUUGAACUAGUAGCUAGCUUCACUACUGGGUAAUAAUAUAUAAACCAAACUCUUGAUAGGAACCAACCUAUCGCAGAUCGAACUUCUUACAUCCACCAUGAAUUACUGAACCAAAAGAAGAAUCGAAGAGACUGCCAAGGAGGAAAGCCUUCCUAUAACUAGAUAUUUAUAUUCCAAAUUAGGGAGAGCACCCACUGCCCAGGCCUCGCCCAGCAUAAACAGAUAGUAUACAUAUACAUGCAAAAAGCUCCAACCUUCAAGAUUUUAACUAUUAACUUAACACAAUUAAAAAUGUAUCCAAAAAGCAAAUCCCCUUGAACUCCUGAAGCAAUUACUCCAACCAAAUAAAGAUUUUAAGAGUUCCAUGUUCAUAUCCUGCAAGGAAAUCAUUCAAUGUUCAGACCUCUAAUUUCUGUCUUUCUAAAUGCCCAGCCAAAAGGCAUAAAGUAUCAUCCAAAUUGGAUGCACAGCAUAUGUUCUUAAAUCAUGGGAUUUCACCAUAAGUUACUACACUCUAACAGGGCCCAGAAAUUGACCUCCAGAUAUGCCUAUCAAAAAAUUAUCCCCACAUACAUUUUUCUGCUGAAAAGACAAUAUUGUUACAUUUGACAUUCAACCACUACUUGAACUCAACAACCAGGGAAAAGAAUAUAGUAUUUCUACCAAUGAGGAUGAGAGGGGCUGGUGAAUUAACAGGUAAAAGUUUGUUUUGGGUUCAUUGUUUGCAUAAUAAUGUAAAAAUGGAGUAGUAUAUUAUAAAUUAAUGUAAAAAUGGAUUAGCAUAACAUAAAUUGCCAUAAGAGAACCACAAACUACAAAGAAACUUAUUUUCCAAACAAGGAAAAUUAUUCAUAGCCAUUAUUACAUAAGAAAGGAAAUUGAUAAAAUUAUUAUCCAGUUCCCCAUCAGGAAAUAUGAAAGUACUCCUAAAAGCCUCAAUUCUAACCAGAAAACCAUAGAAAUGUAUUAGAAAUAUUGUACAGGGUUCUCUCCAAUAUUAGCUUCAGUUGCUAAGGAGAUCAGAACCUUGAAAGUAAGUCACAAAGGUCGUGUGGGUUUCCCAGAGUCUUCAACAACCAGUAUUCACAUAUGUACACAUUAAAAUUAAAUAAAGCAGGUAUCAAUUCCACAGGCUUUAAGAUUUGAAUUGCUUCUCCCUGGAAUCAUACACCACUCAUAUUGUCACUGACUUUCAAUUACUUCUCCCUGCGAUCAUAUGCCACUCAUAUUGUCACUGCCUUAGGGAACAAAGUGAAAAUCUGCAAUUUCAAUUAAUUCCAACAUAAAAAUAAAAAUCAAUCCUCAAAAAAUGGAUUGCCAGGAGGUAAAUAUAAUAGAAGACGAACAACUCUCACAACCAAGUUAAAGAAACCAGCCGCUAGGUACCUUUGAGUUCUAUACUACCAGGAACAAAUUGGAUGAGAUUAUUUAAAGGCUAUUCCACAGUGGAAAUUCAUUCGUUCAAAAAACAUUUGUCAUGCAUAUAGGCAAUCUAUCCUAUGCAUUCAUACAUCAUGGUCUCAUGCAAUCUUAAUAAAAGUGGUCCUGGAAAAAGAGAGAAAAAAGUAAUUACAAGCCUGUGCGACCAGAUUUCUUUUGUUUUUUUUUUUUUUUUCCUUUGCCAAACAACCAUGUUCAUAGUUUCAGAAGUUCAUUCUGUCUUUAAGAGACCAUGGCAGUGACUUGGCCAUUCAGCUAAGANNNNNNNNNNNNNNNNNNNNNNNNNNNNNNNNNNNNNNNNNNNNNNNNNNNNNNNNNNNNNNNNNNNNNNNNNNNNNNNNNNNNNNNNNNNNNNNNNNNNUCACCAAGGACUCCUCAACCUCAAAAUAAUAGAGAAAGUCUAGGACACCAUGUCACUACUGAGGACAACCCAACACCACAACAUUUCAGUCCGUUCAAAAAGAGUAAUUGGAAUUGUUGCAAAAAAUGUUCAACUAGUCCCAACAGGAGGCAAAUUCCUCCAUUUCUUCAUCGGGUCCGGAUCCUUUGCUCAAAAAGGUAAUUUUCUUACUGCCCUAAAAGAAAAAGGGAAAAUGUGAGUCAUUGGAUUGUUGACUCAGGAGCUUUUGAUCACAUGACUAGAGUGCCACAAUUUUUCAAAAUUAUACACCUUGUUUUGGGGAUGAUACAAUUCGUAUGGCUGAUGGUUCUCUCUCAAAGGUGACUGGUACAAGUUUUAUUGUCAUCUCUAAGGACCUAACUCUUGACUCUAUUCUUUUGGUUCCAAACUUGGAUUGCAAUCUAUUGUCCAUUAGUAAACUCACUUAUGAAAAGAACUAUGUUACUAAAUUUUUCCCAAACCAUUGUGUUUUUUAGAAUUUGAAUUCGGGGAAGACGAUUGGCAAUGUUGAAGUGUGUUUAGGACUCUAUGCCUUCAAAGUGAAUUAUUAUAUUGAAAGACAAUCUUAACCAACAGUUGGUGAAAAAUGGUGUCUUUUUGUCUUUAGUUCUAAUAAAGAUAGUGAUGUUAUGUUAUAGCACUAUUGUCUAGGACAUCCUAGUUUCUUAUAUCUCAAAAAACUCUUUCCAUGGUUUUCAGUGUGAAAUUUGUCAACUAUCCAAGCAUCUUUGCAAGCCCUAUCCAUAGUUUUAAAAGACUUAAGGCACACCAAGACGCAAAGUCCUCUUGGAGCCUUAGGCGCAAGGCACACCUAAGGCGCGAACUUUAGUAAAGUGAGGUGCAUCCUGUUUUACAUAUAUAUUUUUAUAUAAUACAAUCAAGUGCCCGAAAAUUUUCCUCUAAUUUUCCCCUUCUUCUUCAUCCUCUUCUCUUCUUCACAUUGUUCGGGAGGCUAGGACAUUUUUUUUUUUUUACAUGUCUAAAACAAGCAUAUAUUGGGUUUUGGAAGAAGAACAAGCCAAAAUGACAUCGUUUUGGAGCCUAAUCUUUUAAAUAAAUAAAUAAAUAAAUAAAAACCAGCCAAAAAUGACACCGUUUUGGCCCCUGUUCUUUUAAAAGAACAAACCAAACAACGUCAUUUUGAUCUCAGGAAAUUAAAAAAACAAAACCCUCGUCAUUCUCCCUUUGCUACUCUACAACUCAUCGUCAAAGGGUAAAAAGAUGACCAAAAGAAGAAGAAGAAAAAAAAAAAACGACGACAGAGGAUAGAGGUGCACCUGUUGAGGGCGUUGCGCCUAGCCAAGAGGCGAGCGCCUUGCACACUUAAUCAACGCCUCUGUGAAGGGGCGGCUCCUGCAAUCAGGCGAAGCGCUGAAGGGUGAUGUCACAUCGUCUAGAGCCUAGGCGCACCUUUCACAACUAUGACCCUAUCCAACUCAACCAUACAAACCAUCUCAUCUUUUUUCCAUACAUAGUGAUGUUUGGAGGUCAUCUAAAAUAAAGAACAUAACAGGGACUAGAUGGUUGAUGAUCAUACUAGAAUUUCUUAGAUAUUUCUAAUGAAAAAAAAAUCAAAAAUUAGUCAAAUUUUCUAAAAGUGGACCAGAAUUUCUUUAUUGAAUUAAAAAGUUGAAAUUAAUAUUUUGGAAAAGUUAGGGCCGCUCAAGAGGUAGAAAUAGCGCUCGAGUGGUAGAAAUAGCGCUCGAGUGGUAGAAAUAGCCCUCAAGUGGUAGAAAUAGCGCUCAAGCGCUAGGACCGCUCAAGCACUUAACUAGCGCUUGAGCGCUCAUAUAGAAUCUGCCAGAAUAUGGAAGAAUAUUUUUUGGAUAAUCAUGAAAAUUGGAUUUGGAAACUUUAGAAUAUCAAUCUCCUUCGGCCUAGAGGUUUAUAUAAACCCUAUUAUAACCCUUUAGGGUUAAGAAAUUCACCAAGUGGUUUACCCUAACUUGUCAUACCAUUCCCGAUCUCUCAUCAAGGAAUCAAAGUGUUUAAUCUUGGGUUGUUUGAAGACCUGCAUCCCUUCAACAAGGCUAAGGUGUAUUCACUAGAACAAUUGAAAUUGUUGCAUUGCGGACAUGAAUCAAGUUGCAGGUUCUAGAGAGUAAGUCUUUAGAAUAAAGCAGACAAAGAGUUCUAUGUGACUUUAUCUCAUAUAGUGGAUUUAGCUUUGAGGUCUUAGACCUCGUGGGUUUUUAUCUCCAUAGUUAGUGUGGGGGUUUUCCACAUAAAAAUUAUUGUGUCUCUUGAUCUUAUGUUUGAUUUUAGAUAUUCUAUUUAUCCCUGAUAUCUCACAGGUUAACUUUAGGUUAAAAAUUCAACUCCCUAUUUAAUAAUUUUUAAAAUACACCCAUUCACGAGUGUUAUCCUACUGGACAUUGGUUUUUCACCAUAUAUAACACUCAUACCAAAACCCAUGCAACAUGGACUCCAACCUUAAGCUUAACUUUCUACGAAUGGAAAAAAAAAAAGACAUAACAUAAAUAGACAGAUUUAACAACAUGCUCCUAAUCAAGGUGAAUGUCCCUCUUUUUGAAAGAUAUGACCUUUUCCAUACGAGGAGCUUUCUUUAAAAUUUCACCUCUACCAAUUCCCAUGCCUUUACAAAGUUGUGGAAAGCUCCAAAGAGAAGGCCCAGACAUGUAAUGGGUAGAUUCCCUACCUUAGAACCUUACACCAAAGCUAAACCCCUAAUAUUUGUGACUUCUAUAAGAAUCAAUUCAUUUUUUUCCAUAUUUAUUUCUAAAUCAGACAUUGCCUCAAACCACAUGAAGUUAUAACUUGGAUGUUACAGAUGCUCUUAAUUAGUGUCACAAAAAAAUAGGGUAUCAUCAUCAAACAAGAAAUGUGACACUUCCAUCCCCUCCUCCUGUCUUCCUCCCACUUUGAAACUUGAGAUGUAACCCCUUUUAUCUAAUUCUCCUCAAAAUUCAAUUGAAAGCCUUCAUUGCCAAUAUGAAAAUGUAAGGGGAGAGAGGAUCUUUCUACCUCAAAUCCCUUGAGCUCUCAAAGAAACUGAAUAGGACACUAUUUACUAGAAUAGAGAAUUGAGUAGUGGAAAUGAACCAUUUGAUCCACCUCACCCACUUAUGAUCAAAGUCCAUUUUAUCCAACAUCAUUAACAAAAAGUUCCAAUUUACAUGGCCAUCGUCCUUUCCAAUGUCUAACUUGCAAAUUACCCCACUAUUGGGACUCUUUAACCUUGAAUCUAGAGCAUCAUUUAUGAUUAGAACUGCAUCUAGAAAUUGUCUGUCUUCCACAAAAGCAUGCAAAUAAACUAAAACUAUUUUACCCACCACAUUUUUUAGUCUUUUAGCCAAGACUUUUUCCAAUAGCUUGUACAAAAAAACCCCCAACUAAGCUAAUCAAUGUAAAAAAUUUUAGGUUCUCUGCUGCACCUAUAUUAGGGAUCAAGACCAAGAACAUGACAUUUAAAUUUUGCUCAAAGGAACAAUUAUCAAAAAACUCCCCAAGCUCAUUUGCCAAAAUAUUAUAAUAAAUCCAUUUGGCCCCUACAGCUUUAUCCCCACUCAAGCUAGACAAGGCAACAAGAAAUUCCUCAUCAAAGAAAGGUAACUCCAAUUUCCUAGAAUCAGCACAUAGCAUAACUUCAAAGGUCAUCCCAUUAAUGUUGAGUCUCCACUCGCCCAUAUCAGAUAGGAGAUUUUGGAAGGCCCUAAACUCCCCUUCCUUUAUAUUUGCUUCCCAAGCAACCAUUUUGCAUUCACUCAAAUUUUAAACAUGAAGUUUUUUAUUCUUUGGGCAUUGACCAUUUCAUGGAAAAUUUUGGUGUUUUUAUCCACCCCCUCUUUUAACCAAAUUUCUCUUUAUUUUUGCCCCCAUACAUAUAGAUUCUUCUAACAAGGCCCACUUGCUAAACUCAAUCACCACUAACCUUUGGCCUCAACGAUUUCAAGAGAUAAGGUAACUGCUCUCUACUUUGAGUCCCAGAAGUUGAUCCAGUUUAGCACCUCUAGGUUUUUUGUUGAGACAUUCCCAAAACCUUCUUCAUUCCAAGAUUUUAAAUCUCGUUUGACAGCCUUUAGUUUAACUUCCAAAAUAUGACCAUACAAGCCAUCCACAUUAUAACCAUCAACCAACUCCUCACAAAAUCUUUUAAGCCUUUUGUUUUAGGCUACAUAUUUUAAAAUGUAAACUGUGUUUUCCCACUCCUUAUCCUACCUCCAUCUAAAACUAUGGGGUAAUGACCAAAAAUUGGUUUAGGUAAAAUACUCUAGAUUAAAGUAGAAAAACGAUUCUACCAAUCAUCUGACACUAGGAAAUGGCCAAGCUAGCCUUGAAGAAGACAAAAGAUUAUGAACACCACUCCAAGUGAAUAGCCCUCCAACUAGCGAAAGAUCCCAAGGUCAAGUCCUCUAUGUCCUCUGAAAAGAACCUCAUAUCAAACAACAUUCUAAGGCAAUUCCUCCUUUUCAUGGGGAACUUGACCAUAUUAAAAUCCCCUCUGAAGCACUAGAGGUCAUCCCAAAGGCCUCUUAUGGCACCCAACUCUACCCAGAAAUCCACUCUUUCUCCCCUUUAAACCAACCCAUAAACUCUUACGUAUACCUAGACAAAGCUAUCUUCACAAUUCAUAGACAAGCAAUAGAGAAUGCUUCCACCUCCUUACCAAUUAACUCUAAUACCCUACUAUCUUGGAAAACCAAAAUGCCUACUAUCAAGCUUCUAACUUCCAAUACCAUUUCAAAAAUUUUCCUACUCCUAAACUCCUUACCAGUUGAACGAACAUCUAUCGAACCUUGGUUUCUUGUUAACAAACUAGAUCAACCCCUUGAGACCUUAUCAAUGACUUUAUUAUCAUAUACUUUUCCUCAUCAUUUGCUCAUUUGACAUUCCAAGACAGGAUUUUUAGCUUCAUCAUGCAACCUAUGUUGGAUCCUAACUGCUACUCUUGGAGCCCUUUUCCUUUUUGUUGAGCUUUUAUAAUUGACUAAGCAUCCCAACUUGUUGAGGUCCCUCUCAAACCAAGAUAUCGAGGUUAACUUCCUCUUCACCUCCAACGAAAAAACAGAAACCCCUCUCCUUAGCCUGCCACACAAGGGAAAAGAUCUCUUUUUCAAAUCCAUCAACUGGCAUUCUUGAGAAACUAUUGAAAUUUGCCAACUUACAAGAUAUACAAUUGGAGGAGUGCUUCUCUACCAAACAACUACUAAAAUUCACCUCAAAGGUGACCUUUUCCCCUGAUCUCUCCCCGGCCUCCAUACCCACUGACCCUUUCACAAAAUUUUCUAGAAUUUCCACUAUCAAGCCGUUACGGAGAACCAUCCUCAACAAACUCCUUUGACUAAUGUGAAAAACCCCACCCAAGAGCAUCUUCCAGAAGUUAACUUACAAGAUUAACUAUAAUCUUGUGAAGACUCGUUACCUAAUGGGUAAAAAAUUUGAAAUUCUAUUAGUAUAAUUCUUUUUAGGCACAAAAGCUGUGAAAAUAGCAUUGGUGCUCUAAUUAAUAACCCCAUAAUUAUUAAGCAAUAAAACAACUUUUAAUAAAUUCUCUUUCACCACAUCCCACCAAUCCUAAUGCAAAAAAGCUAGGAAAAAGUCAUCAUUGCUCUAAGCAUUUCUCCUCACUAGUUGAAAGACUGCUUUAUGAACUUCCUCUUCGACAAAAGGACAAUCCAACCAAUUAGCACCAUUUUCCAAAAUGAGAGACCAACCCCCACUCUUCUAUCCUCUAAGGAUCUUCAUAUAACCAUUAAUGCCUUUCUAUACCAGCUAGUAUAUAUCGGGUUUUGGGCAAGUCCUAUAAAUUGGUUUGAGUAAGAUUUUUAAUUACCCUGUUCUUUCUUUUUAGUUGAUAAAUAUGCAUAUAUGUAGUAAUUCAUACAUCAGAAAAGAUUUUGCUAAAACAAAAGAAUUGACAUGCAGAUAGUGACUUCUUGAUAAGAGUAAUAGCUUAAGGGAGGAAAAUGAACUCCUCCAGUGGCCCCAAAGUGGUAAGUUCCUUCAGAUCCCAUGUUGCUAUUCUGCAUUUCUUUGUGUUUUGGCAUCAGCCCUCUUAAUUAAUUCACUAUCCAGCUUCUCAAAUUCCUCGGAUUCUUCCCUUGUUCUUGUGGAAACAUCUGCAUCUUGUCCUUGCAUUGUUAUGGAUUGGUGAUUAUCAUUCUUUGAGAACUGUGUGGCAGCUGCUCGUGCACCAGCUAUGGCUGCAAGGAGACCUUCUGGUUUCUUGUCUUCAGCAGCUUUGGAGCCAUCAAAGCAAGAAACAAGUAAUCCUGGUUUCAAAGAGAGGGGAUCUUGUGGUUCUGGAAGCAGAAACUUGACAGGUAGUGGAGCUUGAACAGGACGAAGACCCCUAACUGCUGCCUCAUAUAUCUGCAACAAUUUCAGGGGGGAUAAGUAAUUAAAAAUCAGUCACUCUAUUGCAUUAGUUAGACUUGCUUUCAAUGCGAUAGCAAAGAAAGAAUCAUCAAUGAAAAAAGAAAAAAUAAAUGAAAAAGAACAAAAAGGAGAGGGAAAAAAAAAUGAUGGGUGCUCAAUUUGUACUUUUCUUUCCAGGUUAUAAAUACGUUGGUACCCGCGCAUCUCAAAUGGUAUGAUUAAUUUCUGCAUCAGGUCAGGAGAACUAAGUCCAUCAAUAUACUAAAAAGCAAAUAUACCAAAAGGCAAGCAAAAAUGUUUAACCAUCUUGAGUGUCAAACUCUCCAAGAAACUAUAUACUUUUAGCUGAAUGAAAACACAUGCCUGUGGUUGCUCACAGAGCCAGCAAAACUCUGUUUGCGCUUCUAGCCUUACCUACAAAUAGAGUUUAGGUUAUCCAACCAAAAUGGAGAUACAUCACACAAAACAAACUGUACCUAAUCAGUUUACGAAGGGGACGGGGGGAAGCAAAAAGCAAAAGUAAAUUUCUAAGAUGCCCACCCCUUCAGGUACCUCCUUCCAGCACGCCAGCUCUUCACAUUUAACACAACCAACUACUUCAAUACAACCUGUGGCAAGAAUAGAGUUUGUUGGAUUUAUUGUAGCAUGCCAUACAGAAAAAUUUAGCAUUUCAGUAAGAAUAAGAAUAAGAGAGCUACUUUCCACUAAAAUACGAAUCACCCAUCAACUGUUGCAAACAGACAACAAUGUGAAUAACAGGUUUUAUAUAUAUAUAUAUAGAGAGAGAGAGAGAGAGAGAGAGAGAGAGAGAUAGAUAGAUAUAGAGAGAGAGAGAGAGUCAAAUAAUAAUAAAGGACAAAAAUAUUUCUUUGAGAAAGACUAAUUAGAAAGAAGAAACAAAGAACCCACAUGAAAUCAAUUUAGAUAAGAGAAAUACCUUUAAGAAUCUAGUUCUUUUUGCAAAUUGCAACUUAGAAUUGGAAUGCCACAUAUUAUUAUAAGGUAUCACAAGAGAUUAUUGCUUCAUUUUUUUUCUUUGCCAGAUCAGUUUUAAUAAAUAUAAAUAUAAAAAUAUAAGCAUGUACACACACACACGCAAACACAUUAUGUGUGUAUGUUUAUGGAUAUGUAGAUAUAGGUUUUUAAUAAUAGAGCAUGAAAACAUAUCUAGUCAGAAAUUCCAAAAAUCCAAAACCAUUAGCAACACCUAACAGUCUUGAAACUGGGUAAUGUUCUGGAAACUUGAGGUCUGCUAUCCCAUUCACAGCAUAGAUCUCCCUGUAGAAAUUCUCCAUUGCUUUGAUUGUGUCUGAAUCUGGGACCUUACUAGCAGCAUGAAUCCAGAGUCGGCCUUCAUAAAACAAAACAUGUAUAUUAAGAAAUAUCCUUGUAGAACAGUAACAUUUUUGCCAGCAUGCAAUUCGUGUUAAUAAUCCUUGGUUCUCACCACUCAUUGUACAUUACAAUGUAAAGACCUAAUAAGCCCUAAUAUAGGUAGGUGUCUGUGCAGAGAGAGAGAGAGAGAGAGGGGAGGGGGGUGAAAGGAAAGAUGAUUAUAGAACAAAUACAAGUUGAAUCUCCUGAAAUAAUGUCCAUCAAGUUAUUUCCUAGCAACAAGUACUGAUUAUGCUUUUCCUGAUAACAUGAUUUUCUUUGCUAACAACCAUACUAUAUUUUAUCAAGAAAGAGUAGUGCAUGUGGCGUGCAUCAAGACCCAUUAGAGUUCCGCUAAACCUAUAGUUCUGUCAACGUUAUCAUUUACGUUUCCUCUAGAUAAUGGCAUUUUCCUCUAAAACUCUUGCACCAUUAGGCUUCAAGUCAAAAUUUCACAUGUGAACUUUGGAAAUUUUCUCCAUUUGCCCCUAAGGAUACAGUUAGAAUUGACUUAAAAUCCUGAUUGAUGUAUACUUUUAACCGAAGAAUAUUGUAUAUAAUAAUUGAAAUAUUGUUGAUUCAUCGUGGAAAUACAUUUUGUAAGGAAAGUUGUUAAGAAUUUAGUAUGCUAUAUGGAGAAAAAAGUCAUGACUUAAGGUUGAGUAUGUAUAUUCUAUAUCAAAUAUUAGGUAGGAAUGUGGAAAAGAGCAGAGUGUAAUUAUAAGAAACAAAGAAAUAUAAGAUAUUCUUGAAAGUGGAAAAUGUAAAAUGGCUAAAAGUCAAAUUUAUGAUGCAUAAGGGGGAUCAUGUCACAUAAGAAACUCAUGGCAUACCAAAUACGUGUGGUAUGGAGUAACAAUUUUGUUAAAAUAAGUUUCUCGUUGGAGUACAUUAGGUGACAAUUUUUUAAUAUCAAAUUAAAGAGUCAAGUGCAUCAAUGAAGUCAUAUGUAGAAAAUUUGUUUGUGACAUGUACCAUAAAGAUAAGAUUGACUUGAUAUAAUUUAGUCCAGGUAGGAGUUGUUAAAGGUGUCUCAAAUUUCUAAUUGAUAUAUAUUUUUUUCUAAAAAAAUAUUAUAUAGAUAUUUCAAUAAAUGAUUAAUUCUUUGUAAAAAUACUUACAUAAUAAAAAACAUCAUUAGAAAUAUCUCUAUAAAUAUUUUAAAUCACAAAAAGAAAAAAAAAAUCACUAUGAGAUAAUUAUAAACAUGCAACAUUGUACCAAGUAAACAGAAAUGUGAUAAAAAAAUUUUGAGAAACACUAAAUAAAGGAAGGGCUUGUAUAUCAAGAUGUAAAUAUAGAGAGCAAUAUUUUUAAUCAUAUGAUAGAAUUAUUUUCUCUCAUUCAUGAUUAUAAGCAAAAUUGGGAACCAUUAUAAAAUCUUGUACACCUCGUGUAAAUUGAUGUUUGUCUUCAUAUUUUACACCAACAAAUGACAUUGAAGUUGUCAUUGAUAAAAGGGAAAAGGCAUGGCCUCCACACCAUGUGCUUGAAUCGUAUGGUUCAAGUUUAAAGAAUUUUCUCCAUAAUUUGAAGAUCUAAAACAUUUUCACCUUUAAAUUUCAUUUAAUUAUUAAUAUCUACAAAAAAUAGUUAAAUACUCUUUCUAUUUUUGAGUUGUUGAAUUUUUUGAAAGUUUUUAUAUUUGUUAUCAAGAAUUUAUAUUUUAUUAAGUGUGAAUAUUUAUAAAUAAGAUAUUAUAUAAUAUUUGGAUAAGAGAGAAUGGUGGAAUAUAAUAAAGUUUUAAUCCUUCCCAAUUUUUAUCUUUUUUUUUUUUUUUUUUUAUAAUCGCCUUUCUCUUUCAAUCCUAUUAUCAGGUACCUUAUAUUUGCUGAUGCUAUCUGGAACUAAAUUCCAAUCAGACAUUGUCCAAUUACUAAUAGGACAGAUCAUGUCUCUCUGUUUCUAAACUAACAUGUAUCGUAAUGUGGCCUCAUAAGGAAGGCUAGGAAGAUGGAGGAUUUUGUGGGAAGCGACCAGAAUCAGAUGGAAGAGAGAUAGCCCUGUUGACCUAAUGGCUGUAAUAGGAGAAGCGUGUGGAUUUAUGGGACUUAACUGAUACUAAACCUAUAUGAUGCUUGGAGUGGUGUUUCUUUCAUUUUGUUAAGAAAAUAUGGCAGCAUACAUCCUUUCAAUUGAGUGCAUCAGAGCAUCCAUAAUAGAUGGUCUGCAACCCUAGGUGCAUGCCACUUUCUGACUGAUAAUGAAACUGUCAGGUACUUGGCCUUGACUAAGCUCAACAGCAUCACAUAAAAAGAAGCUUUCAUACUUAGAUUACUGUUUAAAGCUUUUGCUUAUUUGCUUUCUUAAUGCCAUUAUGACAUUAUUGUUUCAAUUCUGCUACCGAUUUUCGAAGUUCUGGGCAUCUACUGAUUGCAUCAUUAUAUGAGAAGUUGCAUGAGUUUAUGUAUCCUGUUAUUGCUCCUUUGCGAUUUCACUGCUCACGGGACUAACCUCUCCAUUCAGUCGAAAUGAAUUGUAAUUUCUUUACUGGUAGCAGUAGUACUUUUCAUAGCAAAGAUAAUAGUAAAUAUGAAAUAUAAAUAGAAGGAAAUCUGAAUUGUAGAUGGCACUAUAAGUAACACUCAAUAUUCACUACAUAAUAAAAUAGACAGUGUUACAAAGGUAGAGAAACCUACAAUGAGUACUCAUCACCAUUCUCAAACAGAAACAUAGCAGCGACUUAUACAUAGAACCUAUAGGCUUGCAGGGAAAGAAGGGAAAGAGUAACAUGAUAAGUUCACAGCGGGUAGCAGCUCUUAUUUUACGUAUUACUCAAAAUCUCAAACUAACCAAAGUCACUCAGUUGGGAUGGGUAGGAGAUGGUGGUUUGUGGGGUGGCUUCUGGGUAGGAGCUGGUGGCUUCUUUGUUGGAGUUGAAGGAGGCGUAAUCUUCUGAGGUGGCUUGUAUGAGUCUUCGGCACUCUCUGCAGGAGGGUGCCCAGGGUUGUGACCGGAAGGAGGUGGCUUCUGUCCCUUUGGUGGUUUGCCUAAUGGGCUUGGUGGCUUGUGCUCCGGGAGUUGUUUCUCUCCCUCGAGUAGGUUUCGAGUUUUGUCAGAUGGCUUGUGUUCUG